UUGUAAGUUUUCAACUUUUUUGUUGCUUAAUUUGUUCAAUUUCUUAUGUCUAACGGGUCAAGUGGGCAAAGUUGGCUUGCUAUGGGUCGGGUUCAAUCGGAUUUUGCCUAAAAUUUAAAUUAAACCAUAAUAAUUUGGUUUUUGAGCCCCAAGAACCGUUUGAGUUUGGUGUUUUAUAGUUUUGGUUGUUGGUUUUGUUUUGGAUUAAUAGUUUUUGGUAACUAAAAUCGCUUCUUGAAACCGUUCAUGGAUUUCGAUGGAAGGGGAUCUAUUAAAUUCGAUGUUUGGUGAGCACAAAUCUAAUGUGGUUCCUCUUUUAAUAAAAGACCAAAAUAGUCUUAUUAUAUAUUUAUUAAAUUAAUAAAACUAAAACUAAAACUAUAUAUAUUUACAAUAAAUAAAAAUUCAUCGCCUUAAUUUUUAUUAGGGUGGACGGAACCGUGUGAAAUGGCCUUUGGGUUGGUAUGGUGACUCGAUGGUAUCGCGAGGAACACCAUCACAACUAUUGUGGUAUCAAAAAAUGGAGAGAGUUUUAGCCUUGAAGCACCCAAACAUCUUUUUGGUUAUCUACUUUUGUGACCGUUAAUAAACAAUAAAAACAUAUGUUUUACACAAUUUAUUACCCGUAUAUAUUACCAUCAACCACUUCAGAAACCACAUCAACCUUAACAACUCUCUUCAAUUUCAUUUUAAUUCUCUCCGAUUCAAUUAAAACAAUUCUUUAUUUCAUUCCGAUCUUUAAUAUUCCAUUCAAAUGGAUUUUACCAAUGGCAAAUCCAAAAAAAAAACAUGUUAUAAGUGAAAGAAAAAGUCGUGGUAGAAGAAGGAGUUCGCUAAAUUUUCCAAAUUUGAUUCUUGAAACUCAAAUUCCGCACUAUCCUCACUACCAACAAUAUCUACCCAAAUAUUGUUAAUGUCCUAUACGACAUUCAUAUAAUCAAAUUUAAGUAUCUCAAGAUCAACCUUACAAUCACACAAUCACUAUAGCUUGCAGCGGCUGAAGACUGAUACAAUAACCAUCUAAACGUAUAACUCAAGGUCAACCAUAACCUAAGACCUAAAACCAUAAACCCAAAGUCAAACUUAGUCAAAAGUCAAUAAAAUAUCAUAUUCCGGUCAAAAAACGCACCACCCCCCAUAAGGGUGCCCCGCACCCUCUACGUGAUAAAACAAUUGAGUUUCUAGGCUUGAUCGAGUCGCUAAUUAGAAGGAGUUGGAGUCAUCUCAGGUCCAAGCUUACCAACAAGAUGGGACUAAAAGCAUAAAAAUGAAUCAAUAAUUAGAUCUAUCAUAUGAGAAGGAAAGUUGGGAGAUUUAUACUCACAAAAGUUUAGAAGAUAAGUAAGCUUUAUGGAUCUACAAUGCUCCUUUGCUUCUACACACCAAGAUGGAGCCUUCUUCUAUUAGCUUUAACCACCAAAAUGAUAAAAAUAAGUUCUCAAAGAGGAUUCUAAGCUCAAAUAUGGGAGAAGAUGACUAGGGUUUGCUGGAAACAUUCUCUAGGGUCGAUAGAGGCUGAGAAUGAUCUAACCCUAGAGACUUAAGUGUCCUUAAAUAACCUACAAACCCUAAAAACUCAGGCAACCCAUAGGCCUGGGCGCCCCACACUUUAUAAGGGUGCACCACGCCUUACCAGGUUGAACAAGCCCAAAAGCAAAUCCAAGUCCAAAUUGUCCAAGGUCCAAUCAUUUUUGAAGUUAAACAAACAAAAUCACGCAACCGAGAAUAGGAUAUUACACCCACAAUCCAAUCCCAAAACCCAACUUUGUGAUGUCUAGAAUGUCAAUUCAACCAAAUCAAACGAUAAAACCCAACCUAUCCCUCAAAUCCAAGAAUCAAUCGACGAAUAACCCCAAUAUGUUGUCAAAUCGAAUCAAUUGUCUAAAAGUUUUACUCAAUGUAAAAAAUAUAUAAAAUGGAACGUGGAAAUCAACAACAACUUGAUUCAUUUUGGUAAUCGAGUACUUGAUAACUUCAAAAUUCAACUUGGGGGUUCGGAUCAUACUAUGCAUCAAGUGAACUCAGAGUGGAAGAAUUUGAACAAGUUUAAUUGCAUCUUCAACUACAAGAUGAAACCACGAGCAAUUGGAAGAUUGGAAUUCUCUAUUUUAAAGGCAACACAAAGUAAGUAUAAAAAAAACUCUAAAAAAAUGAAAACUUUUCCUUAGGAGGCGACAUGAAACAUUUUGAAAACACAUCCGAAAUGUUAAACCGUGGGUGCAAUGGGUGAUACUCUCCAUCCUUCAUCGAAAAGGACCAAAGCAUCUUACUCCAACAAUACACAUCCUCUUCAGAUGCACAAUUUCCAUCUAAAUUUAACGUAGAGGUUGAAUAGAUUCUGGUUGAAGAAACGCAACGACUACAAUGAAAAGGGAAGAAAUCGGUAUCUCCAUCCUCGUAUACAUAUCAAUAGGAUAAGUUGUGUAUCAUGGAAAUGAAGACGCAAAAAUUAUACUAAUCUUGGAGGAGUAGUUAUGCUUGUUUAAGGAAACACGAAUGGAAAAUAUAUUUGUGGUUCUUUCUUUAGCCGCAUGACCAUUUGAGUAGAUGGAUGUCAGAUGUGUUGUUCGCUUAUAAACGGGAACUGGAAAUGAUUUAUUGUUGGAAGUUGUAGAAUUUCUAAUUUUAUUUUAAUUGUCGUUUUAAGAUUUUAAUUAAUGUUUGUCGUAGUGUGGUUUUUUUAAUGAAAUGUUAAUUUUAUAUUUAGUUUUACUUACUUAACUUUAAAUUUCUAAAUGUACUAUUUUUUUAAAAAUGUGUGGGUUGAGAGGAUUCAAUUUCCAAAUAUCUAGGGUUGAGAGGUGUUAUUCGGUCGGUUUUUUCGAUUUUCGGUUUAAUCGGUUUUUUUACAUCUUAAAACUAACCAUAACCAAACCAAAUAAGGUUCGGUCUAAUCGGUUUUGGUUAAUUCGGUUACGGAUUAUUCGGUUCCGUUUACCGGAUAAACUGAAUAAAAUUCUUCAUAUAACAAUAACUAUUAAACUAAAACAAAAAAAAAAACUUACUAAACUUUCACCAAAUAAAAAAAAAAUUACACUAAUACAUACAAUAUUAUAUUCGGUCUUCUAUUAUAUGUUGUCUUGAAAUAUCGAUAUAAUCAUAUAAGUUAGAGGUAGGUUAAUAUAAUUUUAGUGGUAUAUGAAAAGAAAAGGAUUGAUGGAAGGUUAAUUAAAUGACAUUUUGUCUAAUUAGUUGUUUUUUAAUACAAUAUAUAAAAAAUUAUAAAUUUAUAAUGGUUAAUAGUUAAAUAAUGAGUUAAGAAUAUAACUUUUGAUAAGUANAAAAUAAUGAAAAAUAAAUAAAAUUCAUACCAAAUAAGGUACCUUUAUUCGGUUAACGAAACCGAAUUAACCAAAUAACCAAAUAAUCCGAACCAAAUAAACCAAACAUCAUUCGGUUAAGUUCGGUUAUUCAGUUUUGUUAUUUUAUCACACCUAAGAGGGAUUUAAACGAUAUUUUUUUUUAUGUGAGGUAUAUAUGGUAUGUGGGUUAGGAAUAGGAGGGGUUGGAAAGAUUGAUUCCCUGCACUUUAUGAAUUCCAUUCCAUUAUGAAAUUUUCAGUUUUUCAGAAUCAGAAAUCCAUUCUGCUGGUUUUUAACAUAGCUGAUUUUUUUUCGUUUUUGGUUCGAUUUUCCGGUUUUUUGCACACCCUUGGGCAAAAUAAACGGGUUGGUCAUGACUCAUGCGUAAAGGAUGUAUUUAUCAUUUUAUUGCUNNNNNNNNNNNNNNNNNNNNNUAGGAAGGUAUAUCAAAUUAAUGACCUAUUUUCCAGUUUACAAUUUAAUCUUUGACUUAGAUUCGAAUGUAACUGCAGUCUGUAAUACCACUAUGGAAGGAGCUGGAAUACUUCAAGGAAUACCAAACCAAUUUGAAAGCUCACUUGGGAGAUGCAAAAGCUAGCAAAGUAUUGAGUGAAGCACUUUAUUUGAUAAGCCUUGGAACCAAUGAUUUCCUAGAAAACUAUUUCGCACUUCCAAUUAGAUCAAGAGUCUAUUCCAUUGAAGAAUAUGAGAAAUUUCUUGAAGAUAUAGCCAGAAAUUUUGUCAAAGAUUUAUAUAAUUUAGGAGCUCGAAAAAUAUCUCUAAAUGGGCUUCCUCCUAUGGGUUGUUUGCCACUAGAACGCACUGAAAAUUACUUUUCAGGGACGAAAUGUGUACAACUAUAUAAUCGUGUGGCUAAGGAGUUUAAUCUGAAGUUGAAGCAUUUGGUCAAGAAGCUAAAUAAGGAGUUGGCUGGUAUACAAUUGGUCUAUUCGGAUAUAUAUUACAUUCUAUCAGAUGUCAUCAAGAAUCCACGCUCUUUUGGUAUGUUUAAUUAUGAUGCUUUUAUAACGAGCAAAUUAAUAAUAUGACAUUUAUUUAUUGAGUUAAUGUCAUAAGUAGGUAACAAACUUUUUUCUUUUUGUACAAAACACCGUGUUAUUUUAAUAAAGUAUUAUAGAAAGUAAACAAUAUCUAGAACUAAACAUUCGCAAAAUACCAUUAAAAUAAUGGUAUAUUGCGUACAAGACAUUUCAGUUGCUCACCUUCUUACAAUAUUUUGUAAAACAAUGGUGUUUUGUACAACAAAAACUUCUCCACCCAUUUUCGACAUUAACCUAUAUUUAUAUGCAUUAUCAGCCGUAUAUAGCUUUUGGGCAUCUCCAUCCCAAUUAACCCCAAAUACUGUUUUUUAUGCACCAUUUUAAUGUUCAUAAAUAGCAAAACACCAAAUAUGAUGGUAUACUAUUUAUUUACACCAAAUUGGAUGUUAAAUCUUCCUUAUACUUCAAUUUUAAAUUUUAUGUAUUCUAGUUUAUUAUUUGUAUAAUGAUAUUCUAUAUUUUAUUAUUUUACUCGUGAUAUUAUACUAUUACUAAAUAGAGAUUAAUAGGAUAAAACUAAAUUAAAAUUUGAUUUUUCAAGCUUAUUUAGAAAUAUAAUAUUGUUUAAUAAUCUUGACCACUAUGCACAUUUAAACAAAACACAUAAUUAUAUUACAAGUAGUCUAAUUACAUAAUUUAUAUGGUUACUAUAGUAAAAAAGAUGUGAUUUAAAAGGAUGUAAUGGAUUGGAGAGAAUCCACACUCUUUUGAUAAGUCUUCAUGAUCAGCAAAUAAUUUGAAAAAUAUGUAUAUGCAUUAUUUGUUUGUUUAUGAACAAAGAAAGAUGAAUAUUGUUUGUGGAAUAAGAAUACUAACUUUGACAUUGUUGGUGAAUUUGAUGUUGCUAUCUGCAGGGUUUGAUGAUGGAGAGAGAGCAUGUUGUGCGACAGGAAGAUUUGAGAUGAGUUACUUAUGCAACAGAUAUAACCCAUUUACAUGUAAAGUUGCAAAUAAAUAUGUAUUUUGGGAUUCAUUUCACCCAUCUGAGAAGACAAAUCUAAUAGUUGCACAACAUGCAAUCAAGACAUCUUUGGUUGCAUUUAUGUAAUUACUUUUAUAUAGACAGGUAUAUUUCAAAAAAAAAAAAAAAAAAACUUCAAAGUAUAAUCCUUUAAAUUUUAUUGAACAUCCCAAAUGGGAAUUGUUGCAAAUUUCAUGAGAUAAAAGGUAGAAAACAUCGUUGUAUAUUAAAAAGGAGAAUUCACUUCGUUCAUACAUCUUUUUUUUUGAACAGUUAAAACUGGGUUGUGCGGGUUGGAUAGGUUGGACGUCUCCCCACGCCUCGUAACGUCUUGGGCCACCAAAACGCAAAUUUGUCAUCUAUCAUAUAUAAAAACUUUUAUUUGAAACAUUGAACAAAACAUUUAUAAAGGAGUUAGCAAUGGAGUUUUAUUCUCAAUUAAAGGGACCUUAUUCAAAUCCUUUUUGCUCCUUUCUAAUAUCUCUUGGAAAAAAAAUAUAAGAAUUUUUUCACAAAAGACUUGUAAUAUCGUUGUAAUAGUGACGAUGAUUGCUCUCUAUAUAUGGACAUGGGUUUCUAAACCAUUUACUCCGAGUUUGUGUGUACUAUUACUACUUCCAUAGGCAGGUUCCUAGUGAGAGUCUAAGACAACUAGAAGUUGGUUGACCUAAACUCACUUCUUCGAGUUUGUGUGUACUAUCACUGCUUAAUUAAUUCUUAUUAUUAAUUUAUGAUAGCUAGUUUUAGUUUGAAAAAGUUACGAUGAGUUCCUAUAAUCUAGCUAUAAUUGUUGAUCUCGAAAAUACUAGGACGCUUCAUCGGAUGUCACUAUGUUUAGAAAGUCAUGUCUGCUUCAACUUGUCGUCGGAUUGUAGCUAGCAACCACAAGUGGGAGUGUCAAUCUCGUAUAGAUCUAUACAUAUCUCUCUCGCUCACUUAAGAAUUAAUGAUUAUAGGCUGGGUGCAAGUUGAAUAUCUAUCAGUGUGUUAAUGAAUUGUGUCUUAUCUAACCCUUAUCAUGGGGGCCUCCCGUGGUCAUUCGUGUUGUUAUUCUACGUUGUAUUUUAUACGGUAUACGUAUACUUAUUAUUACUAUUAUUAUUAUUAUUAUUAUUAUUAUUAUUAUUAUAUUAUUUAAUAUAUAUAUAUAUAUAUAUAUAUAUAUAUAUAUAUAUAUAGUUUNGGUACUAAGUUUAUCCAAAGGUGGCUAUAAUAACGAGUUUCAGCGUUUCCUGGUAAUUGGCCAACACGAAAACUAGGUAUCUUCUUAUCUAUCAUAAUGGUUCAAGAUAACAACUAGGCAUUAUAUUAGAUAAAGAGUUUGGGUAGAGUUACAGUCGGUCAUAAUAUUAUCCUAAUGCUAUGGACAUAAAUAUCUUACUAUAAGUAGUGAUAACUACGUAAAGUUGUAUUUUAGACAUGUAUUACCCCCCCCCUUAAAAAAGAGUUGAAAAUNAGUUGAAAAUGGGGUCGUAAACUCACCUAAGAGUUAUGUAACCAUUGAUGUAGGGUAGGAAUCCACAAUCUAGUACUUCGAGAGACAUUCGGGAUAGUGGCACAAGAAUCGAUAUAAAGAGAGAAUGGGUAAGAGGGGUGAGGAAAAUGGUCUGCCGAAUCUUGCUACUUAUAGCUGUUUUUUGGGUGUGCGUUGUGCAAUUGCGUGCAAACCGUACAAUGAUGCCAUGUAUCGUCUCCUCAGUGUGCCAUGUCAUCCUGUAUCUUGAUGAAAUCGUGUGUUAGUUCGAGCGGUGCAAUGCGCGUGAGCGCGAGUGAUGGAAUAAUUAAACUUUAAAAAUUUGUACCUCUCACAUACAAACUCCAUUUCCUACGACUUUUAUAUAUUCUUGUAGAUCUCUUCACUCUCUACAACUUUCCUUUUGAUCGUUUUGGCUAGUUUUGACUUUUGUUUUUCGACUAGUUUUUAUUAUCGUUAAAAAUCAUAUCUCCAUCAUAUGACUUCCAUCUUAGGUGUUAUCUGCUCCAUAAUUCCUACUUUAAAUAGCACUACAUUUUUCUAGUUGGCGACUUUUCCAAAAACCGACCAAUCUCUCUGUUGUAUUUGACGAUGUAACUUCUUAAGUACGUCAAACAUUUAUUUACUAUAAAUGACAUAUCUCGCUCAUACUGUGUCAGAUUCCCGCCAAAUUUAUAUUUCUGGAAUUGUGGUACCGUUUAGAAUCUAAAUAUAUUAACAUGCUCAAAAAGUGAUGCGACAUUUUGUGCACUUAUUUUUUAGCCUAUGGUUUGACGUUAAUGAGAGUGAUGGUUGAAAUUUUGGCGUUUACAGGUUUGUAUUAUCGUGUUUUCACGUUGGUUGUCGACAGUGGCUAAGGAUGUAGACUAUGGGUUGUCACAAAAUCAGACAAGAAGUCUUGUCGUAAGUGGAUGGAAACGUACUUUCCCGCGGCAUGGCAUUACGGGGUACCAUGGUGCGGUGGUGAAAGUAAGUUGCUUUGUGGGAAAGGCACCACAACACAUAACACAGGGUGUUGAGCAUGCACUUCACCACGAUGUGGUUUCGUAGUCAAGAAACAAGUUUAUAUAUGUUUUAGCCUCCUUUUCGAUCCAUUUUCUCCCCAAAUCGAAUUGGAGUUAGAGAAUGGCGAUUUAGAAGCUAAGAGAGUGCCAAGACAAGCUAGAGAAAGAGGAUAACAAAGAUUAACAUCCUUGCACUCUUAAGAUAAAGAUUUCUCCUCUAGAUUAAGUUUUGAGCUUAAUUAGUGAAAUUGCUAGAUUGGUUAAAAUGGUUGAAUUGAUCAACCUAUAGCUUGAUUAUGAUGUUGAUGAGAAUAUCUAAAAGCUUUGAACAAGCUUUAUAGGUGAUUUCAAAGGUGAACUCCAUAUAUGUAAAGUUAGGGUUUCAAACUCUAACUAAUUAGAGUGGGGAAUUUACGAAUAGAUUAGAGUGUAAUGAAUUAGGUAGUAUGGGAUGAUUAAUUCAUUGGGUGGAAUAAAUUUAGAAGUAGAAAAUGAGAUGUUAGAAUUAUGAUUAACUAAAUGAUUAUUUUGACAUAGAGUAUAUAAGUUCAUAAUAGGUUAAGACAAAUUUUAAGAAAAUUGAUAUGUUGGAUGAAUAUGUCUUGUGUAAUGCCCACAGAUCCAUGCUAGUCAACUUAGAGACAUUAAGUAUCGAAAAUGACUUUUUGAUAGAAGAUUAUUUAUAAUAAAUAAUCUUAACUAAGUUGUAGUAUGUCACACCCCCGAACCGUCAGAAAAACAACAGCAAAAACAUCUGAGGGUGGGUGACGUCAUACGUAGUAUCAAAACAGUCGUAUCAUAGCAAUCAAAGUAAACAUAACCAUUACAUUACAAUAUGAAUAUUUACAUCUGUGUUUGAGAACAUAGUUUGUAUACUCCGAUAUAAACAAAAGAUAAAGAUGAGACUCCAAAAUGCUCCGUCUUCUCCAAAAGCUGGCGAUGGUACCUGUCUAUCGUUGCCCUGAGAAUACAAGCGGUUUUAAAAAUGUAUCAGCAUAAAGCUGGUGAGUUCAUAAGCAUGUUUUUGUAAUGAAAACUAGUCACUGAAUUUUAUAGACGGUUUCUUUUCAAUAUAAGUAAAAGGUCGUUUGUAUUGGAAACCAUUGUUAUCAAGCUUUGAAUAUGAAUGUAGGUUUACCAAGAAAAUCCCAUAUUUUCUAACAUGUUUAUUGAUUUUUCUGUAUGAAAAGUAUCGUUCCGUUCGAAAACCGUGGUUACCACCAGUAUGUAAGAUCUGUUAGAAAACCCUGGCUAUCACCAGUGAGUAUAGUAGUUCUAUUACUUAAAAUAAAACCAAAAGUUGUGUCCCUGGAAUACCCUCCAGUAAGUAGAUAAGUAGUUUUAUUACUUAAAAUAAAACCUUAGAAGAAAGAAAUCCCGUAAAUAAAGGUUAGUUUCUACAUAUUGUGAGUCGUAUAACCAUACUAAUAUGACCGGUGACCUCCUUGACGUUUCUUCAGUCGUCGUACGAUUUCCAAAAUUUGUCACCCCAGGUGUGCCCGUCUAACUGUAGCUAGCAGUUCAGGUGUGGGAUUGUCGGUCCCGAAUAGAUCUAUUCACAAAUUUCACGCUCUCCCUUCAGGAGACUCUGGUUAUACUACCGGAGAGGAUUUAUUGGUACCCCGAGGGGAAUAACGAAGAUAAGUCUCACAAUCUUGUAUUAACUAGUUUACGUGUUGUUCGGUCGUUCUCGAGUUCGAAAUCGUUUGUAACAGUGCAGAGUACAAAUAAUUAUACACAAAAUAAUUAUUAGGCAAAUACUCUAGUUUUGUAUUUGUAGUAAUGGAUCAACUAAAUCUGACAUAGUUUAUAUGUUUCCUUUUGCACGAAGUUUGAAUCUGUAAGACUGGUAAUGAAAUCCCAAAAUAUACCCAUUAUAGUUUUGAAUGGUUAGUUACGUUCAUGUAUUGUUUUGAAAACUAUGCAAUUAUGAUUAGAAAACAUCCCUUAUGCUCCGCAUAUUACAAAAGGGGUAAUUAUAUCUAAAUGUUUGAUAGAAAAUCGUUGUAAUUGCAUCAGUUUUUAGGUUAUGAAAACCUUUAUGUUUAGCUUGUAUCCCCCCAGAAAACAUGAAAAACUCGGAAAAGUGUAGGGGUAUGAACUCACAGUCGGUUGGAUGCAGAGGAUUGAAUUGGGCGACCCUUGAGUUGGUGUAUGUUGCACUUAACGGGAUCCUAAUAUCAAAUAAUACAUAUGUGUAUUUAAAUUAGCGAUUUCGUUAGAUAGGUGUUAGAUAAACACUUGGUUUUUGGCUAAGGAAUGUCAUCGGGAAUUGGUUGGAUCGAGGAAAACAGGCUUUUUCCCACGAAUGUGCUGUUUACGGCCAUGAAUUGGGUUUGUUGUCCAUGGGUUUACGACCCAUGGGUUUGUGGUCUAAGGGUUUAUGACCGUAAACACUGGACGAAAUGUGGGAUUUUCGGUGUUUCAGGGUCCUUUCUAGCCUCUUGGAAUUAUUCUAAACCUUGUGCAAAGCUCAAAGUAGGGUUUAAAGGCCAAUAAUCAACCUAAAAUGGAGUUUACGACCAUUGAAGGGUGUACGGCCGUAAAACCAUUCCGAAUUUAUGAUUUGGGUCGAUUCUAGGUAAAAAAUCAGUGGUUUCCAAUAAACAUUAAGCAUGGAGGGAUGUUACUUACUGAGAGAGGCUUGGAAAACGGUUUUUAGCCACCAAACACUAGUGUGUGUUAUUGGUGUUCUUGGUGAGAGAGGAUAUCUAGCAAAGAUGAAACUAUAUGGAAUGAAAACAUGGAUUCAUCACUUAGAAGGGAUUAAAACACAAUAAAGGUGAUGAAUCACUUACAUUCUUGAUGGUUCUUGAUCAAACUCGGAAUUGUAGAGAGAGAGUAGAGAGAGAAAGCUUCUUAGAGUGUGAAAAGGUUGAAAUGGAGGCCACUCAGCCCUUAUAUAGGGUGAGUUUACGACCAGGGGUGGGGGUCCACCUGGCACUGACCUCAAAUAGAGUUUACGGCCGUACACGAGUUUAUGGCCGUAAACUCGCCUUGGCCGUGAACUCGUGGCUUUUCGAGGGAAUCGUGAGUUUUUCGUUUUCCGACACGUAUGUAUUUAUGACAAUAACCCUAGUUAAUUAACUUAACCCAAGAAGUUGACGGAAAAUUUUAAUAAAAAUUAAAUUUUAUUAACAGAAGUGGGUUACAAUAACGGAAUAAAUUUUGGGUUGUCACAUCAUCCCCCCGUUAGAGGGAAUUUCGUCCCGAAAUUCGAAAAUAAGAUACAAAUUAUGGAUUUGGAAAGAGAUGUGGAUAUUUCUAUUUCAUUGAAUCUUCGCGUUCCCAAGUGAAUUCAGGUCCCCGCUUGGCAUUCCAGCGAACCUUCACUAUCGGGAUGUGGCUUUGCUUUGUUCGUUUGACCUCCCGGUCCAUGAUUUCGAUUGGUUCUUCCACGACGUUCAGAUUUUCGUUGAUUUCAAUUUCGUCAAGAAGGACCACAAGGGUUUCGUCAGAUAAGCACUUCUUAAGAUUUGAAACGUGGAAGACAGGGUGAAUAUUGUUACGCUCUUGUGGUAAACGGAGUUUGUAGGCUAGGGACCGAUCCUAGCAAGGAUCUCAAAGGGUCCUAUAUAUCUUGGAUUUAGCUUUCCACGCUUUCCAAAGCGUAUCAUGCCUUUCCAGGGCGAUACCUUCAAUAGGACGUGGUCUCCGACCUGGAACUCCAAGGGUUUUUGUCGCUUAUCGGCGUAGCUCUUUUGUCGAUCUCGUGAAGCUUUUAGUCAUUCCUGGAUUUGCAUGAUCUUUUCAGUGGUUUCACGGAUAAUCUCUGGACCAGUGAGAGCGUUGUUGGGGACUUGUCCCUUGGCUAGCUGCAUGUCGCCCACCGCAUCCCAGCACAGAGGGGACCUGCACUUACGACCAUAGAGGGCUUCAAAUGGCGUAGCCUUGAUGCUGGUAUGAUAACUAUUGUUGUUGGAGAAUUCAACCAAGGGCAAAUGAGUGUCCCAUGACACGCCGAAAUCGAUGACGCAGACUCUCAACAUAUCUUCCACGGUUUGGAUGGUUCUCUCACUCUGUCCAUCUGUCUGAGGAUGAUAUGAUGUGCUCAUGUCCAGCUUAGCUCCAAGAGCCUUCUGCAGGGACUGCCAAAAUCUAGAAGUGAACCUGCUAUCUCGAUCGGAGAUAAUGGAUACAGGCACACUGUGUAGUCGAACUAUCUCUUGGAUGUAGAUUCGUUUGAGUCUUUCCAUAUUGAAAGUUUAUUUGAUUGGCAGAAAGUGACCAGAUUUCGUCAACCGAUCGACUAUUACCCAAAUGGUGUCGUACCCACUCGGAGAUUUGGAUAAUUUGGUGAUGAAAUCCAUGGUAAUCCUCUCCCACUUCCACUCAGGUAUAUCGGGCUGCUGCAGCAAACCUGAGGGCUUCUAAUAUUCAACCUUCACCUUGGCGCAAGUCAGACACUUGCCCACGAAGGUAGCAAUCUCGGCUUUCAUGUUUGGCUACCAAUAUAGUUUCUUGAGAUCAAGGUACAUCUUAUCCAAUCCUGGUUGAACGGAGUAUCUAGUCUUGUGAGCUUCGUCCAUGACAACCUCUCUAUAUCCACCGAACUUUGGGGUCCAGAUACGGUUCAUGAAAUAAUAGACUCCAUCUCCCUUGAUCUCUAAGUUUUUCUCCAUACCCCUUAAGGCUUCGUCUGCUAUGUUCUCUGGUUUUAGGGCUUCCUGCUGAGCCUCUCUGAUUUGUGCGGCUAAGUGGGAAUGGAUGGUCAUAAUUAGUAUCUUCACUUUACGACCUGAACAUUCUUUCCGGCUAAGGGCAUCUGCUACCACAUUGGCCUUGCCGGGAUGGUAGUGGAUUUCGCACUCAUAGUCACUGAGUAGUUCUACCCAUCGCCGUUGUCUCCUGUUUAAGUCUUUCUGGUCGAAGAUGUGUUGCAGGCUUUUAUGGUCAGUGAAGAUCGUGCAUUUGGUUCCAUAGAGGUAAUGUCUCCAAAUCUUCAGUGCGAAGACCACUGCUCCCAACUCUAGGUCGUGAGUUGUAUAAUUAACUUCAUGUGCUUUCAGCUGCCUCGAGGCAUAAGCAAUAACCUUUCCUCGCUGCAUAAGCACCCAGCCUAAUCCAUGGUUGGAUGCAUCGAAGUAGACAACAAAGUCCUCCGUCCCUUCGGGCAGAGACAGGAUAGGUGCGUUGCACAAAGGAUCGCUUCAAUGUUUGGAAUGCAGUGUCUUGCUUUUCAUUCCAACAAAAGGGUACACAUUUUUGAGUCAGAGUGGUUAAGGGUUUGGCAAUUCUGGAUGAAUCUACGAUAAUAGCCAGCAAGACCCAAGAAUUGACGAAUUUCCGUGGGUGUCUUCGGUGCUGACCAAUUCUCUAUCGCUUUGAUUUUGGAGGGUCCACGUGUAUGCCUUCCUCACAUACCACGUGACCUAGGAAGGUUACUUUUCGAAUCCAGAAUUCGCACUUGGAGAAUUUAGCGUAUAACCUCUCUGUCCUUAGAGUUUCCAGCAUUAAUCUCAAAUGUUGUUUGUGAUCUUCCUCGCUUCUGGAAUAAACAAGUAUAUCGUCGAUAAACACGAUAACAAACUUGUCCAAGAAAGGACAGCACACCCGAUUCAUUAGGUCCAUGAAUAUUUCCGGUACGUUGGUUAGACCGAAGGGCAUUACUACGAAUUCGUAGUGACCAUAUCGAGUUCGGAAUGCUAUUUUAGGAACAUCACCCUUGUGGACUCGUAGAUGAUGGUACCCUGAUCUGAGGUCUAUUUUGGAGAAAAAGAUGGCUCCUUGAAGCUGGUCGAAAAGAUCAUCGAUCCGAGGAAGAGGAUAACGGUUUUUGAUGGUGAGUUUGUUCAGUUUGCGGUAGUCAAUGCACAUCCGAAAAGAUCCAUCCUUCUUUUUCAAAAAUAAAAUCGGGGCUCCUCAGGGUGAGGAACUCGGUCUGAUGAAUCCUUUGCUGAGUAGCUCAUUGAGUUGGCUGGACAAUUCUUGCAUUUCUGCCGGCGCUAAGCGAUAUGGGGAGUUAGCUAAGGGGGUAGCUCCGGGAAUUAAGUUGGUGCGAAACUCGACUUGGCGCUCGGGAGGAAUUCCCGGAAGUUCUUCUAGAAAGACAUCAGGAAAAUUGCAGACUUCGGGGAUGCUCUCGAGGUCCUUAACUUCCUGUUUCUCAUUAAUCACAUGGGCUAGGAAUGCAUGACCCUCAUUUCGCAGAAGUUUUUGGGCUUUGAUGCACGAGAUAAUGCGAAGGUUUGAACUGAGUUUAUCACCAUAGAUCACAAGGAUUUCUCCAGAGGGAUGAUUAAGGCGGACGACUUUUUCGAAACAAAGGAUAUCAGCACGAUUGGGGAUCAACCAAUCCAUGCCAAUGAUGACAUCGAAGCUUUUUAUGGAAACUGGCAUGAGGUCGAUCGGAAAUGAAUGAUCAUUUAGGGUAAGGGUACAGCUGCGAAAUAUAUCGUUAGUGCUCUCUUUCUCACCGUUAGCCAUUUCGACGGUAAAUGUUCCGGUUAAUAAUUAGGGUUUAUGCUUGAGAAGAUGUUUGAAUGAAUGGCUAACAAAACUUCUUUCCGCACCAGAAUCGAAAAGAAUGCAUGCAUAAGAGUUGUCAAGGAGGAACGUACCCGUAACAACGGUAGGGUCAGCGACUGCCUCCUCUUGCCCCAUCGUUAGAACCAUCCCGGUGUUGCUAGUUGUUGUUGCUUUGGGGCAGUUUCUCUUGUAAUGCCCGACCUUGCCACAGCCAUAACAGGCUUGACCGACACCUGCUCCAGAUGUCUGAUUGGUUGGUUGGGCUGGUGUUCUGCAGCUUCGGGCAGUGUGACCCUUCUUGCCAUAGUUGUUGCAGAGCAUUUCACGACAUGGGCCGGGGAUACGGUGAUGAUAACUGCACUUGCUACACCAAGGGAGGGUACCAGUAUAUCCACUGGUAGGUGCUUGAGUUGCAGGAGCAGCGACAGGAGUAGUGGUAGCGUGGACUGCCAUAGUUUGUUAUUUCUUGGAGGACCCUUGCGAACUCUGACCCUUUCGCUUGUUCCAGAAUUUGUUUUUAUUCUCACCACUCUCCUUUGCUGGUUCAGGAGUGGCUGUCGUUGCAUCAAGAUCAACUCCAUGAUCUAUGAGGGUCUACGCCAGGCACUUGGCGCUAUCGAAAGUGAUUGGCCUGGCAACCAAGACAUUCCCUUGAGUUGGGGGCGUCAAUCCCCAAAUGUAUCUCUCUAUCUUCUUGCUUUCCGGGGUGACCAUUCCCGGGCAAAGAAGUGCUAGGUCUUCAAACCUUGAAGUAUAGGCAACAAUAUCAGAACCCUUCAUCUUUAGUAUCCAGAGUUCAUGCUCCAAUUUCUGCAUUUCGCUCCGUGGGCAGUACUCAGCAAGCAUGAGCUCUUUCAAGCUCUCCCAACCCAUAGCAUUUGCUACUGGCAGGGUUAGGGAUUUGACCCGACUAUUCCACCAGGUCAAUGCUCUGUUGGUGAAAGUGCAGGCGGCGAAUUUCACCUUGUUGGCUUCCGAACAGGAAUAGAUUUCGAAGAUAGACUCGAUCUUCUCGAACCAUCGAGUAAAGGCAAUAACACCUCCAGUGCUGUCGAAAGAUUUGGGUUUUGCAUUCAUAAAGUCUUUAUACGAGCACUCCUUCGGAUGCCCUUGACUCCCUUCAUGACUUUGGGAAUGAAUACCACUCCCGGAAUCACCAGGAUUUAUUUGUGACAAAGCAGCAGUCAUGGCGCCAGUAACAGCUGCCUGGAACAUAGCAGGAUCGAACUGGGGAGGUGGUGGUGGCGUUGGAUCCGUCGAGGAAUUGUUGUUCUUUUUAUUGGGUCUUUNAUGAUCAGGAAGAAGAGGAUGGUAAGUCCUCUGAAUUGAAUCAAGAGAUAUGAAGCAAGAAAUAUCUCAGUAUGACAGCUAGAGUGUUCUACUAAGCGAUAAACAAGGAAAAACUACUAAUGCAAAGAAUUUAUCGCAAGAAGAAUGAGUAGCAACACUUGGAAGUGAAUCUUUACAAAGAAUUUGACUCUAGCAAAAUACUCCUAUAGUAUUUUAUGUUUUGUUGUACCGAUGUCAUGUUGUAUGGAUAUUUGGUAAGUUUUAGGCCUGCUGCACACCACAGUCACUCCCAAGCACAUGUUGGUCAUGUCUCAAAUGAAUAUAGUUGAUCAUGCUAUAUUGACCCUAGACAUGAUUACAUAACCGCCCAGGUUUAACCUCAGUGUCCAACAUCCAAUUACUUUUGUUUUGUUCUACUCGUGGUUACUGUUUCUGGUAUAUAGGUAUACUUGUAUACUUCUUCCAAAAUACUUAUAUUUUAAAGUAUACUUUUAGUUCAGAGCACUUCGGCCCCUUAGUGUUUAUAUGUCACACCCCCGAACCAGACGGCAGAAACGUCCGAGGGCUAUUGUGACUCAAUUGAAUAACAUCACAAUGAAUAUACAUGAAACAUAACAUCAUUCAUCACCAAGCAUUGAAUUAAUACAACUGGUAGCGUUUACAUUUAGUACAUUGUUUCAUAACAUUACAUUCCCAAAAAGUAGAUUGUUCGAUACUAGUUAAACAAACAACAAGACAUCACUGGGUACAUUUUUCCUGCGAUUUACCUUUUACCUGAGAAUACAAGUAUUUUGAAAAACGUCAACAUAUGAAAUGUUGGUGAGUUCAUAAGUAAUGUUUGAAACAUGAUGUUUUGUAUUAUUUUGAAAAACCACCAGAAAAUCCGAUAUUUUCUUAAAAGAUUAUUGUAAGUAAGAAAAAGUGUGAAGAUCCGUAAGUAUGCUUGUUUAUUUCUAUAAGUGUGAAAAAUUGUUAUACUUGGUAUGCAUCACGUAGGUGUAAGUGUUGAAACCCCUAGGAAAACCCGAUGUUUUCCUAAUACUUUAAAUUACGCGUUUUAUAUUUGGUUAUACCGUUGUGACGUGUGUAUUUGAUAAUUCCAGGUGACAUUGGAUUAAUUAAGGGUGGUGAGUUGUUGUAAUCACGCAUUAAUGAAAAUGGCUAGCUUACGACUAUACAAACGAACCCUUAGGCGUCGUCUGUACUACUCACCUAAUCCAACCACCCUGACUUCCCAUAGCCCCACAACCUAAGAAGAAAAGAGGGUGCGAAGCCCCCGUUAAUUCCACGAGUCGUUAAAGGCUAUCGUGAAUGCGAAAGGCCCUUGGCCCGACUCGCAUUUGUGAAUUCUCGACUUUGCUAGCAGUACCAAAGGACCCUUGGGGCCCAACAGCGCAAAAGCUAUUGAAAGUCCUUUUACACGGUAUCAGGUCGUAUAAGACCCAAUAUCAUGUAAGCGCGUUUCCUUCGGGCUUAAAGAUCAUGUCAUUGGGCUAGCUAGGCCCAGCAAGCGCGAUUUGAAACUUUCGGGCCCAAAGAUGGUGUAUCGACGUUUGAUGAAUUCCUACGUGUGUAUUGACUUCCCGUAAUUUCAGCAUGUGUAUUAUAGUAUCGUCGUGAAUAGAUUUUUGAUUCGUUAUUGAUUCGAGACCGAAUCAAUUCGUUUGGUAACGAUUUUUGGUGUUGAAGGUGUAUUAUAUUUUGUCGGUAAUCGUGGUACUAGUAUUUUGUCAUAAAGGAUCUAUUGUUUAAAACCUUAGAAUUUUUCUUUUUGAAGCCCUUUUCUUGUAUAAAUUUACACUUUUCACCCUUUAUAUAAAAGAAUUUCCAUUUUAGUCCUUAAGCCAUUUUUCUUGACACUUUAGUAUCAAAACUUGUUGAAAAGGAAAUUUUCAGCUCAAAUUUACUUUAAAAAAAACUGUUUUAGUCCCUCAAAAUGAAGUUUUCUAGGUUGAAACCUCUAAUUUCGCAAUUUUUACAAUUUUGACCCAAAAUGGAAUUUUUUUGCAUUUUUGGUCCCUCUUAAAUUUGAAAAGUAUUUUUAACCCUUGAAAUGGUCUUGGUACACUAGUAGUUCCCUGUUUUACAGAAAAGUGCAGUUUCAGCCCCUCUAAAUUAAAAAUCUCGCAAUUUGGGCUAUAUUGGGCCGAAAAGUUCAUUUUUGGCCCAAUAUGUUUAAAAAUUCACCUUUUAAUCCUUCAAAAGAGUAAAUUUUCAGAAAAUACAUUUUUAAAAUUGUUUUGACUCAUCUCAACCUUCAGAAUUUCUAUUUUGUCAUUUUGGGCCCUUUAGUUUUAUAUAUUUAGCAUUUUGAGCCCAAAAAUGGGUUUUAAGCCCAAAGAUGUUCAUAUUAACCAACUUGGUUAUUUUUCUAGAAAUGAUUUGUGUGUAAUAAUAUAAUUUAUACUUAUUUCAUACAACUUAAUGUAGAUCUCGGUUUUAAGGUCUUUUUGACUAGAUCCAACACCACAAUCACAUAAGAACAUAUAUAUAUAAACAUAGAAAUCACACAAAGCAUACAUAUACUCAUAGAUCUACACAUUUGCUUGUAUUCUCCCCCCACAAAACUUAUAAAAACCAAAAAAUAGGGGGUAUGAAGCUCACCUUUGGGUGUGGUUUCGGCCUUUAGAAGAAGUGAGAAGAAAGUUUGGCCUUAGUACCUCUCCUUGGAAGAUCUCGAACUUAGAGAGUUUCUAGGAGAGUGAUCAAGGUUUUUACAUGGAUUAGAAGAAGAUUUUGAUAAAACAAAGUACCAAAAUCAUAGAUCCUAACUUGAUCUUACCUUAGGUGAAGAAUUUGUGGAGAUAUCUCCUUGAAAGCUCCUUAGAUCUCGAAAUUUUGGAGGAGAAAUGAGAGAGUUUCUUGAGAGAAAAAGAUGAGUGAAAUGUGUGUGUGCGCUUGAAAUCGGCCGAGAGAAAGAGAGAGAGAAGGAGAAAGGAAUGGCUAAGCUUGGAAGUAUGUGAGUGCAUGGAUGUUUGAGUUCUCAUGCAUGGGUGUCCCAUGGAUAAUGGUGAGGUGUCACUCACAAGUCAACUCCUCUUUCUCUUGGGCUUGGACCGAGAAUGGGGAGAGUGAGGGGAGGUUUUUGGGCUUUUUGCCCUUAAGCCCAUGUUCUAGUUUGGUUGAAUGAUUUUUGGCCCUAUAAAAAUAUAAGUUUGAUUUUUAUGCUUUACUAGGCUAGAUUAGGUUAAUUAUGGUCCAAAAUGGUUCAUAUAAUUAAUCUAUUUCAUUCUAGGCCCAAUAUGGCCCAAAAUAUUGAAUUAAAUGAAAAUGGGUCCAAUUAGAGCCCAUUUAAGAGUUCUAAACCCAAGAUGGUCAAAUUGGAAGCUUAUUGGUCCAUUGGGCCCAAUAAGGAAGUCCUAGUCCAAAAGUGGACUUAAACAAGAACUUCUAGGGUUUCCAAUUGCCUAUUGACUACUUGAAAUGCUUGCAUGGUGUAUUUGAUUGAAUUUUUGUUGUCAUAAAGUAAGCAUCAUACAUGCUCUUAAGUCUUUGAUUCACAAUUUUACUUAAUUGUUGUAGUUACAAGGCACAAAAUUUCUAGUUGUGACAUCAUCCCCCCGUUAGAGGGAAUUUCGUCCCGAAAUUCUGUUUGAAAGCUAGAUUUGAGAAUGCUAGAAUAGAUGAGGGUAAUUUUGCUUCAUUUGAUCUUCGCGUUCCCACGUGAAUUCUGGCCCACGCUUUGCGUUCCAUCGUACUUUCACGUUCGGGAUGCGACUCUGCUUAGUACGCUUCACCUCCCUGUCCAUGAUUUCAACCGGUUCUUCAACGAACAGGAGAUUCUCGUUGAUUUCAAUCUCGUCAAGGGGAAUGAAGAGUGNCCUUGUCCGAUGUGAGUGCCUUUGCUAGCUGGGUGUCGCCCACCUCAGCCCAACAUAACGGUGAUCUACACUUACGCCCGUACAGUGCUUCGAAAGGAGCGACCUUGAUGCUCGAAUGGUAACUGUUGUUAUACGAGAAUUCGACUAAAGGUAAGUGGGUAUCCCAAGACUUCCCAAAGUCUAUCACACAUGCGCGAAGCAUGUCUUCGAACGUUUGAAUGGUUCGUUCGCUUUGACCAUCCGUUUGUGGGUGGUAAGCGGUGCUCAUGUCGAGAUGGGUUCCAAGUGCUUUCUGGAGUGAUUGCCAAAAACGCGAAGUGAACCUACUGUCUCUAUCCGAGAUAAUAGACACUGGUACUCCAUGGAGUCUCACGAUUUCUCGAAUGUAUAAACGCGUCAUCCUUUCCAUCUUGUAGGAUUCUUUUAUUGGCAGGAAAUGAGCGGAUUUCGUUAGGCGGUCGACUAUUACCCAUAUGGUGUCUAGUCCAUCCGGCGUCUUGGGCAGCUUGGUCACAAAAUCCAUAGAAAUCCCUUCCCAUUUCCACUCAGGGAUCACCGGUUGCUGUAAUAACCCCGAGGGCUUCUGGUACUCCACCUUUACCUUGGCACAAGUAAGGCACUUACCAACAUAGGUGGCAAUUUCUGCCUUCAUGUUAGGCCACCAAUAGUGUUGUUUAAUAUCCAAAUACAUCUUGUCCGAGCCGGGAUGGAUGGAGUAUCGCGUCUUGUGGGCUUCCUUCAUGACUACCUCCCUAAAUCCUCCGAGUUUAGGGACCCAAAUACGGUUCAUGAAGUAGUAUACUCCGUCCUCUUUUACCUCUAGAUUCUUCUCCAGUCCGCGUAAUGCUUUGCUUGCUCUGUUUUCCGUCUUUAUGGCCUCUGAUUGGGCUACUCCAAUAUGAGUGGUUAAGUGGGAUUGGAUGGUUAUUGAGAGUGUUUUCACACGACGAUUAGAGUACUCCUUCCGGCUCAAUGUGUCAGCUACCACGUUGGCCUUGCCCGGGUGGUACUUGAUUUCACACUCGUAAUCGUUUAAUAAUUCGACCCAUCUUCGUUGCCUCAUAUUUCACACUCGUAAUCGUUUAAUAAUUCGUACAAUAAAGGUAAUGCCUCCAAAGGGUCCUUUCUAGCCUCUUGGAAUUAUUCUAAGCCUUGUGCAAAGCUCAAAGUAGGGUUUAAAGGCCAAUAAUCGACCUAAAAUGGAGAUUGUGGCUAUUGAAGGGUGUAUGGCCGUAAACCCAUUCCGAGUUUAUGAUUUGGGUCGAUGUAGGUCAAAAAUCAGUGGUUUCCAAAAAACAUUAAGCAUGGAGGGUUGUUACUUACGGAGAGAGGCUUGGAAUAAGGUUUUUAGCCACCAAACAUAGUGUGUGUUCUUGUGUUCUUGGUGAGAGAGGAUAUCUAGCAAAGAUGAAAUUAUAUGGAAUGAAAACAUGGAUUCAUCACUUAGAAGGGAUUAAAACACAAGAAAGGUGAUGAAUCACUUACAUUCUUGAUGGUUCUUGAUCAAACUCGGAAUUGUAGAGAGAGAGAGAGAGAGAGUAGAGAGAGAAAGCUUCUUAGAGUGUGAAUGUAACAUCCCAAAAAUACAGGCCAAAAAUUUCAUUUUUAAAUACGUCAUUAUAAAACCAAUAGUGUAAUAAAACAUCUGUAAUAUCAUGUCAUGUCAAAACCAAAGUAGAAAUAAUCAAACGUGUUAUCAUAAAAUAAUAUCAAAGUGUAAUCCCAAAGAUCUCAUGUGCGGAAAACCAUAGUGUGAUGCACUGCGAUCAAGCCGGCUCCUUUCCUUUAAACACGAAGUACCUGAAACCAAAACUGAAAACCGUAAGCACAAAGCUUAGUGAGUUCCCCCAUCAUACCUCAUACCAAACAAUCACAUAACAUACAUAUAUUGUCAGGCAUAUCUGGGUGCCCGACCUACCCCUUCGGUCCUCUCGACCGGAUACAGACUAGUCUAUCUGGGAGCUGGCCUCCCCUUCGGUCCUCUCGACCGGAUACUGACUAGCAUACCUGGGUGCUGGUCUCCCCUUCGGUCCUCCCGACCGGAUACUGACAAGCAUGUCUGGGAGCUGGCCUCCCCUUCGGUCCUCUCGACCGGAUACUAACUAGUAUGUCUGGGAGCUGGCCUCCCAUUCGGUCCUCUCGACCGGAUACUGGGGACUAUUUCACCCCUACUACUACCACAUAACACAUAUAUCACAUAAUCUAUCUAUCAUGGCUGGGCAUGACCGCCCUUUCGGCCCUAUCGACCGGUAUUUUGGGGGACUAUCUCCCCCUACUGUCACUAGCACAUAGCAUCAUAUCAUACUAGCACAAUAACAUAUCACAGGUAGUAGCAACCCUAUAUGAAUAUCACAGAGACAAACAUCUAUCAUACAAUUCCUACUGGUGGGCCGACAUUGUGGCCGUAGACCCACCGCUACUGGAAGGUAACUCACCUCACACUGCUGAAGUCCCGAAGACACAAUCCCAUACUUGCUGAAGUCCCGCAGACUCGACCCCAGCUGCUGGCUGACAAAUUUCCGAACUGUCAACACCAAAAUAACACCCAAUUAAUAAUUGGGUCCCAAUACAUAACCAUAAGUACAUUCUUUGGGUAAUUACUACAUUACCCCUAGCUUGGCUUAUUCAAGCCCAAGGCCCAAUCCAUAGGCCCAAAGUCGACUAGGAAUCAAAGCCCAACACAUGGCCCAAUUUUCCAAAUUGGGCCUAGGCCUAUACAUGGUCUUAUUCUGAGGCCCAACAUCAUGUAAUUAUUAAGGCCCAAACUAUGGCCCAUUUAUGGCCUAAUUUUCCAAAUUGGGCCUAAACCCCUUACAUGGGCCUUACCCUGGGCCCAUUAAAUUAUUCUAGUUCAAUUGCUUGCUCUUGGAUGGUCCAUUAUUAUCUCAAUCAUUUAGGCCCAAUAGAAAGGCCCAACAUUAAACCCAAGUGAAAUUAGGGUUUCACAUAAAAUGAUGAUUAGGGUUAAGUUUCCUACUUAACCCAUUAAGGACUUAAUCCAUUAAGUCCAAUAUUGCUUAGAUUAAUUUCCGCUAAUGAUUAUUAUUCAAUAUUCCAAAUUAUUAAAUAAUUCCCGAGAGUCCCGAUUAAUUCCCCAAAUUAAGAUUUAUUGGCAUUAGGGUUUUCCAACACAAAUUCUAGCCCAUUAUUAAUUUGUUGGACUUUUAGGUUAUUUAGGGCUUUAUUGGGCCUAUCAAGCCCACUAGAAUAUCAUUGAGCCCAUUAGGGUUUUAUUAGGGUCUGUUAAGCUUUAUUGGGCCCAUUUGAGCUACUUUGGCCCAUUAGGGUUUCAAGCACCCCCAAACAAAUCAAACUCACAAGGAAAACACACCGCCACCCGACANNNNNNNNNNNNNNNNNNNNNNNNNNNNNNNNNNNNNNNNNNNNNNNNNNNNNNNNNNNNNNNNNNNNNNNNNNNNNNNNNNNNNNNNNNNNNNNNNNNNNNNNNNNNNNNNNNNNNNNNNNNNNNNNNNNNNNNNNNNNNNNNNNNNNNNNNNNNNNNNNNNNNNNNNNNNNNNNNNNNNNNNNNNNNNNNNNNNNNNNNNNNNNNNNNNNNNNNNNNNNNNNNNNNNNNNNNNNNNNNNNNNNNNNNNNNNNNNNNNNNNNNNNNNNNNNNNNNNNNNNNNNNNNNNNNNNNNNNNNNNNNNNNNNNNNNNNGGCGGCAGCCACCACCCUAUGGUGGUGGUUUGAUUUUCCUUUCAUUAUUCCAAUUUUUACAAUUACAAUGCACUCACGAAAUAACAUACACACAUACACUAUACUAAAAAUAACACACACCCACAACCACCCUUGUGGUGGUCGGUGGUAGGGAUGAGAUUUAGAACUGGAAAACCGGACCGGAACCGGAACCGAACCGGAACCGGACCCGUUAGAACCGGAAUAUAUAGAACCGGGUCCGGUUCCGGGUUUAAAAAUUGGCUUUAUCCGGGUUCCGGGUAAUCCGGGUUUGGGUCCAUUGGGUCCGGGUAAACCGGGUCUAAAAUCCGGAACCGGUUUUUGGAACCGGAACCACUUUUAGGGCCGGAACCACUUUUUGUGAAACGUUUACAAGAUGCAUAUCUUAUUCGUUUCAACUCCAAUUGACAUACGGUUUUUUCCAACAUGUAGUUUAGAGUUUGUACAUGAUUCUAGACUAUAAAUUUUUCAUUUUUAGUUUUAUAUUCAUUGACUUACAGUCCUCAAAAGUUGAGAUACCAAAGCUGAAAGUUUUUAGUUUUUUAGUUUUUUUGUAUUCGGUGAAAGUUUUAAAGCAUGCAUAUCUAAUUCGUUUGAAGUCGGAUUGACAUGUGGUUUUUUCCAACUUCUAGUUUACAGUUUGUACAUGAGUUUAAACUAUAAUUUUGUCAUUUUUGGUUUAACAUUCAAUGAUUUACAGUCCUCCGAAGUUGGGAUAUCAAAACUGAAAACUUUCAACUUUUCAGCUAUUUGUUUUUGUACUUUGUAUUAUGUGAAAAUAUUAACACAAGUAUAUCUCAUUCGUUUAAAUUCGGAUUGACAUGCGGGUUUUUCCAAAGUGUAUUUUAGAGUUUGUACAUGAUUUUAGACUAUAAUUUUGUUAAUUGUGGUUUCGUAUUCAAUAAGUUACAGCCCCCCAAAGUGGGGAUAUCAAUAUAAAAAUUUUCAAAGUUCAACCCACUAAGUUGUAAGUAAUUACCAAAAAAUUCCGGUUUUUUCGGGUUUUCCGGGUCUAAACCCACUUUAUCCGGUUCCAACCUACCCACUUUGAAGUUUCCGGGUUUUCCGGUUCUAGACCCACUUUACCCGGAACCAUGUAAGACUAUAAUGUGGGAAACUUUAUGGUCAAGGAUAUCAUUUUGGGUUUGGAUCUGGAAAAUGGGCUUAAGAGCUUAAGGAUUAACCUCUUAAUGAUUUGGUUUGGCAGCCAGCUGUGUACGCUGGGUGUACAAGGUGUAUGUUGCUCUUACGUGGCCAACAGGACUAUACCUGGUCAACUAACGUGUAUGUUGGGCGUACUCAGCUGGGUUGACUCGGUUGAAUUUUUGGAAUUUUGACUUUUACCAGAUUUUGACCAAUUGUGACCAAGGGGUAUUUUGGGUAUGUUGUAUUGUGUUUGAGAAUUGGUCAUUUGGAUGGAUAGGUGACACUUAGAGCCCAGAUUUAGAGUUAGGACCCCAUCAGCUAUUAAUCAGAUCGAAAGGUGAGUUUUCCUCACUAUACUUACGGGUCGAAGACACCACGGCCGGCCCAUUGGAUUGGAUAUUCUUUUAUGUGAUUGUAUGUUAUCGUGUUGUAUUGAUCUGUUAGAUCUAUAUCAUGAUAUAUAGGAUGAUGUUAUGUUUAGUGAUACGUAGAUCUGCUUGAUUGUCUGUUGAUUGAUUUUAUGUUUAUUUGUUAUAUGUGCAUAUAUUUUGAUUGGUGGUUGAGGCUUUACUUCUAUGUACAUGAGCCAACAGACCGGGGCCAUUGGGCCCGAGGGUAUUCCAACCUGAUGGUUGACUGGACCCGUUGUAUAGUGGCAUUCCAACCUGGGGUAUUCCAUCCUGAGGAUGACUGGACCCAGAGGUUGAUUGGGCCUGGGGUAUUUCAACCGAUGGUUGACUGGACCCAUAGUGCAAUGGCAUUCCAACCUGGGAUAUUCCAUCCCGAGGAUGACUGGACUCGGAGGUUGAUUGGGGUUGGGGUAUUCCAGCCCGAUGGUUGAUUGGACCCGACAUGUUGUUAUAUAUGUUAUUUGUUAUGUUUAUGUGGUGGUAUUUUAGGGGAACUCACUAAGGUUCGUGCUUACAGUUUUGGUUUAUGGUUUCAAGUACUUUAGAGGACCGUGGAAAGGCGAAGGCGUGACCGCACACAUCCUGAUUUUAUGUCAUUGAUCUUGGGAGACACUGGUUUUUAAAUAAUGUUUUGGAAACAAUGCUUUUGUAAACACCUUUAUUAGUAAAUGGGUUGUUUUGAAAUAAAUUUAAUUGUUUGAAAUUUUUUGGAUGUUAUACUUGGCUUCUUCUGUAUGCACCGUGCAGACCACGCGUAGACAUUAGACUUCGCAAACUGUUUUUUUUUCUUUCAAGACUAUAGACCUAAAAAUGUAUUUGCGUCCUCGGCACAGAUGUAGACCAGAGUUUUAAAACAUCUUCUAGACUAAAAAACACAUAUAUCUUUUUUUUUUUUAAACUUAGAUUUAUUCCAACUUUAUGUAUGAUAAACAAUUUGAAAAAAAAAAAAGUUACAAUACUUUAAGGAAAAAGGUUUGACGACAUAAUUAUGACCUUUGUGAUAAAUUUAUAAAUAAAGAUUUAAUUGCAAUAAUGGUCGUUGGAGUUAUUUAUAUAGAUACGAAAAAAUCCUAAUAUUGUCUUAUAAAUUUUGUGCCAAAUUUUAUAAAACAUUAUCUAAUGUAGUAUCAUUUAUUUCUUGAGAAAAAUAUUUAUGACCAAUUUUUAAUAGAUUUAAUUGAAAAAGUAAAAUGAAAAUUUUGAAAUUUUUUACUCAAGUUCAAAGUUUAUUUUCAUCCAUUUUAUGUCCUAAAUUUUUUUAUCUCUAAUUACAAUGUUUAUGUAUAAUUUUGCGACCAAAGUUGAUUGGUUUUUAUCAAAUAUAUAUGUUAAUUAGUACAAUUUUAUUUUCACUUUUAUAUAAUAAUACAUAAAAGUUGAUCUUCAUUUUUAUUUAUCUAUAAUAAAGUCACAAAAUUAUUGAAAAAUUCUUUUAAGUUUUUUUUUAACCAGUUUAAUUAAUUUUUAUUUAAUUCUAGCAGUCUGUAGAUGUUAAAAAACAAUCUUCUUCUUUCAAACUACAGACGUUUGGUCCACCUCUUCUACAGCAGAGGUCUGUAGAUGUGGUCCACAGACUGCAUAUAUUUUACCUCAAAAAAAAAAUCAAACAACGCCUUAAAUGUCUAAUAAUGUCACUAAUGGAAGAACCUGGAUGAUCUCUUAUGUUUGAGAUGUUACAUAUAUGCAAUUAGACAACAAUCUAUGUCCAUCCUACUGAUAUUUAUUAUUUAUAUACUCUAUAUUGAAAUUCUCUCUUUCCCCCAAAAAAAUUAAAUGAAGUUAUGGGUUCAAACAGAUAGAACCGAUUCAACAUCUAUAUCGUUCCAGUUUUAUCGGAUGUCCCCGAAGGGACACCGAUUCAAGUUGAUUUAAGGUCCGAAACAAAAAUAAAAGAUGAAUCCCUUCACAGUAAUUUUUUAAGUAAAAGAAGGUGGUGAUAUAUAUAUAUAUAUAUAUAUAUAUAUANNNNNNNNNNNNNNNNNNNNNNNNNNNNNNNNAUAUAUAUAAUGGAUCCUAACAAUUUGCCCUGCACCAUCAGCAUUUUGUCCCCUUUACUGACAUGGCCCUAGAAGUAAUAAGAACUCUUAGCUCAUUUUUCUAACAAAAUAAUCGCUUUGAAAUAUAAUCAAACGAUGAAUCAUGGAUGAGUCAUAUCAUUAGCAACACAAAUACAAUAAUGAUGCAAAAAAUGGGAAAAAGAAGGGAAUACAAGCUUGUUUAUGUUUUUAAAUUACGCAAAAACUGUUCCUUAACAUAUUAUUAACAGGACCAUUUAAAAAGUCAUAUCAAAGUUCCCACCAUUUUCAUCAAGGUCCUCGCAUGUGUUCCAAUUGCUUCCUGACAUCAAAUUCCAAAUUGCAAUAAAUGAUUUAUUUAAAUGUUAGGAUCGAUAGCAACACAAAUACAAUAAUGAUGCAAAAAAUGGGAAAAAGAAGNNNNNNNNNNNNNNNNNNNNNNNNNNNNNNNNNNNNNNNNNNNNNNNNNNNNNNNNNNNNNNNNNNNNNNNNNNNNNNNNNNNNNNNNNNNNNNNNNNNNGUAGCCCUAGUAUUGAGUUUUGGAGCCUGGGUGUUGACCCAGGGGUGAUACUGGGGUCUCCGUCUCUGCCAGGAGAUGCGGCGAGAUGCGCAACAGAAACCAGAGAUUAGAGUUGAGACGAUCCUCGGUUGGAUUGUAUUUUCUCGCAUGAGGAAAAGAGAAUUUUGUGACUUGCGUGCCCCUAGGCCGGGAUAGUGGCCACGGGGAGGAAGUUAGCGGGAUAUUUGGAUCAUGAUAUGGGUGACCUUUGGAGGCUCAGCUGUGGAGCCAAAAGCUGACCUGGUGCUCAGUCUCGAGGAGAGAUAUGAGAAAUGAGCUAGAGCUUAUCAUGAUGAUGUCUGAGGACACUUUAGAGCGAGCGAGCGAUUCAGACGCUCAAAGACAUGCUUCGGACAUGUGUAUUAGAUCUCGGAGGGAGUUGCGACACGUAUUUAUCUUUGGUUGAGUUAUCCUAUAUCAACAGCCAUCAUUAGUGCACUAGUAUGCCACCCUUUGAGCUGUUGUAUGGGAGAAGGUGUCGGACCCUCAUUUGCUGGGGAGAGGUAGCGCAUGGACCCGAGAGUCCUUGCGAGCAGAUCCAGAGCAUGUGCGAUACAUGGAGUAGUGACAAGGUUGAUAAGUGUAUUUCCCUGGGUAAGGGAAGAGAAAAGUAUGUAACCCCGAGGGGGGGGGGGGAAGGGUUAGUUCACGGAAGUGAAAGUAGUAGUGAGAAUGGAAGAUUUGGAGUAUGGUGGUUGAACACUGUGUCCGUGACAGUGGUAUGGAAUGACAUAAUGAUGGGAUGUCUGUUGAGGACGUGGAAGGGAUUCCGUGGGUGUAGAGCCAAGAGUCUCAGGUUGGAUGCAGAGAUGGAGUCUGGGACUCCUAGCUUGAUUCUGAUCAAGGGUUGCGUGCGUUGUGGUGGUUCUUCCUGGGGAUGUUAGAAAUGUCGUCAGUGUGACGGGUUUUUCUUAAACCGAGGGUGCGAAGGUUGGUGUAGCAUGUGUGUGUGAUUGCAAGAAGAGGACUCGUGGGAGUUGCUCUGGGAUUGAAGAGUGUGUCUUUCUGUCACCAUGGAAUGGAUAGAGUGGGAUUCGGAUCGGGGAUCCGGUGGUUCGUGAUUAUAUCUAGCUCGUAGGGGGUCGAGCGAUUGUUGAGAUUUGGAGCAGUGAUGCAUCUCGGGGAAUUCUCGAUUGUUGAGUGUGAUUAUCAGAGGGUACAACCGGUGCCCAGUUCGAGACGGUGGUCAGGACACCGUAAGGAAAGGGAAAGUGUGUUCGAGUUUCGAUGGGUAUGCCUUGUGAGACCUGGUCCGAUUAAGGCUAGGUGGCACGUGUGGGAGUAUUUCUGGAGUUGAGUUGCUGUAGGCUUCGAGGACGAAGCCUAAUUUUAGUGGGGGAGAAUUGUAACAUCUCGAAAUAUCAAGAGUAGAGUGAAGGGCUAAAAGAGUAAAUGGGGAAAGAGCAACUCGGCGAGUCCAUGUGUGGACUCGGCGAGUAGAGUCGCGACUGGGUCGCGUGUUAAGUAGCCGACUCGGCGAGUCAAUGAGAUGGACUCGGCGAGUAGGCGCUGAGUGGAGAAAACCCUAAUUCUCGGGGUUGAGCCCUAUUUAAAGAUCAUUAUGUCUCCUUCUCAGCCUCUCUAUCACCCCUUGAGUCCCAGAAACCCUAAUUUCGAGGAGAAACACCAUGGUUGAGCAAAUUGGAGCUUGGAGAGGUGAUUGUUGAAGAGAUCCUAGAAAAGAAGAGGUUUGGAGCAAGGGGCUUUGCUUGGAAUUGAGUUUCAUUGCAGUUGGGGCGUCCUCUUGGAGGUAAUAUCUCGUUUUUGAGCUGCUAUUUCUUUAAUGCAUCAUUUUGGGGGUGUUAGAGACCAUAUCCUUGGAUGUAUUGGAGUCUAGAGGUUAGAUCUGAGGUUGCUACCUCAGAUCUGGAAGGGAGAAGGAUCAGAGAGCAUGAAAGUCCCUGUUUGUGAGUGAUUGAUGGAGCUAUUUUGUCCCAAACCCAAACCCUAGAGUGAAAAUGCAUAGAUCUCUUUGGAUUCACGUAAAGUUUGCCACUUUACGUGAUGGAUGAGUGGUAGGAGGCUAGAUCUAUGUUUUGGAGCAAUUGCAUGGCCUGGAAUGCUUCUGAAUGGAUUCAGACCGGUGGUACUCGGCGAGUCACAUGAGUGUACUCGACGAGUUGCAUGAAGAUGGCCUGGAACUCGGCGAGUUGUANNNNNNNNNNNNNNNNNNNNNNNNNNNNNNNNNNNNNNNNNNNNNNNNNNNNNNNNNNNNNNNNNNNNNNNNNNNNNNNNNNNNNNNNNNNNNNNNNNNNNNNNNNNNNNNNNNNNNNNNNNNNNNNNNNNNNNNNNNNNNNNNNNNNNNNNNNNNNNNNNNNNNNNNNNNNNNNNNNNNNNNNNNNNNNNNNNNNNNNNNNNNNNNNNNNNNNNNNNNNNNNNNNNNNNNNNNNNNNNNNNNNNNNNNNNNNNNNNNNNNNNNNNNNNNNNNNNNNNNNNNNNNNNNNNGUUGACCGUUGACUUUUAGGGUUUGGUCAGCGAUGUGGCCUUUGGGCCAAGAGAGGGGUAGAAUAGUCUUUUACCCUUAAGAGGGUGCAUUGAGAGGAUUGAUUCUAGUCUCGAGAGUUAUAGUCAUGAGAGUUUUUGCCUUACGUGUUAGGCGGUGGCGAGUUCGAGAUUCAAGUGUGGAGAUAUCUGCUUUCUGCUUGCCAGGUGAGUCUUCUCACUAUACUUUACCUUGAGUAGGUAACCAGAGUUAUGUGACAGAGUAUUUGUAUGCUAUGUAUGUUAUGUGUUGUACUGCAUAUUUCUAUGUGAUUUAUGCUGUGCAUGUUUGCAGAGUUGGAACCGAUGGGUUCCUAGAGUUAGAACCAGAAGGUUCACAGAGUUAGAACCUGAGGGUUCACAGAGUUUGGGUGCACGGACCCAUAGAGGUAUAGCCUCGCGUGGCUUAUAUGUGUUAUGUGUGUGGUAUUUUGGGAAACUCACUAAGCUUCGUGCUUACAGUGUUUGUGUGAUGUUUUGCAGGUUUCUUUCGGUAUCACGGGACGGCACUGGCUUGAUUGUACACACCAGAGAAAGAGUUAUGUUUUGGAGGAUCCUGGUUUUCUAUGCAAGUGAAAAUGGAGUUAUGUUUUGUAAUCCGAUUAUGAAUGAGAUUCUAAACAAGUGUUUCUAAGAAUAAAAUGAUUAUUUUAAAUGAAAAAUUGUUUUAAAAUUUUUGGUGUUACAAAUAACAAUUUAGUGUGCUCAGUGUGCUCAAUUUUUGCUUAAAUAGGAAAUGGUUAGUUUAAUUUUAUUUAACAUUGUAUUAUUAAUAGUAUUUAAAAUGAAUUUGAUCAUAAAAUGAAACAUUCUACUAUUGAUAUUAACCAUGUAGUUUUAUGUGCUAUGAAUAAGUAAAGACAAUUAAAUUUUUUUGGGCCUUCAACAUGUGAAGGUGGAAAAAUAGAAUGUGAAGAGUAGUGUUAUAUUUUUUGAACUCAACUAUUUAAAUUUUUUACAAUUUUUGAAAAUUUACCUGUAACUCGAUUUCUAUUGCUACAGGGGCAAAAGGGAAGAAGAGAGUGAUUCGCUUAUAAAUGUGUGUUUAAAUAUAUCGUAUUAGUAAUCCUAUAUUUAUGGCAGACAAUGGAAAACAAGAGAAAUCAUAUGUUGAAAAGCCUCUAAAGAUCUAAAUUCCAUCAACUCUAAAAAAGAAACUUGUCGAUGUCGUCAAGAAGAUUAUGUAGGAAGUUGUAAUCAUCGUUUGGGUUGUCUUAAGAACAAGAUUGCUUAUUUUUUUUUACUCAUAUCAUUAAGUGUAAAUUUGGAUUAGUACAGAGUUGGGAUUUAGAUUUCCAGUUACUUACUUAUGGUAUUAUAAUCGCUUAAAUUACUUUGUAGAAUCUUUGGGUAUACCAAGUUUUAUACCGGAUUUUGUUUGUGUUUUAUGUGCUUUAUAUGUGCAUGUUGGUGUAGCAUUUUUUUACAAGUUUUUUUAAGAAAUGCCUGUGGAUCGUGCUUAGCACAACCCAUACACCUACCUAUUAUGAUAGAAAUGAAUUGAUAUCUUUACAUAUUUAAACUUUCAUUUCUAUAUUGUGUACUGGGCUCUCUAGAUGGUAAAGCAAGAAGAGAAUAACCGACUUCUUUUAAUCUUUCUUCAUGACGAGUUGGAGAGAAAAUUUUCAGUCAUUUAGAAAUUCAAAUGAUGAGGUAUAUUUUACUCUCAACAUAUUACGAUAUUUUGUUUAAGCAUAGUUAUAAUUAUAUAUGUUUUGUUUAGGAUAACAAUCCAAGUCAAAGUUAUGAAAAUGAAGAUAUAUCAGAAUUCUCAUAAAGUAUCACAUCUUAUUUUUAUAGUUAAUUAUAUAAGUUUUAUAUUUUUAUAUUCGAAGAAUUUCGUAUAUACCCCUUUAUAAUUAUUUAUUGGAAUUUAUAUCAGUAUAAUUUUAACAAAAUUUAGAAUAUUCAUAUUAAAAAUUGGAAUACCCAUAACACCCGUACUUUUAUUUUUUCUUCAAAUUCGUUGAGGAAACUUUAGCCAACAACAUAUAUAAACGAAAUCUUUGUCAAACACCUACCAUAGUUAUCUAUUAGGAACAUGAAAAUUUACAAACGUAAUCUAACCUUUCUCAUAAAAAUCAUAUAAAAUGGGGAUUUGAUUUCCCACUCAUCUUUGUUUUAUUAUAUAAAAUAGGUAAUCAAUUCAAUAUGAAAUGGGGAUUUGAUUUCCCACAUUGAUUUUUUUUUAAAGAGAAUGGUGCUUUUUUUUUUUUUUUUUAAACCCCGUAUAAAUUCAAACAAAAAUGGCCUUUCCUAGUUCCUUCUCGAGAAUACCACUUUUUCAAUCACUCCUCGUUGGCAUUACCAGACAACCAUCUUCUUGAAAGGGUUAGUCAACUCAACCAAAUUCACAUAAACUUUUAGGCAACAAAGAUCCGAAUAGGAGAUCCUUCAAGCAUUAACCUUCAAUGGCCUCUUCUUCGAUUGCAUCCAUUCAGAAAAGCUUUACAUAUGAUGUAUUUUUGAGUUUUAGAGGUGAAGACACACGCACCAAUUUCAUCGAUCAUCUUUAUGAAGCUCUUCAGCAGCAAGGCAUUUAUACUUACAAGGAUGAUGAGGCAAUUAGAAAAGGGAAAAGGAUCAGUGAUGAGCUCAUCAGUUCCAUUAAAGACUCAAAAUUCUAUAUCAUUGUUUUCUCCAAGAACUAUGCAUCUUCAGCUUGGUGCUUGGAUGAGCUUGUGAUGAUAAUGGGGUGUCACAAGACGACUGAGCAUACUGCAUACCCCAUCUUCUAUGAUGUGGAACCGACAGAGGUCCGGAAACAAAGCGGGGCAGUCGGAAAAGCUUUUGUUAAACAUGAAAAUGAUGAAGCUGCUGGGAAAUGGAAAGAGGCUCUAAAAGAAACCGCAGAUCUGGCUGGAUGGGAGUUGAAGAACACUGCAAAUGGGUAAUUCCUUACUUCAUCGAUCAUAUCUUUGUAUAAUUAUUCUUUAAUUUUGAUCACAAGAUCCCGUUUUGGUCGAUAUAGUUUGGACCGGGUUGUUAUACCUGACCCGAUUUUGACCUGCCGGGACCCCUUUUUUCUUAUCAAUUUUAACCAAACUUACGACUUACGAAUAAUUCCUAAUCAUGUCCAUUGCAACUCAGUUUCCAAUUUCNUGUCCAUUGCAGUUUCCAAUUUCAAUUUUCUAAUAAUUUCUCAAAAGAGGUCUCUGUUUAUAUUGUUUUCCAUAAUUCAACCUUAAGGAAAAAAUAAGUUAUUUGAGCUUAUCUAUUAGUUUAAUUUCCAAUCUGCACGGUUAUCACUAUUCUAUUAUCAUAUCUCUACAAUAUUCCUUCAUUUUGUUUGUUAGUAAUCUAUGUCCCAAAAGGUCAUCCAAGAUAUCUCAUGUUGUUGUAUGGUUAUGUUAUUAUUUCAUAUACUUUGUAUUUUGUUAUAGUUCACGUGGGAUUUUGAGCAAACUAACUGAAUCUUCUUUAAUAUAUAGGCAUGAAGCCAAACUCAUCCAAAAAGUUAUUGAAGAAAUUUCACUACAGUUACGUUCCAUUGAUUUCAAUGCUGAUGAAAAACUAAUAGGCAUGGAGACCAGGGUAAAGGAUGCUGUAUCAUCUUUAGAAAUUGGUACCGAUGAUGUUCGUGUAAUCGGUAUCAAGGGGAUGGGAGGUGUUGGGAAGACAACUUUGGCUAGAGUGGUUUUUGAUCAAAUAUCCUUUCAGUUUGAAGCUAAAAGCUUUGUUGAGAAUGUCAGGGAAAAUUCAAAUACUUCUUUGUGUGGUUUGAAAUCAUUGCAAAAUCAAGUCCUUAAAGAUGUCUUAUUUGAUCAAGGCAAUGUGAAUAGUGUGCAUGAUGGGAAAAUCAUGAUGAAGAAGAUGCGUAAUAAAAAGACUCUUCUUGUUCUAGAUGAUGUGGACCAUAUAGACCAGCUUGAGGCGUUAGCUGGUGAUCUUAAUUGGUUCAAACCGGGAAGUAGAAUUAUCAUUACAACAAGAGAUGAGCAGGUGCUCGUGGCACACCGGGUGAAGUUGAUUCUUGAUGUCAAUCUGUUAUCAGAGGAGGAAGCGAUUUGCCUCUUCAGUAGGUAUGCAUUUGGGGGAGAGAUUCCAAUUCAAGGGUAUGAAGAUCUAUCGGAACAAGUUGUACGGUAUGCUGCUGGUCUUCCCUUAACGAUAAAAGUUUUGGGUUCAUUUCUUUGUGGUAAAAAUGAGAGUGAAUGGAUAGAUGCACUAGAAAGAUUGAAAACAAUUCCGUUAAAGGAAACUCUUCAGAAAUUGGAAUUAAGCUACAUCAGUCUAGAGGAAGAUUACAAGGAAAUAUUCCUAAAUGUUGCAUGCUUACUGAAACGGUGGUCGAAACCCGUGGUAAUUGAAGCGCUUGAAAGUUGUGGAUUUCAUGCCACAAAUGGUUUAAAAGUUCUUGAGCAAAAAUCUCUUAUAACUAUUACUAGAAAACCUUUUGAGUUUGUGCACAUGCAUGACCAUAUUGAAGAAAUGGGCAGAAAUAUUGUUCGUCGUUUGCACCCAGAUAAGCCUCAGAAACACAGCCGAUUGUGGAUUGAUGAUGAAAUUAAAGAUAUAUUGGCUAAUGACUUGGUAAGGUCAAGUUUAUUUGUAAGUUUUAUGAAACUAGCCUAUUAUGCAUUUCUUAUGACACAAGUUUCAUGGUGACUGCUUUUGCAUUACAGGGUACUAAAGCAACAAGAUACAUACAAUUCCAGUUAAUGGGAGGCAAUUUUGAAAUGGUUAUGAAGGGUCUUAGAAAGAUGAAGGAACUUAGAUUUCUUCACAUAUCUCGGAAUACAAGAUAUAAUUUUGCGGAAGAAAGGAAAUAUGCUAAUGUCAGCCAAUACUUUCCAAAUGCUUUACAAUAUCUUUGUUGUAAGGCGUAUCCUUUCAAGUCUUUACCCCCAACAUUUCAAGCAAAUAAUCUUGUUGCCCUUAAGAUGGCUCAAAGUGAAAUAGUACAACUUUGGGAAGGGGGAGAAAGAAAGGUAGAAUUAUGGUUGAUUGAUUAUUUUACAAGAUUCAUCAUGAUGCUAUACAUCCAUUGCUUUGUAAUUUAACCAAUAUUGAUCUUGUUCAUUUGUUUAUGUUAGGUUCUUAACAAGCUCAAGAGUCUUGACCUCGGUCAUUCAAAGUUGACGACCCUUGAUCUUGAGCUUAGUCCAAAUCUCGAGACGUUAUCUCUAAGUGGAUGUCGUGACUUGGUACAACUUCACAUGCUCAAUGGAUGUCGUCAGCUCAAAUCCAUCGACCUCAGUUAUUCAAAGUUGACGACACUUGAUCUUGGGUCUAGUCCAAAUCUCGAGGUGUUGUCUCUAAAUGGAUGUUAUGACUUGGUUCAACUUCACAUGCUUAAUGGAUGUCGAAAGCUCAAAGCCAUCGACCUCAGUGAGUCAAAGUUGAAGACAAUCGACCUUCGCCCAGCUGUGAACCUCGAGCUCUUACAUCUUAAAGGCUGCAAUGCUUUGGUAAAACUUUGCUUACCAAAUGGAUGUCUAAAGCUCAUAUCUGUUAACCUCAGUGGUUCUAAAUUGAAGACCAUUGACCUUCAUUCAUGUGUGAAUCUCAAGUUGUUAGAUCUUGAAGACUGCAAUGCUUUGGUAGAACUUCACAUGCCUGGUAGAUGUCUGAAUCUCAGAUCCCUGACACUCACUAAUUCACAGUUGAGGAACGUAGACAUUGGGUGGACUCCGAAUCUGGAGGAUUUAGAUCUUAACAAUUCUUAUGAUUUGGAAGACCUUCACAUGGCUGAUAAAUGUCUAAAGCUCACAUCCCUCAACAUUAGUCAUUCAAAGUUGAAAACCCUUGACCUUGGGUUGACUCCAAAUCUGAAGAAGUUAGAUCUAAAAGAAUGUAAGAAUCUGGUACAGCUUCAUGUUCCCAUUGGAUGUCUAGAAAAUCUUGUCUACUUGAACUUAAGAGGCUGUUUGGGGUUUACAUCUUUUAUGGUUGACAAAAGGAAUGUUGCUUCUAGUAGAAGGGAUGAAUCACUUGAGAUUGGUCCUUCAGCUGAGUCACAUCUGAUUGCCAAGUCCCUUGAAAGAUGUCCACUUCACCCGGACAAUACUUUGCGACAGUUUCAGUUUGAAUGCUUUUACAUUGAUGAUCCCUCAGUGACUAGAAAUCUUGAGAAGCUUAUUUCUGAAGGUCUGUGUGCUUGCACAAACCUUGAGACACUUUCAGAAAGCAUUUUUGGGUUACGAUGUUUAAGAAUGCUUAAACUCGAAGGCUAUCCGGAGGCUCCUAAGGACCUUGACCGGGUAGAAUGUCUAGAAGAGCUAAGUUUUUCUAGGACAAAUAUGAAACAUCUUCCGGAUAGCAUUUGUAUGUUGAAACAUCUGGAAAUUCUUCAACUUAAAGAUUGUUGGAGUCUUGAGAAGUUACCCGAGGAUCUUGGUCGAUUAGAAUAUUUAGAGACUCUAUAUUUGUCGAAUGCAAAGAUCGAACAUCUUCCAGAUAGCAUUUGUAUGUUGAAACAUCUGAGAACACUCACUCUAUUUCGUUGUUGUUCACUUAAGACAUUACCAAAGGAUCUUGGCAAAUUAGAACAUUUGGCAUGGCUAAAUCUGUCAUCCUUGAUCAUCAAACAUCUUCCGGAUACCAUUUGUAUGUUGAAAUAUCUGGAAUGUCUCAGACUUGAUGAUUGCAAAUUACUUGAGAAAUUACCGGAGGAUCUUGACCAAUUAGAACGUUUAGAGCAGCUAGACCUAGGGGAGUGNNNNNNNNNNNNNNNNNNNNNNNNNNNNNNNNNNNNNNNNNNNNNNNNNNNNNNNNNNNNNNNNNNNNNNNNNNNNNNNNNNNNNNNNNNNNNNNNNNNNAACUCACCGAGUCAUCCCUUGACUCACCGAUUCUCGACUCAUCCACGGAAUAUCAGGACUCUUCGACAAGACUCGCCGAGUCCAAGAAUAGACUCGCCGAGUCUAAGGCUAUCUUCAACCUACUCACCGAGUUGUUCANNNNNNNNNNNNNNNNNNNNNNNNNNNNNNNNNNNNNNACUCGCCGAGUUCCAGGCCAUCUUCAUCCAACUCGUCGAGUACACCCAUGUGACUCGCCGAGUACCACCGGUCUGAAUCCAUUCAGAAGCAUUCCAGGCCAUGCAAUUGCUCCAAAACAUAGAUCUAGCCUCCUACCACUCAUCCAUCACGUAAAGUGGCAAACUUUACGUGAAUCCAAAGAGAUCUAUGCAUUUUCACUCUAGGGUUUGGGUUUGGGACAAAAUAGCUCCAUCAAUCACUCACAAACAGGGACUUUCAUGCUCUCUGAUCCUUCUCCCUUCCAGAUCUGAGGUAGCAACCUCAGAUCUAACCUCUAGACUCCAAUACAUCCAAGGAUAUGGUCUCUAACACCCCCAAAAUGAUGCAUUAAAGAAAUAGCAGCUCAAAAACGAGAUAUUACCUCCAAGAGGACGCCCCAACUGCAAUGAAACUCAAUUCCAAGCAAAGCCCCUUGCUCCAAACCUCUUCUUUUCUAGGAUCUCUUCAACAAUCACCUCUCCAAGCUCCAAUUUGCUCAACCAUGGUGUUUCUCCUCGAAAUUAGGGUUUCUGGGACUCAAGGGUUGAUAGAGAGGCUGAGAAUGAGACAUAAUGAUCUUUAAAUAGGGCUCAACCCCGAGAAUUAGGGUUUACUCCGCUCAGCGCCUACUCGCCAAGUCCAUCUCAUUGACUCGCCGAGUCGGCUACUUAACACGCGACCCAGUCGCGACUCUACUCGCCGAGUCCACACAUGGACUCACCGAGUUGCUCUUUCCCCAUUUACUCUUUUAGCCCUUCACUCUACUCUUGAUAUUUCGGGAUGUUACAUUAUUCAUGGAGUUUAUUAACUUAUUCUAUAUAUGCGGAAGCUUUCAAGACCAGAUCUUAAACUCUCGAAUUGGAUAAAAGAAAAUAGGUGAAGGAGAUUGUGUACCUGCUUCGAUUGAAGAUUUUGGAUCUGAAGAACAAGCUUGGUUUUCCAGUUGAUCUCAAGACAACUCUAAGAACCCUUUGCACUCAAGAAAAACGAAUUUGUGAAUUAAUAUCGUCCACAUUGAUUUGCUCCUCAUCACAUAUAUUUAUAGAUGGAGAUAAACCCUAAUGUGAGAGAUGGAAGGGAUCUUGAGGAUCUUGAGUCAAACCGGGAACUCAAGCCACAAAUGGUAAGUGAAUAUCGGUCCAUCAACAAUCUUAUACACUUGCCAUAAUAUUUGGAUUUAAAUGAUAACAAUAUAUAUGUUCAUUUAUAGAAUGGUCCCAUGAUUUUCUAACAAUCUCCCACUGGACCAUGAAUAUAUAAAUGUACAUAUAACCAUAUUAGCGUUUUAAUGUAUGAUAUCAUGAUAUUGGUACCCUUAAACAAUCUUCUCCAUUAAUCAUAACUGUAUAGGAUCAAUGCGGUCUUUGUUACAAUUUACGUAACUAAACCAUCAAUGGUCACAUAUAUAAGUAUAACUAACGACAUAAAUUAAACAUGAUGCGUGGUCACAAAAUCGAAAUUGAUUUCCGACGAGUUCCUCUUUAACUUGAAGUGAGAUCAAACUUCAAAUAAGUGCAACUAAUAAUGAAAUUUACCGAAUUCGUAAGUUUGUAAAUAAAAAACAUAAUUGUUCUUAAACCAAAAUAAAGCACCCAAAAAUAAAUUGUAAAACUCCCACUAAAACAAAAUAUCAUCAAUAUUUAUCACACCCAUGUGUGUAGUAUGCUCAUGAAAGACCUUGGGAGGUAAUCCCUUUGUGAGCGGAUCCGCUAUCAUGGAGUUUGUCCCGAUGUGCUCUAUUGCGAUUUUUCCAUUUUGCACUCUUUCUUUUACAAUAAGAUACUUAAUGUCAAUAUGCCUUGACUUUGUGGAACUUCUGUUGUUAUUGGAAUACAACACUGCUGACUUAUUGUCACAAUACAACUUUAGUGGUCUUUCAAUACCAAUAAUACGCAGCCCCGUGACUAAGUUCCGCAGCCAUAUUGCAUGAUCUGAUGCCUCAAAACAUGCUACAAAUUUUGCCGCCAUGGUGGAAAAAGUUACCAAAGUUUGUUUAGCACUCUUCCAUGAAAUAGCUCCUCCUGCUAAUAAGUAAAUGUAGCCUGAUGUGGAUCGAUAACUGUCUUGGCAUCCAGCAAAAUCAGAAUCAGAAUACCCAAUGAUCUCCAAAACAUCUGAUUUCCUAUAUGUGAGCAUGUAGUCUUUUGUUCUCUGUAGAUAUCUCAAAACCCGUUUGGCUGCUUUCCAAUGGUCCAUACCUGGGUUGCUUAGAUAUCUCCCCAACAUCCCUACUAUGAAAGAUAUGUCGGGACAUGUACACACUUUCAAGGAUCUUUUCAAUAUAGCUCUUUUGUGAUAAUCCUAGAAUUCCACGAGAUCUGUCUCGUUGAAUUUGGAUUCCUAAUACAAAUGAGGCUUCCCCAAGAUCUUUCAUUUCAAAAUGCUUCGAAAGAAAUUUCUUGGUCUCAUAUAAGACCCCUAAAUCAUUGGUGGCAAGUAAUAUAUCAUCAACAUACAAGACCAGAAAAAUAUAUUUACUCCCAUUGAACUUGUGAUAUACACAAUCAUCUACUAUAUUUGCCUCAAAACCAAAUGAGACAAUUAUCUGAUGAAACUUGUGGUACCACUGGCGGGAGGCUUGCUUGAGUCCAUAGAUAGAUUUAUUUAGUUUGCAAACCAUUUCCUUUGAUUCUUUCGAUACGAAGUUUUCUGGUUGCACCAUAUAUAUAGUUUCAUUAAUGUCACCAUUGAGAAAUGCUGUCUUAACAUCCAUCUGAUGUAACUCAAGAUUGUAAUGUGCAACUAGUGCCAUGAUCAACCUAAAAGAGUCUUUUGUUGAAACUGGAGAAAAUGUCUCUUUAAAAUCAAUUCCUUCCUUUUGAGUAUAGCCCUUAGCUACAAGACGUGCCUUAUGUCUUUCCACAUUACCUUUUGAAUCCCUUUUGGUCUUAAAAAUCCAUUUGCAACCAAUAGGCUUCGUACCUUCAGGUAAUGGAACAAGAUCCCAAACUUUAUUGUCUUGCAUGGACUUAUACUCCUCGUUCAUGGCAUCAAUCCACUUUUGAGAAUUUGAACUUUGCAUGGCCUGAGAGAAGUUGAUUGGAUCAUUUUCAAUCAUUCCAUCUGGUUCUUCAUUUUCUUGGAGAUAUACAUGGAAAUCCGAAGGGAUUGCACUUCUCCUUUCUCUAGUGGAUCUCCUAAGUUGAGGUUGUUGAGGUUGUUCAUUAUGAACAGGAGAGUGAAUAACAUUGUCUUGUUGAGGUUCCUGAAUUACUUCUUCUCCGACAGGCACAUUAAUUUGUGUAUUGUCAAAAGUAACAGUAGGAAUCGAGAUUGAUUCCUCCUCAAAGACAAUGUCUCUAACCUUAUUUCUCCCCCCAAACUCAACAUCCUCAAAAAACGUUGCAGUUCCUGUUUCAAAAAUUGAUUUUGUUGCAGGAUCAUAAAACUUAUAACCCCUGGAUCGUUCAGAAUAGCCAAUGAAGUAGCUGCUAACGGUUUUGGAGUCCAAUUUCUUUUCAUUCGGCCUAUAAGGCCUUGCCUCAGCUGGACAUCCCCAGAUACGAAGAUGAGUUAAACAAGGCUUUUUCCCUGUCCAAAGCUCAUAAGGUGUUUUAACAGCUGCUUUAGUUGGUACUCUAUUAAGAAUGUAAGCUGCAGUCUUAAGUGCUUCACCCCAGAGUGGCUCUGGUAAAGUAGAAUGACUUAUCAUACUCCUUACCAUAUCCUUAAGAGUUCUGUUGCGUCUUUCAGAUACACCAUUCAUGCUAGGCGAACCUGGCAUUGUGUAUUGUGGGACGAUUCCACAUUCCUCUAGGAAUUUAGCAAAAGGUCCUGGACGUUGUUCACCUGAUCCGUCAUAUCUGCCAUAGUACUCACCACCACGGUCAGAUCUUACACAUUUAAUCUUUUUAUUAAGUUGGUUCUCAACUUCAAGUUUAAAAGAUUUAAACACUUCCAGUGACUGAGAUUUUUCAUGAAUAAGAUAUAGAUACCCAUAACGUGAGUAAUCGUCUAUGAAUGAUAUAAAAUAUUGUUGACCAUUCCAUGAAGCCGAAGGGAAUGGUCCACAAAUAUCUGUAUGUAUCAAUUCUAAGACAUCUGAAGACCUAGUGGCAUCUAAUCUUUUGGUUUUUGUCUGUUUUCCCUUGAUGCAUUCAACACAAAUUUUUAAAUCUGUGAAGUUGAGGUUACUUAACACUCCAUCUGACACAAGCCUAUCAAUUCUCAUUUUUGAGAUAUGGCCUAAGCGUUUGUGCCAUAAUGUUGCUGAAUUUUCAUUAUUUAAUUUUCGCUUAGUACCACGUGAAUCCACGUGCAAGGUUUCAUUAUAUGAAGUAACAAUAUCAAGCAUAUAUAACUUAUCACAAUACGUUAGAGAACCAGUACCGAUAACAUUUGAAUUUAAAGACAAACUAAAUUCACCAUUUCCAAAAGAACAAUAAUAACCAGAUUUAUCCAAUUUAGAAACAGAAACCAAAUUGCGUCUAAAAGACGGUACAAUGCAAGUGUCUUGAAAAUCCAAAUAAAAGCCAGUAUCUAGUAAUAAACGAAAUGUGCCAAUUGCUUUGACUUCAACCUGCUUUCCAUCACCCACAUAGAUAUAUCUUUCAACAUCAUUUGGUUUUCGGUAGUUCAGGCAACCCUGCAUAGAAACACUUAUGUGAGUAGUAGCACCAGAAUCUAUCCACCAAGUAUUUCUAGGUACAGAAACUAAAUUAACCUCAGAACAGACCAAAGCACGGAUUAUACCUUUCUUAACUCGCCAAGCGUGGUAUUUUGGACAAUCCGGCUUCAAGUGACUAGGUUCUUGACAAAAGAAGCAUUUAGGAGGUCCUGAUUCCUUUUUCUUUUGAUCAUUGCCUAAAUGUUGUUUCUUUUGCACUGGUCCCUUAGUAGCAGCUUCUUUUCUCUUUCUUUUGCCCUUACCUUUAGAGGUACUAGCAAAAUGAGCACUUUCAGUUGUUUCCUGCUUCAUCCUUUCUUCUUCUUGCACACAAAAGGAAAUGAGCUCAUUAAGAGUCCAUUUAUCCCUUUGGCAGUUGUAACUGACCUUGAACUGAUUAAAUUGUGCAGGAAGAGAAAGCAAUACCAAAUGAACUAGAAAAUCAUCAGAAAUUUCUAGUUUCAACGCCUUAAGUUUUGAAGCAAGAUGAAACAUCUCCAUGAUGUGCUUCCUUAUGUUUCCUUUGCCUUUAUACUUCAUUGAAAUCAUCUUUUGCAAAAAAGUACUUGUUUCAGCCUUAUCAUUUUUUGCAAAACGUUGUUCAGUUUCAGCAAGAAAAUAUUUUGCAUUAAUAGACUGCUCAUUUGCACCUCUAAAGGCUUCUGGAACGCCGCGCUUAAUGAUCAUUAGACUCAUGCGAUUUGAGCGAUCCCAUUUUUCAGCAUCCCUUUUAUUUUCCACUGAACUUGUGGCAGUAAGGAUGGGUUGCUCAAUCCGAAGUGCAAGGUCAAGAUCCAUGCAGCCGAGAACUAACAUAAUGUUCUCUUUCCAUUCCUUAAAGUUAGUUCCAUUGAGAACUGGAAUGUGAUUCAAGUUGGAAGAUAUUAUACCACAAUUAGCAUUUGCUGUAUUUCAGAACAAAAUAUUAAUUAGUUUUUAUGCUCAUUAAACCAUAACUAUAAUCAAUAAAAUUCAAAUUAUGACAUCACAAGGUAUCAACACAACAUUAAUAUCAAGUCUUUGAACAACAAUAUUAACUUUUAAGAGAUAUCUUGUUUAAGUAGUAAAAAUAUUGACAAUAAAACAUGUUAAUCAAUGAGCCCCUCUUUGGAUUGACUAAUUAAUCACAUGAAACCCAAAAAUUAUCAUAUAUUUACCACUAUAUAUGUAUGUUUAUCCGACCAAAUAUUAACCUACCUUUGGGUCGAUUAAUAUCCGCAUUGACAAACACAUAAACCAUAAAAUUUAAUAAUAAUAUUUGACAAUAAUUCAUCCCGUUUAACAAGCCCCUCUUUGAAUUGACUUGUUAACGAUAUGUAACCAAAAAUAAUUGUCGCAUAUUCAUUAUCAUAUGCGUGUUUAUUCGACAAAAUAUAAACCUACCUUUGGGUCGAUUGGUAUCCGCAACAAUAAACACAUAAACCGUAAUAAAUAAGGUCAUAACUGAAUUUAUUGAUAACCAAAAUAUAUAAAAUAAUAUGAAAAUAAUUACAUAUUUAAUCAACUUUGCAUAUCAAAAGAUCAAACUAAUACGCAUAAUUUUGGCAAUAUUGUGUCAAAUAUCAUACAACUAAUCAAUGAUUUAAAAAUAAGAAGCAUAUGGCACAUUAACAAUGAAUUGAAAAUAUAUCAUCAUUAAUUAACUGUAGAACUAAAACUGUUGUUGGAACAAAUAACCACUACCAAGCAUACGAAUCCGUGAAUACAUAUAUAAAUAAAAUUUGACGAUGAUUAACAAUAGAGAACUAAUAAAUUUAUUUUGAUCAUCAAGCAACAAGGUACAAAAGAUAUCUCAAAUGAAAAUCUGAAGUCGAUACCUUAAAAAAAAUAUUAGUUUUACAUGCACGGAAUUAUCAUGAACCUUGAAUUUUAUUUACGUCAUAGUGUCAUAAAUAAAUGUAUCAAAAGAAAAUAUCACUCUUGAAACCCACGUGAUUAAACAAACACCUAAAAAACCCAAUUGGUUUCUUUCAAAUAAUAAAAUAAAUAAAUAAAUAAAUUCACUUAUCAAUGCCUAAAAAUAACAAAAUAUGAUGAUAGCUAUUAAUAAGAAAAAGAUACAUAUCGUACCUCCAAAUCAAUAAGAAAAUAGUAUUUGAGAUAUUUAAAGGCUGACAAAUCUUUUGAUUUGUCACAAUCAUGAAAGGCUUUGCAUUAUUUAUUGAUUUUGAUUUACUGGUUUUGUGUACGAAUAGGAGAUAGACCACACAUUUUCUUUGUUUAAUAAUAAAAUAUGAAUUCAAAAGAAAAAAAAAACUCAUUGAUAACUUAUGUCAGAGACGCAUAUACAAAAGUCAAAAAUAUGUAUUGUUCAGUAAAACUUUAAACCAAACAAGUUCUUGAAAUAUCGUAUGAACAAGAAACAUAUAUACACAACUUAUUUUUUCUCAUCGCACGUCAAGAAAUCACGUAAAGCAAUAUUCAAGCAACAAAGAGAAGAGAAGAUUUCUAUUAUCAAAUUCGAGAAGACUCUGAUACCAAUUGAUGGAGUUUAUUAACUUAUUCUAUAUAUGCGGAAGCUUUCAAGACCAGAUCUUAAACUCUCGAAAUUGAUAAAAGAAAAUAGGUGAAGGAGAUUGUGUACCUGCUUCCAUUGAAGAUUUUGGAUCUGAAGAACAAGUUUGGUUUUCCAGUUGAUCUCAAGACAACUCUAAGAACCCUUUGCACUCAAGAAAAACGAAUUUGUGAAUUAAUAUCGUCCACAUUGAUUUGCUCCUCAUCACAUAUAUUUAUAGAUGGAGAUAAACCCUAAUGUGAGAGAUGGAAGGGAUCUUGAGGAUCUUGAGUCAAACCGGGAACUCAAGCCACAAAUGGUAAGUGAAUAUCGGUCCAUCAACAAUCUUAUACACUUGCCAUAAUAUUUGGAUUUAAAUGAUAACAAUAUAUAUGUUCAUUUAUAGAAUGGUCCCACGAUUUUCUAACAAUAAGUAUUCUCAUCGAACACUACAUGCCCAACCUUGCGGCAAUAUAAUACUGCAUACCCAAUGUCCCUUUCCAUCUCAAUCUGAACCCACCUUGUUAGACAUAGGGAUAAGAUUUAGAACCGGAAAACCGGACCGAAACCGGAACCGAACCGGAACCGGACCCGUUAGAACCGGAAUAUAUAGAACCGGGUCCGGUUCCGGGUUUAAAAAUUGGCUUUAUCCGGGUUCCGGGUAAUCCGGGUUUGGGUCCAUUGGGUCCGGGUAAACCGGGUCUAAAAUCCGGAACCGGUUUUUGGAACCGGAACCACUUUUAGGGCCGGAACCACUUUUUGUGAAACGUUUACAAGAUGCAUAUCUUAUUCGUUUCAACUCCAAUUGACAUACGGUUUUUUCCAACAUGUAGUUUAGAGUUUGUACAUGAUUCUAGACUAUAAAUUUUUCAUUUUUAGUUUUAUAUUCAUUGACUUACAGUCCUCAAAAGUUGAGAUACCAAAGUUGAAAGUUUUUAGUUUUUUAGUUUUUUUGUAUUCGGUGAAAGUUUUAAAGCAUGCAUAUCUAAUUCGUUUGAAGUCGGAUUGACAUGUGGUUUUUUCCAACUUCUAGUUUACAGUUUGUACAUGAGUUUAGACUAUAAUUUUGUCAUUUUUGGUUUAACAUUCAAUGAUUUACAGUCCUCCGAAGUCGGGAUAUCAAAACUGAAAAUUUUCAACUUUUCAGCUAUUUGUUUUUGUACUUUGUAUUAUGUGAAAAUAUUAACACAAGUAUAUCUCAUUCGUUUAAAUUCGGAUUGACAUGCGGGUUUUUCCAGAGUGUAUUUUAGAGUUUGUACAUGAUUUUAGACUCUAAUUUUGUUAAUUGUGGUUUCGUAUUCAAUAAGUUACAGCCCCCCAAAGUGGGGAUAUCAAUAUGAAAAUUUUCAAAGUUCAACCCACUAAGUUGUAAGUAAUUACCAAAAAAUUCCGGUUUUUUCGGGUUUUCCGGGUCUAAACCCACUUUAUCCGGUUCCAACCUACCCACUUUGAAGUUUCCGGGUUUUCCGGUUCUAGACCCACUUUACCCGGAACCAUACCCGGAACCAAACCGGAACCGGUUCCUAUAUACCGAUCUGGUUUCCAGUUCUAUAAAAUCCCGUUAACCGGUUCCGGGUUUGGACCCACUUUCAUCCCUAGUCGGUGGUGGUACAUGGUGGUGGUGGUGGCCUUGUCUCAAUUUUCCGACCAAUGAAACUGCAUAGAACAUACACACACCUAAACACAUGGCAGCACACGCCCACAACCACCUUCCACGACGGCUGGUGGCGGCCAUGGAAGUUCUUCGCUGUUGUCGGCCAUCAAACACCCCACUGUAUGCACAAUAACGCAAAACGCACCCCCUUCGUCUUUUGCUCGAAAAAGAAACCCACACCCACCUGAACUCACGAAAAGUUGCAGCAACGAUUCACGGUGGUGGCUCGACUGGUCUCGGUGGUUUUGGCUAGAGCGAGUCGCCGACGAGACAUCGACCAAGAACAAUGGUGGCGCAAAAGCGGAAAGAAACAGAGACAGUGGAGAUUUGCGACCCAAAUAGCAAACUGCAGCAGCACAAUCCUUGAUCUCCCGACCAACCCGCAUCGACUCAUGGCUCCUUUGUCUUCAACGACGGCGGUGGUGAUCGAACUCGAACUCACAGCGGCGGUAGCUCCGGUCUGCGAAGUAGCGAUUGGGCGAAGCCUUAACUGACAGCGACUGAAGAAGGAGAAUGGGGGAAAAAGGACAGCCGUCUGGUGGUCGUUGGCUGAUCGGGAACGUGGUGGUGGCGGCGGCUCCGGUGAGGGGCAUAACGGGGGAUGACGGCUGCUACAUACGGGAGGGUUUAGGGUUUUGGUAACGAUGCUUUAAACGGGAAUGAAGGAGUCAUUGGGUUUAAAUCCCGCUCCACUCAAAACUUUGCUCAAUAAACAAGUUUAGUCCCUCCCCAUAGGAUCCUUUUCCAAUCAAAUCCUAUAUUUACCCAUUAAAUCAAAACAUUAAAAAUCCAUUACAACUUAGGUACAAUAUUUCCAAAACAGCCCCUUUGUCUCCAAAAUCACUUCAAAUAAAGUCCUAAAAGUUACAAUUUAUUCCCUGCCUUCAAUAAUACUUACAAAUUAAGUCCGGAUUUACACUUUUAGCCCCCAAUCUCUAAAAGUGUGACAAAUAGCUCCUCGAGAUCAACACUUUGCUAAAUAAUUAUUUGUUUUAGGGCUACGAGCCAUUCAUUAAUUAAUUUAUUUAUUUAAUAAAUAAACGGGGUUUUACAACUCUCCCCUACUUAAAUUAGAUUUCGUCCUCGAAAUCAUUCCUUACCAAUCCUUACAUACUAAGCCACUCUAGUAACAUAGUCAUCAACCUGGGCACGCCCUAGCCUCCACAGGGUAGCCAUGACCAAUCCUCGUAGAGCCCUAAAAUCCAUAGGUGAACGAAUUCCCCGCAGUAAGAUCACAUGUAUUCUGUGCGAAAUCUGUUGUCCUGAGACGGUCUGAAUCCCUGACAGACCACUCAUACCGAAUCAUUAUCGUCGAACCUAGUCCGCUUAUCUCUCAACUAUCUACUCAGCUUCUGGUAACUCGAGGUGCCCAUUAUAAAUCAGGGUCACAGACCCACUUAUCUUUGCAGAUCACUUAUACUUGGCUAAAACUCAGAUAAUCUCAUUGCAAGUGACUUACCACUUCCCAAUCAACCAGCUAUUACGUUUGUAUUUGCAACCUGAAAUGAAAAUACUAACACUGCCCAAAUGCUAAAAGUGCCCGAGCACUGAACUUCCUGAAGCAGUAUGCGCUGUUACAUAGCUGCUUACCAAAAGCUACCGAGACUUCCUGGGUCUCGACUCGCUUGCCAAUCCUCUGAAACACUGGGUUCCCAUCCGACUGCGGAGCCAAAGGACUCCCUACUUAGUCGCCUCACAUGACUUCUGAACGAAAUCCUUCUCUGGAACUAGUUGUCACUAGUUAUCAUGUCACUGAGGCUCUAAUGACCUUCUGGUCUAACCGAUCGGGUCCAUGCAUCGAAUCCUGUCAUCAUCACAUCCAAGACUAAAAGUGAUUGCUACCUAACCAAUGGUAGCCUUACAUCACAAAUGCCCUUAUGCAGUCCAUUACUUCCCUGAUCUCAUAACUGUAGUGACGUUCCUACAGUCUUAUCACUUGCUCAACCAGAUCUAAUCCAUCUGGGUAAUACCGAACUCCAAUAUGGGGAUUUCCAUAUCCUCACUGCCGCACCCGAACUGGUGGGUACUACUAUUCAUUUCGCGUUCUAACAACACGCUCAUGCCAUCUACCAACCUAGUGAAUGCUACGGCUACACCCGCAUACUUACAACAUUCUAUCACUAUCUAGCUGCUAGUGAAUGCUAUGGCUACACCCGCAGACUUACAACACUCCCCAAACUAUCUGACUUCUAGUGAAUGCUACGGCUACCCCCGUAGUCUUAUAACACUUUCCAUACUUGGUCGAACUAGCACUCGACCUAACACACAACUGAACUUGAGUCCUAACCGGAACUUAAAUCUGGUUCCCAACACUUGUUAUCACGUGACCCCAAUGUAUCAGUACCGUACCCAUGCCCGCGAUCAAAGCAUCACGGUAAACCACGAAAUCAUCUACACCCUCUGGCAGGGUGAGAAUCGGUGCCUCGCACAAUCGCUGCCUGAGAGUUUCGAAGGCUACCUGCUGCUCAGGCCUCCAACGAAAGGUCACCGACUUCUUGGUCAGUCGGGUCAAAGGAACCUCAAUCUCGGAGAAGUCCCGUAUAAAUCUCCGGUAAUAACCCACUAUACCCAGGGAAUUCCGAAUCUCAGAUGGAGACCUCGGAAUCUCCCAUUGCAUCACGGCCUCUAUCUUGGCCGAAUCAACUAGAAUACCCUUCAGGUUGACAAGGUGGCCAAGAGAUUGCACCUUGCGCAACCAGAACUCACAGUUGGAGAACUUUAUAAAAAGUCUCCCCCCCACUUAGGUUCGACUAAGUCUUCACAUUACUUGAGAAUUGAAGGGUUCCCAAUCCUUCUCGCUUUCUAAUAUCCCACUAAUGACAACCUGUGCCUGCGAAUUCUUACGUUUAAUCGCCGAUUAAACCUCAAGAUCUCCCAUCCUCAGAAGUCUCGAUGAGUACUCUUGAAAUCUGAUCCAGUCUGACACCUCAAUCCAUUUAACAUGCUAUCAAUUGAAGACCUUAAUCUUCACUCUAGCUGACGAAUCCUUGUUCCCACUGCCAAUCUUGCAGUACCACUGAACUCUAACCGAACACAGCCCGUGCGAAAACACAAUUCUCUUGAACAUCCGGUGACCAACCACUUAUGCAUCUAACACCCACGACUGACACUACCCUCUUCCUGUCACCAGUUCUGUCCUUGCAACGGUAGUGCCUUGAACUCCAAGGUUCAUCCAUAAAUAAUUACCGACCAUACCUAAACAAUGAUAGAACCUCUGAACGCUGACUUCAUUGGAGAACAAUCACUUCAACCCUGAUCGAGUAUCCUCUAAAUAAUACUCCUGCAUAGAUCCCGACAAAGAUCCAAAAUGAUAAUGGUAUGCACGGAAGCCACUCCGCAAGAUGCGUCCCUCUUUGGGUUCAUCAAGGACUUUUCGGCAUGCAGGAUGGCAUAUAUGAUCCUUGGUAACCCAAACACUAGCAGAAAAACCGACCCGAGGUCUGACUUAUCCAAACUCACUCACAAUUCCAACGCGAUACGUAUCCCCAACAUCCAUCUAGUAGCAAUAGAAGAUGACAUACUCGCAACGUCUGGGGAAAUACUGGUCACCUUCUGCUGAUAUGACCAAUCCUGCUACCCUGUAGCAGUCUAAACCCUUGGAGUGACAAACUCCCUUAUGUACUUUCUCAUACGCGCUGCACUGACUUAGACCCUGCUGGCCUUUCACCUGAUGUUCAGAAGUCAUAGGUCUCUUCCCGGGACCCUCUACUAUAAGCACCUGGCACGCACCUCUCUUUCCAGGGUGCUCCAAAUCAAUCUCGCAUCUGCAACUCUUGGAAAUCAUAUCCUUCAGGGUCUGACACCCUGUCACGCGUACUAGCUCGCUUGCCAAUGGCUAAGCUGCAACAACUGGAACAUCCUCUGUCCCCAAAUUGGGUCACAAACUCUUCCCUGAAGCUUCUUAGAUUCUCCAAGACUCUCGAUGAUUCGAGUAUGGAUUCUGUGCUUUCAGUAGUACGGGCCCAAUACUACCUUCCACACCUAUCCAUACUUUCCUCAGCCAUCCUCCCGGAUCCUCCAAGUCACUUCCUCAACCGGUAAACCCAAGUCUAACUGAGCCUCACUACUAACCCACUGAAACAUAUCCUAGGCUUUCCUAGGUUCCCGAACUCACCCAGUCCUCAGCUGCUGAAAGAUUCCCAGUAAUGUCAACUAGCUACCUUAUGAAUAUAGCCACAUGCAAUAGAGAUCAGAUAAUCCUUCAAGUAACAGACUCAUCCCUAUAAUGGUUAGACUCAAACGAGAGCUGCGCAAUAGGGUUAAAUCUAUCACUCUGAGAUUAUCCAGCCCGUGCCACAUGUGACUUAGCAUAUUCACUUAAUAGCUAACUCACGUUACUAAGAGUCCACAAAGCACAAAGCAAGCAGCAUUCAGACAAUGGAAAAUCUAACCAUCAUAUACCAAUCAAAUCAUUCUAUCUUCUAAUCAGGAAUCUGUACAUGAAAUUCAAAGGCUCAUACAAUCAGGCAUAACCUAAACAGGCUAUCCUAUCACUAACUGAUCAGUACUAGCAUGCAAGUCUACAAGCACAUACAAUAGGCAUAUAAGGCAUCCUCCUAGAUCCUUAGCCCUAAUCUAGCAUGCAGUUCUCAUAAGCAUAUCAUAUCAUAACAUCUCAUAACAUGUAUGGAUAUCUUGGGGAAAACAUACUUGAGCUCGGCUGAUUGCACGCAUCACACACCUUGUUCUUUUCAAAGUUCUUUUCUCUUUUCAAACUUCUUUUAUAAAAUGAUUUUAUUUUUGAAAAUUUUCAUACCAAGUCCUUAGUUUGAGUUCAGACACACCCAAGAGUGUGCCCGAAUCCCUCAAACCAAGGCUCUGAUACCAACUUGUAACAUCCCAAAAAUACAGGCCAAAAAUUUCAUUUUUAAAUACGUCAUUAUAAAACCAAUAGUGUAAUAAAACAUCUGUAAUAUCAUGUCAUGUCAAAACCAAAGUAGAAAUAAUCAAACGUGUUAUCAUAAAAUAAUAUCAAAGUGUAAUCCCAAAGAUCUCAUGUGCGGAAAACCAUAGUGUGAUGCACUGCGAUCAAGCCGGCUCCUUUCCUUUAAACACGAAGUACCUGAAACCAAAACUGAAAACCGUAAGCACAAAGCUUAGUGAGUUCCCCCAUCAUACCUCAUACCAAACAAUCACAUAACAUACAUAUAUUGUCAGGCAUAUCUGGGUGCCCGACCUACCCCUUCGGUCCUCUCGACCGGAUACAGACUAGUCUAUCUGGGAGCUGGCCUCCCCUUCGGUCCUCUCGACCGGAUACUGACUAGCAUACCUGGGUGCUGGUCUCCCCUUCGGUCCUCCCGACCGGAUACUGACAAGCAUGUCUGGGAGCUGGCCUCCCCUUCGGUCCUCUCGACCUGAUACUAACUAGUAUGUCUGGGAGCUGGCCUCCCAUUCGGUCCUCUCGACCGGAUACUGGGGACUAUUUCACCCCUACUACUACCACAUAACACAUAUAUCACAUAAUCUAUCUAUCAUGGCUGGGCAUGACCGCCCUUUCGGCCCUAUCGACCGGUAUUUUGGGGGACUAUCUCCCCCUACUGUCACUAGCACAUAGCAUCAUAUCAUACUAGCACAAUAACAUAUCACAGGUAGUAGCAACCCUAUAUGAAUAUCACAGAGACAAACAUCUAUCAUACAAUUCCUACUGGUGGGCCGACAUUGUGGCCGUAGACCCACCGCUACUGGAAGGUAACUCACCUCACACUGCUGAAGUCCCGAAGACACAAUCCCAUACUUGCUGAAGUCCCGCAGACUCGACCCCAGCUGCUGGCUGACAAAUUUCCGAACUGUCAACACCAAAAUAACACCCAAUUAAUAAUUGGGUCCCAAUACAUAACCAUAAGUACAUUCUUUGGGUAAUUACUACAUUACCCCUAGCUUGGCUUAUUCAAGCCCAAGGCCCAAUCCAUAGGCCCAAAGUCGACUAGGAAUCAAAGCCCAACACAUGGCCCAAUUUUCCAAAUUGGGCCUAGGCCUAUACAUNNNNNNNNNNNNNNNNNNNNNNNNNNNNNNNNNNNNNNNNNNNNNNNNNNNNNNNNNNNNNNNNNNNNNNNNNNNNNNNNNNNNNNNNNNNNNNNNNNNNNNNNNNNNNNNNNNNNNNNNNNNNNNNNNNNNNNNNNNNNNNNNNNNNNNNNNNNNNNNNNNNNNNNNNNNNNNNNNNNNNNNNNNNNNNNNNNNNNNNNNNNNNNNNNNNNNNNNNNNNNNNNNNNNNNNNNNNNNNNNNNNNNNNNNNNNNNNNNNNNNNNNNNNNNNNNNNNNNNNNNNNNNNNNNNNNNNNNNNNNNNNNNNNNNNNNNNNNNNNNNNNNNNNNNNNNNNNNNNNNNNNNNNNNNNNNNNNNNNNNNNNNNNNNNNNNNNNNNNNNNNNNNNNNNNNNNNNNNNNNNNNNNNNNNNNNNNNNNNNNNNNNNNNNNNNNNNNNNNNNNNNNNNNNNNNNNNNNNNNNNNNNNNNNNNNNNNNNNNNNNNNNNNNNNNNNNNNNNNNNNNNNNNNNNNNNNNNNNNNNNNNNNNNNNNNNNNNNNNNNNNNNNNNNNNNNNNNNNNNNNNNNNNNNNNNNNNNNNNNNNNNNNNNNNNNNNNNNNNNNNNNNNNNNNNNNNNNNNNNNNNNNNNNNNNNNNNNNNNNNNNNNNNNNNNNNNNNNNNNNNNNNNNNNNNNNNNNNNNNNNNNNNNNNNNNNNNNNNNNNNNNNNNNNNNNNNNNNNNNNNNNNNNNNNNNNNNNNNNNNNNNNNNNNNNNNNNNNNNNNNNNNNNNNNNNNNNNNNNNNNNNNNNNNNNNNNNNNNNNNNNNNNNNNNNNNNNNNNNNNNNNNNNNNNNNNNNNNNNNNNNNNNNNNNNNNNNNNNNNNNNNNNNNNNNNNNNNNNNNNNNNNNNNNNNNNNNNNNNNNNNNNNNNNNNNNNNNNNNNNNNNNNNNNNNNNNNNNNNNNNNNNNUCCGGUUUUUUCGGGUUUUCCGGGUCUAAACCCACUUUAUCCGGUUCCAACCUACCCACUUUGAAGUUUCCGGGUUUUCCGGUUCUAGACCCACUUUACCCGGAACCAUACCCGGAACCAAACCGGAACCGGUUCCUAUAUACCGAUCUGGUUUCCAGUUCUAUAAAAUCCCGUUAACCGGUUCCGGGUUUGGACCCACUUUCAUCCCUAGUCGGUGGUGGUACAUGGUGGUGGUGGUGGCCUUGUCUCAAUUUUCCGGCCAAUGAAACUGCAUAGAACAUACACACACCUAAACACAUGGCAGCACACGUCCACAACCACCUUCCACAACGGCUGGUGGCGGCCAUGGAAGUUCUUCGCUGUUGUCGGCCAUCAAAUACCCCACUGUAUGCACAAUAACGCAAAACGCACCCCCUUCGUCUUUUGCUCGAAAAAGAAACCCACACCCACCUGAACUCACGAAAAGUUGCAGCAACGAUUCACGGUGGUGGCUCGACUGGUCUCGGUGGUUUUGGCUAGAGCGAGUCGUCGGCGAGACAUCGACCAAGAACAAUGGUGGCGCAACAGCGGAAAGAAACAGAGACAGAGGAGAUUGGCGACCCAAAUAACAAACCGCAGCAGCACAAUCCUUCAUCUCCCGACCAACCCGUAUCGACUCGUGGCUCCUUUGUCUUCAACGACGACGGUGGUGAUCGAACUCGAACUCACAGCGGCGGUAGCUCCGGUCUGCGAAGUAGCGAUUGGGCGAAGCCUUAACUGACAGCGACUGAAGAAGGAGAAUGGGGGAAAAAGGACGGUCGUCUGGUGGUUGUUGGCUGAUCGGGAACGUGGUGGUGGCGGUGGCUCCGGUGAGGGGCAUAACGGGGGAUGACGGCUGCUACAUACGGGAGGGUUUAGGGUUUUGGUAGCGAUGCUUUAAACGGGAAUGAAGGAGUCAUCGGGUUUAAAUCCCGCUCCACUCAAAACUUUGCUCAAUAAACAAGUUUAGACCCUCCCCAUAGGAUCCUUUUCCAAUCAAAUCCUAUAUUUACCCAGUAAACCCCAACAUUAAAAAUCCAUUACAACUUAGGUACAAUAUUUCCAAAACAGCCCCUUUGUCUCCAAAAUCACUUCAAAUAAAGUCCCAAAAGUUACAAUUUAAUCCCUGCCUUCAAUAAUACUUACAAAUUAAGUCCGGAUUUACACUUUUAGCCCCCAAUCUCUAAAAGUGUGACAAAUAGCUCCUCGAGAUCAACACUUUGCUAAAUAAUUAUUUGUUUUAGGGCUACGAGCCAUUCAUUAAUUAAUUUAUUUAUUUAAUAAAUAAACGGGAUUUUACAGUGAAAAGGCUGAAAUGGAGGCCACUCAACCCUUAUAUAGGGUGAGUUUACGGCCAGGGGUGGGGGGGGGGUCCACCUGGCACUGACCGCAAACAGAGUUUACGGUCGUACACGAGUUUACGGCCGUAAACUCGCCUUGGCCGUGAACUCGUUGCUUUUAGAGGGAAUCGUGAGUUUUUCGCGCGAUUUUUCGUUUUCCAACACGUAUGUAUUUAUGACAAUAACCCUAGUUGAUUUACUUAACCCGAGAAGUAGACGGAAAAAUUUAAUAAAAAUUAAAUUUUAUUAACAGAAGUGGGUUACAAUAAUGGGAUAAAUUUUGGGUUGUCACAUAGCAUAUGUUACAAGGGUUCCGAACAUAUAAAGAACCCCGAAAUCCGAGUUAUAACGAAGAAGUGAUGAAUUUUUAACGGACUUUUCUUGUCCCAGUCUGUUAAAAAUAUAACUUAAUAAAGUCAAAAUUAGCCGACGGAGUCUAAACGAAAGUUACGGUCCCACCUACGCGUGGAUAUAAAGAACGUUGAAAACGGAGCUCGUAUACGAAAGUUACGAAUUUUAGAAGUCGAGUGUAUUAUUUGCGAAGCUGUUGCGAGGGUACAGGGUACGCUCCGCAUACGAGUCAUGUACGCCCUGCGGUCUUGUAUACUCACUCCAACAGAAGUCACGUUGCACCAAGCUGCUUUGGACACGUGUUGUACGAAAUUCGCCUUACGCCCAGCGUUCGAAGGAGCGCCCUGCGUACCGAAGUACGCCCAGCAUACCUCCGCAGGUACGCCUUGCGUAGACGAGGAGCUGCACCUAUAAAAGGGUGCGAGGUGCAGCCUUCUUUCUUCACUAAUUCACUAUCUCUUUCUCUCUCUCUCUCUCUCUCUCUCUCUCUCUAGCCUCCAAAACACCCCCAAGCCUAGGGAAAUCCCUAGCACUAGAAGGAAGCCCCGAAAUGCCCGACGGCUCCGAGAAAAAGAGCUUUUCGGCUCGGAAACUCUACUUUAGAGAAGCCCGAUUUUUGAGAAAAACUCAUUGUAAGUGACAUACGCAUACCCUACUUUAAAUAUAGCUUUUAUUUAAAUAUAGUAAUGUUAUUAGGACCUUAUAAUAUAUAUUUGGGCUAUUAUUAUGAGUUAUAUAAGUGUCGUUAUAAUAUCUUUUUAACUAGCCACGGUACGAGGAAUCUGUUUCGAAAGGCCGCUUGGGUUGUUGGAUUUCAGAAGUGCUAUAUGCCAAAAUGGUCCUACCCUCCAGUGUUUCAUGUCUGGCCCCUGUAUGUACAUACUAGUUGAGAAGUAUUGUUUAAUGCUUAUAUAAUAGUAAUAGUGCUAAGACUAUUAAUUAGUCACAAUGAAUAUUAGACUAAACUCUAGUGGUAAUAAUACUAAAUUUCGUCAAAGGAAAUUGUUUUUAAGAAGCGAAGCGUUGUCUGAGUUCGGAAUCACUACCUUAUCAGGUGAGUGUGUAGAUACCUUAAUCUUACACAUAAAUAUGAAGUAUUUAAUAUAAAUUACGUGCUAUGUGUGAAUAUUCUCGGUAUACUUGCCAUCUAUACUGAUGAACAAUUUUAUACAUGUUUUAAAUGAUUUAAACUGUAUAUGUAUUUUAUAUAUACCAAAUAUGUUGGGUAAAACAUGGGUAGAUGAAUGAUGAGGUAUGAAAGCUGAUAUAAAGGAACGUUGGCGACUAUGAACUUAGUUUCUAUCGUAUAAACCCUGGAGACUAUGGACUUAGUGUCUAUCGUAUAAACCCUGACGACUAUGGAGUUAGUACCUAUCGUAUAAACCUUGGAGACGAUGGACUUAGUGCCUAUGGUAUAAAGCCUGGCGACUAUGGACUUAGUGCCUAUCGUAUAAACCAUGGCAACUAUGGACUUAGUGCUUGCUGUAUGAACCCUGGCAACUAUGGACUUAGUGCCUAUUGUACAAACCCUGGCGACUAUGGACUUAGUGUCAGUUGUAUAAACCCUGGCGAAGAUGCACUUCAUGCCUAUUCCUUAGGAUAAUCCUUAGGAAUGAAUGAACGAGGAAUAGCUGAUUCUUAAGGUAGAUCCUUAAGAGUAAAGAAGAUAAUGGGGAUGGGUAAUUCGGUUGGUUGUUUGAUGUUAAAACAUAAUAAUUAUAUUAUUGUGGGUUGAAAACCCUAUGUACUCACAAGGUUUCCCAACCUGACCCACUCAAGUUUAUUUGUAUCACAGGUGUCGAUAUGAAGCUACUUUACACUGAGAGAUUUAAAAGAUAUAUAGAUUACUAGUGUAAAUGAAUGUAAAUCUGUUUAUGCUUAUGUUUCUGUAUUGACGAUGACAUCCCAAUGUUUUGAAAAUGAAUAAAAAUACAUUUCUUUGGAAAUGCUUUGAUAACAUAUUUAUCAUGUUUUUCUGGGAACAAAUUCCGCAACAUUUUUAUUAAAAGGGUACUCUGAUUUUUAUAAACCAUAAACAUAAUCGGUCUUUUUUGGCCGUGAAAAUAGGGAUGUUACAGUUAGUAUCAGAGCAUUAGUUUAAGCGAAUUAGGAAUAAGGAUUUAUUUCUAGACUUAAACUUUGAAUGCUAAGCAAUUAUCAUGAGGAGUGUGUCUAAUAAAUUUUAGGUAAUACACCUGAAUAGACACAAGCACUUGCAAAUUUAGGGACAAUGCCUAACAUGCUUUUAUAUGAUAAAUGACUUGUGAUGUUUUAUGUUGCUAUCAUCUGAUCAAAUCUAUGGUCUGUUGCCGACCGAAUAUGGAAAUUUUAUGUGUUCAGAUUUCUAAACAUUUGAUUAUGGUAUUAGAAUUGGUAUAUAACUUUUCGGAAUAAUAAGGAGAUUUAUACAUCUAUCGUAAAUAAAAUCAUUCCCAUCUUAAUUCUCAUGAUUACACACCAAACAUCUGAUUUGGUGUAUAGAUUGAAAUGGAAAGAACCCAAAGUGGAGUCGGAAAUGCGAACGGUAAUAGGAAUCAAUUGCCUCAACCCCAAGUAAUUAAGAAAAUACCAGUAGCAGCAGCUACACCUGAGCCAAUCACAAUGGCUAGAGUACAAGCCAUGAUUCGGGCUAUGCUGGCUGAGCAAGGAGAAGAGAUGAGGAAAAUGUUUCAUGAAAAUAGGGACGAACCUACAAUACCUAUUGAAUAGCCUGAGCUGAAUGAUAGACAGUCAGAGGAAGGAAACUACAGUAGGAUCGUUGGUCAAGAUGAACAACCAAUAGUUAGAAGGAAUAUCCAAGAUGGAGGAAACGACGGACGGGGAUGCAAGUAUAGGGAUUUCAUGGCAUCCAAACCACCGAGUCUUUCUAGAAGACCAACACCGAUAGAAGUCAUGGAUUGGACCUCCGAAAUGGAGAUAAUGUUUGAGAGUUGCGAGUACAACAACAAACAAAAGACUGCCCUCGCGGUUACCUAGUUAAAGUCGGGAGUGCUGAGCUGGUGAAAGCUACUAGCUAACACGAUCCCCAUGGGAGAAGCAAGCAAGAUGUCUUGGGAAGAUUUCCUGAUACAACUGAAAAUGCAGUAUUACUCUGAGCAGGAUCUUCUGGAGAUCAACAACGAGUUACAAAAUCUGAAGAAGGGAAGGAUGAGUGUCACCAAGUAUGCUGAAAGUUUUACGGAGAAGAUGAAGCUUGUUCCCUUCCUAGUUCCAACUAAACUCUCCAAGUUCAACAAGUUUGACAAUAGAUUACCAGCAGACUUUAGUACAAUGGUUAAGCAAGCAACCACUUUAGAAUUCACCAUUUGGGCAGCCAAGAAUGUCGAGACCCAAAUAAGGGAAAAGGGUUUGGAGAAAGCUGAAGUUGGCGAGAAGAGGAAGUAUGAAGGAUCUUCAAGGUCCAACAAAGAGAGAAAAUUCUCAAAGUUGGGAGGAGGAGGUGGUGAAGCUAAGUGGUGCGAGAAGUGUAAAAAGAAACACUUCAGGAAAUAUAGCGAUGAGGUGACUUGCUACGAAUGUGGAAAGACAGGGCAUUACGCAAGCAAGUACGCAUCCAACAAGAGGGUGUGCUACGGAUGUAACAAAGAAGGGCAUAUUUCUAGAGACUGCCCAAAGAAAAACAAGGUAGCAAGGCCAGAUACACCACUAAGGACAAGGGUAUUCCACAUGAUCCUCGACGAAGCAGAUAACAACGCGAGGAAUAGAGGAUGAGGACUUCAUAUCCAAAGAUCAAGUUAUGAACUUGCCAUGGGGAUAUUGUCAUAUGGUGUAGCCUAUUAAAGUCAUAGUAUAUGGUGAACUUGAACACCUAUGUAAUCGUUUCAAGGAAUAAUAUAAAACUUUCGUUUUGUUAUCUUGUGUGUUAAGUUGUUAUGUGAUUUUCUUGUAUGGUGACUUGGAAAAACUACGAGACAAUACUUGGGACGAGUAUCAGUAAGUGUGAAUGGUAUUAGAGGCCUAUACUACCGGAAGCAAAAGAAUCACGCUUGGAUCAGGGAAAGUCACAAGGUUACCAAGAAGCUAGUAAUUGAUUCCAUUUUGUUCAUGUAUGUCAUUACCCUUAUUUCGGUAAUGAUUAAGAAGAUGAUUGUCAUUUCGACCCUAGUGGUCAUAUCAAAUCGAGUACAACUAAGAUGAGUAUACUACGUGGUUCAGAGAAUAAAGUUCGAUGUUACAUCUGACUUAAACUAGAAGAUUGAAAUAAAAGAUAAUCAAAGUGAUCAGUAGAAGCAUCGCGAUAGUCGUUAAGCAAGCUUGUAGCUAGAAAUGCUACUUGUUAAGAUGUGAUCAUAUCACAUUAGAACAAGAAGGAAGGUAUAGUUGGACUCUAAGAGACCCGAGUCUAAGCAUUGCAACAUACAAUGAAAGGUCAUUAAAAUGUGGCCCAUCAGUCUAUUGUGGAAAUCAAAUAACUUAUCUUAAGUUUGUUAAGAAGAAUAAGGAGUCUCCAAUAAGGACCGAGGUUGUGACUUGAAGGUCAUAAUUUGGAGUUUAACAUAAGAUAGAGAGCGGGUGCAAGAUCAAGCACCAUCUGCAGUCAAUAACUCCAAGAGUUAAAUACUUAUUCGAAGAAACAUAGAAGUUACGGUUAUUACCUAGGAUGAAGAGAUAACAUAUGGAAUUAUUAUACAAGCCAUGUUUCAUUGAUGAUUCUGGGACAUAAUCAUCCUAAGGGGGAGAUAAUUAUAACGUCUGCAAAUUCGGCCUAGUCAAUUUAGAGAUAAUAAGUGUAACACCCCGGCUCCCAGGUAUAAGCUUUAAGGAUUUAUGUACAUGACUAUGGUCCCACUCGGCGAGUUGGUUGCCCCAACUCUUCAUGUAGAGGAGGGUUAGCCCAUGCGGAUUACUGAGGCUACUCGACGAUUUGGAGGACGGACCCGAUAAGUAGGAUUUGUGAGGUGAAACCCUAAAGUUUAGGGUUUGCACUCUAUUUAAAAGGACCUUAAGCCCUUGCCACCUGUACCUUAUCAUCUCUUGACGGCCAGAAGAAACCCUAAUCGAUAGUAUCCUUGUUCUUGAGUGAUUAUAAGGCUUAAAGAGUGAUUUUGUUACAUUUUGUGAAGAAGGUGUGAAGUGUUAGAAGAUUGGAGCAAAUAGGAGCUUGGGAAUCCGACUCUACUACUUCUUGGCAUCAAUUUGAACAUAACAAGUCGUUACCUUGGCUUAUCUCUAGUUAAAAUCUCCCCAUGCUUAGACUUAGGGCCACUUAUGGUUUGUAUGUGAGUCAUUUCGGGUAUUUAGCCAUGAUCUGAAGUUGCAACUUCAGAUCUGGACUCCUCCCGGUCUCAAAACCUUAAAGCUAUCAACUUUAUCUCAUCUGAACCCCUCACCUUGCCUUAAAACUCAUUAUGGACUUGGUUUUGGUAUCUUGAACUCUUAGGACCUUGCAUGCACGUAAAGUGUGCAACUUUAUGUCGUAAACAUGCCUUAGGAUGAUAGAUCUACAAUUUGGAGCGUUGGAAGAGCCUGAAAACGUCUGAAUGAAAAUGGUACUGAAGGGACUCGAUUAGUUGCAUGGAAAACUCGACGAGUCGGAUGAAGAUGGCCUUGGUUAGUUUCUGCAUGGACUCGACGAGUCAGUAGGAUGACUCGAUGAGUUAGUUAGGGUUUUCCAACCUUUAGACAUGCCUGGACUCGACGAGUUGUCUGGAAACUUGACGAUCCAACUAGGGUUUUGCGAUCUUUUGAGUUCUGGAAGGAGUCGACGAGUCAGUGAGCUUCACUUGGCGAGUUGGGUCAACCUAGACUCUUGACCUUGACCGUUGGUUUUGAUCUUGACCAAGGGUUGACCCGUUUGACUUCGGAGGGUAUUUUAGUAAUUUCGGGAUUUAUGGAAGUGGCUUUGUGAUGAAUAUAGGUGGUGGAGUUUGUGGUUGUGAUACGAGAGUUUGAUUUUAUCACUUCUAUUCGACAACUAUGAGGUGAGUUAUUGUAACGACCCAAAAUCAGGGGUAAAAAAAAUUCAUUUCUUAUAUAACCCAACCAUAAUUACUAUUUAUUCCAAACAUUCCAAACAUUGUUAAUUAGAAACAUUUAUCAGAGUUCGUCCCAAAUCAUUCAUUGCGGAAAUCAUAGGUGUGUGCACUGCAAUAAAUCCGAGCCCUUCAUUUCCAAAUCGAUGAAACCUGAAACCAAAACUGUAAACCGUAAGCACAAAGCUUAGUGAGUCCCCCAGAGCAUACCCCACACACAAUCCACAUAACACAUAUCAUAUUAGCUGUAAAAGCUAUCUCUACCGUUAUCACAUAUCAAUCAUCUAUAAAAGCUACUAUACCACGUAUCACAUAUCAAAUGGCUAUUAAAGCUCUCUCUACCAUUAGCACAUAUAAAUUAGCUAUAUAAGCUAUCUCUACCAUUAGCCACAAAGGCUAUCUCUACCAUCAGCCAUAUAGGUUGUCUCUACCACUAGCCAUUAAGGUUGUAUCUACCAGGAGCCACAAGGCUAUCUCUACUGCCUAUCAUGCAUAUAUACAUAUCACACACCUCUACAUAGAAAGUAUACCAACUGUCAUAAAAUGGGUCAGCCUUGGUGCCUUAGACCCAUUGGUAUGGUGAGAAGACUCACCUCUCGACUGCUGAAAUGAUAAGCUGAAAUCAGACAUAUCCCACACGCUGCUCCUUCUCAACCGCCCAUAAUCAUUAGGUGAUUAACUUGACACAAACCCAUAAAUACCCUUAGGUCAACCCUAGUCAAAGUCCAUGUCUAUAGUCAAGGUCAACAGUCCAUAUUGAUCUCAACUUGUCGAGUACAAUUAGCCACUUGUCGGGUUCCUUGCUUAACUUGUCAACUCGCCGAGUCACCGGAGAGACUCGUCGAGUUCCUUGACGUUCACGGCCAUAAACCACCAACCGAACACCCUUGACCGUAAACCCUUGGCCGUGAACCCUUGACCGUAAACCCUUGACCGUGAACGAGAAAACCCUCUUGACUGUCGAGUCACUUGCACGACUCGUCGAGUCCUCAUAGUCCCUUAUGUUUACGGCCCUUUCCAGUGGAACUCAAGGUCCCAAACUUCAGAUCUAUACUCUACUAGUGUGGAUAACACGUAAAGUUGCAAACUUUACAUGCAUGCAAGGCCUCACAUGGCCAUAACACCAAAACUAACCUUCAAACAAGGUUUUCAUGCAUGGAGAGGGAAUGAGCUUAAUAAAAGAUGCAACUUUAUGAUAUUUGGGACCUAAGAAGGUCCAGAUCUGGAACCAUAUCCUUGUGAUAGGUCCAGAUCUAAGCUUGCUUCCAUUUCCUCAAAGUUGGUAAUAAACUCUUAAAUAGAAUCUAGGCUUAAGAUAACAUAUUCAUACCUCAAUUCGAUGCCCAAGACGAAAUAGAUGCUAGAUCUAGUGUUUUCCCCUGGAUACCUCUUCUUCAAGCUUGGAAUCCCUUCCACAAUCCCAAAGUUUAAGCUCCCAAUGCUCUUACUUCACACACCCAAGAUUUUGCGGCCGUAUGAUGUUAAGGAAGGCUACAAAGGCGUAUAAUGACAUUUAUAUAGGGGGCAAACCCCGAAAUUAGUGUUUUCUCUAAACAACUCUCACUCGCCGAGUCGGGCCUUCCGACUCGCCAAGUCAAUUCCGACCCGCGUCCAAAAUGUCUUGACUCUGCUCGACGAGUUGAUCUCCCAACUCGCCAAGUCCAUGCAUAAAACCUCCCAAAUUUAGCAACUUUCCAACCAACACCUGAACCAAGUGUUACAGUUAUCCUCACUAUACUCAAGGUUCUAAGGCACCAAGGCCGACCCUUUUUGGAUUGUUAUCCUGAUAUGUUAUGCUAGUAUGAUCUGUUAGAUCAACAUCCUGGUAGAUAGGAUGAUAUUAUGUUGUUAUGACCCGUUAGAUCAGUAUCUUAGUAGAUAGGAUUUUAUUUUGAUGUUAUGACCAGUUAGAUCGGUUUGCUUGUUUAUAAACUGUUAUGUGAAUUAGAUGAUAUAUGUGCACAUGUUUGAUUAGUGGUUGAGGCUUAUCUGCUUCGUGCGAGAGCCAAUAGACCUGGGCAUUCCAACCCGAUAGUUGUGGGCCGUGAGUAUUCCAUCCCGAGGAUGAUUGGACUCGUAGUAUAUGUGCAUUACAAACUGAUGGUUGUGGGCCUGGGGUAUUCCAUCCUGAAGAUGAUUGGACUCAUAGUAUGUUGUUUGUGAUUAUAGGUAUAUUGGUGUGUGUAUGGGAAUUUUGGGGGUAACUCACUAAGCCUUUGAGCUUACAUUUAUGAGUUUUGUUUCAGGUACUUCUGCAGAUUGAGGGAAGACAAAGGCGUGACGUACACAUCCUCACAUUUUCUGACUUGGGAUUUUUAGGAACUCUGAUAUGGAACUGUUUUGAAAACAAUUUGUGAAACACGUUUGUUUGAAUAAUUUUUAUACACUCAGAAUGAUUUUGAAAAGUUUAAAUUUUUGGUAAAUUUCAUGAAUGUUACAAGUUGGUAUCAAAGCCUUGGUUUGAGUGAAUUGGAGGAAUACUCGUGUGAAUCCAGUCUCAAAUGUAGGAAAAGAUUUUUCCAAAUGAUUUUCAAAACACUAAAAGAGGAUGCGAUAUGUAUGAUCAGCCGGAGCUAGUAAGUAGACCUCAAAAUACCAUAUAAUUAUCUGAUUUUAUGAUAUUAUAAUAUGUUAGAACAGCAUGCUAGUACUAGGCUAGGGAUCUUCAGGAAUUGCAUGAUAGAAUUGCCUGAUUGUAUGUGUUGGAUAAGGUGUCUAAGUUUGUAACUAUAUUUCGUAUGUACUUGAACCGACCCCGGCAUCGUCCAUUUGGGUUACACUUCAUCGAAACAAUUUGUAUGGAUAAUCUUUUGAGAAUAGUUUAUUUAUGAUUUAUUAAUAUAUUAUAAGUUAUAAUAUAUUAAUAUGAAAUCAUAUUAUUUAAUUAGUAUUGAUCAAGAAUUGAAAUGGAAUUGAUUUAGUGAUCAAAAGAGACUAAUUAGAUAUGGACUCUUAUAUAUAUAUAUAUAUAUAUAUAUAUAUAUAUAUAUANNNNNNNNNNNNNUAUAUAUAUAUAUAUAUAUAUAUAUAUAUAUAUAUAUAAUGGGCCAAAUUUCAUUUAGGAUGGGCUAAGCUUGCAUGGAUAGUCCAUGGAGUUUGUAACCCAUGGAUCCUAUGGAAAUGAAAGGUCAUGGGUAUUAGGGUUUACAUGGAUGUAACCCUAAUCGACCAUACUAUAUAAAGAGGUCUUUGGCACAUGAAAUGGCACUAGUGUGUAAGUGAACAAGAGUGGGCCAAUUUCUAGUGUGCAUACUAUUCUCUUAAAGUCUUCCAAGGUGUUUUGGUGAUUUGUGAUUCCACUUGAGGCAUCCACAUUAUUGGUGCUAGGCUCUUGAAGUUCCAAGCAAUCAUCCACAAGAAACGGUAUGUUCUUCCACUAGAUUCUAUGUUACAAGUACCCCAUAACAUGCUAGUUAGGUUAAGAAGCUUGGAAAAAUCAAAUUUGCAUGUAUAAUAGAGAAAACAUAGAUCCAAUGUUUCUAGGGUUGCAUGUACACCAUAGGAGUGUUAGAAUGCUCAAAACCCUUCAGUGGUAUCAGAGCCAAGGCUUGUUUUCAUUAUACUUGAUGCAAAUUGCUGAAAAAAAAGUCGGAAAUCUACUCACUAUUCAGUGGACUCGCCGAGUCCAUGGGGGGAAUCGACGAGUCUAAGUGAAAACUCAUCCUACACGUCGAGUAGGUUCUUGCACUAGGAGGCCCAGAGUGCUGAUUUUCGAGUUUUGCUGCUGGAAAUGGACUAGAAUCAUUACCCUAAACUGUUUUGGACUUAUAAAAUCUAUUUUUGAUGUGGUAAUGAUUAUGCUAAUUCAUUUUCAAAGGUUAUUUUCAAAGUUUCAAGUUUUAUAUAUUUUUAUAUGAUUCUUUAAAUUGUUGAUAUGAAUGUUCAUGCUUAUGAGUUUUAGUAGAUCAUAUGAAUUAUUUGCAAAUUAUUUAUUAGUGUAAUUCUUGAUCUAAAUGCCAAUUAAUGGACUCCAUAACUUGUCCUCAAGUUAUGGAAUUCCAAAAGUCUUUUCUUUAAAACCAUUAAAACUCAUAAGUUAUAGAAAUGAAAAGUUUUUGAAUAGUUUCAAAACUUUCCCUCAUGUUUUGGAAUUUGUAAAGUCUAACACACACUUUAAUACCAAACCCUAGAUUUUUAAAAGUUAAAAUUCAACCCUUAUACUUUAUAGUAUUAUAAGUUAAUAAUAUAUAUAUAUAUAUAUAUAUAUAUAUAUAUAUAUNNNNNNNNNNNNNNNNNNNNNNNNNNNNNNNNNNNNNNNNNNNNNNNNNNNNNNNNNNNNNNNNGGGUGUCCACUCCUACCCCCCGCUUCCUUGACUGGUGGAGGGUCGUUAGCCGAACGGGUAGGACAAGGACUAUAGUUCUCAUUAAAAGUAUAAUGAUAAUGAUAAAGUAACUAAACCUUUUAUAAAUUCUCAAUCUUAGUUACUUUAGGAAAAUGUAAAUUUGGUGCUAACCCAUGAAAUUACACUUUGUACCUUACCAAGUCGUUGGUGGAGCGUGUGUGGUUAACCGGCACACUAACAUGGACUAGUAAGAGUGGAAAAGGGUAACUUAAUGUUUAUCAUAGAUCGGUGGAGCGUGUGUGGUUAACCGGCACAUCGAUUAGGUGAUAAAAGUAAAGGGUACCAAGUUAAUUUGCAUGGUUAUUCACACCUUGUUUGUGAUCCUCGACAUCCCAGUCACAAAUUUGAGAGCGUUCAAUCUAGAUUUAAACAUGCCAUUGAAAAGUUCAAUGAAUCUCAAAAGAUCUAGGAGUUUUUCAUGGUGGAAAUUCGUGAAUCGUCAUUCACUUACAUUCAAAUACUUUAUAGCUUGGAUUACGGCAUCCCUAUUCUAAGUUAUAAAAUAUUGUGUUGGGUCCUAGCCUUAAUAUUACAUUUGGGUGUCUUAUUACGGAUUCUAUAUCUAAUCUAAACUUGUCUUUCUUCUUUUUCAGAUGUCUUCCAACAAUGCUAUUUCUAGCUCAAACCCAACAGGCUCCUUCUCUCUCUUGAAUCUUUGUGGGAGAGUUAUCUUUGAUGGUUCAAAUUUUAAUGAUUGGAUCAGGAACAUCAGGAUGGUCACACGUUACGAGGACAAGGAAUAUGUCCUUGACAAGGAGCUGAAAGAUAUUGAUGAGUCUACUUCUACUCCACAGAAGAUCGAUGACUCCAGGACUCAUGAGAGAGAUGCCACCAAGGUGGAAUGUAUCAUGUUGGCAACAAUGACAGCUGAACUCCAGAAGUCCUAUGAUGACUUUUACCCUUUUGAGAUGUACAUGGACCUGAUGGGUCGCUACCAUCAGAGUGCUCGUCAAGAGAGGUAUGAAAUCAUCUCUUCCAUGAUAACAACCCGAAUGAAGGAUGGUGAACCCAUCACAAGCCACAUGCAGAAAAUGCAAAGGUUUGUUGACCGUUUGCUGAAGUUGAAUGUGAACUUCCCUGAGGAGUUGGCUAUUGACAUCAUACUGCACUCCUUACCUACUUGUUAUGAUCAGUUCCGAAUGACCUAUCAUAUGCACAAGGAGGAGGUCACACUCAACAACCUUCAAGGACUUUUGAAGACCACCAAAAGUGGUAUCAAAGGUAAAUUGGUUGUUACUACUCCUAUUCCUAACAUCGCCCCUGUUCUGACAAUCGGGAAAAGUAGAGGGAAAAAGAGGAAGACCCCUUCGAAGGGUACCAUGGGAAAGUCUCUUGAUGGAUCCUCUUCGAGUGGAACCAAAGGUGGUUUUGUCACUCUUUCUUCCAACCCAAAGGAAGUUGAAUGCUUUUAUUGUCAUGAUAAGGGGCACUGGAAACGAAACUCCCCUAAGUACCUGUAAGAUGUUAAGGAUGGGAAGGUCAAACCAACCCAUGUAAGUAUUUACACUAUAUUGACUAAUAACUCACCGCAUACUAAUUCUUGGGUCCUUGAUACAGGUUGUGGUAUUCAUAUAUAUUCUGAUUUGUAGGGCCUAAGAAGAAGUAAGGAUGUGGAGCACGGAAAGAUAAACUUGAUCAUGGGGAAUAGGAAAAACUUCACAUGUCACCAAGAUUUGAGUUUAUUCUUUGUUGCUAAGUAGUAGGUUAAUGUUAGAUUUGAAUAAGUGUUGCUACUCAUCAGAAAUGGCGAGAAAUAUUAUUUCCUUUCACGGUUUGUACAAAUAAGGAUUUACUUUUUCAUUUGAUAAUGAAUGUGGUGGUAUUAAUGCUUUUUAUAAUUAUGUUCUUUAUUUUAAAGCAUUACCUUGUGAUGGUGUAUAUGAAAUUGUGUCGGUUGUAGACAACUUAGGAAAUAAUGUAUUGUAUAUCAAUUCUUCCACUAGUUUAGAUAAGGCAUCCUUGUGGCAUUGUCAUCUUGGACAUGUCAACAAGAAGCGCAUAGGCCAACUACAAAAGGCUAGAGUAUUGGAGGCAUUUGACUUAAGGUCAGAUGAUAGUUGUGAAUCUUGUUUACUAGGAAAAAUGACUAAGUCACCUGUCGCUGGUACUUGUGCUGGGGGUGAAUGUUUGUUGGACCUCAUACACACGGAUGCGUGUGGACCCUUCAGAACUGCCACAAGGGAUGCUAACCGCUUUAUGUGACUUUUGCUGAUGAUUAUAGUAGAUAUGGUUAUGACUUCUUAAUCAAGCAUAAGUUAGAAACCUUUGAAAAGUUCAAAGUGUUUAAACAGGAAGUGGAGAAUCAGCGCAGGAACAUUAAGAAGCUUCGAUCCGAUCGAGGAGGAGAGUAUCUUAGUACAGAGUUCCUUGACUAUCUUAAGGAAUGUAGAAUUGUUUCACAGUUGACACAUCCCAGAAUACCACAGCUUAAUGGUGUGGCUGAUAGGCGCAAUCGAACCUUGUUAGACAUGGUUCGUUCCAUGAUGAGUCGAGCUUCGUUACCAAUCUCAUUUUGGGGGUAUGCCUUAGAGACUGCCACCCAUAUCCUUAAUCUAGUCCCUACCAAGAAGGUUGCCAAAACACCUCACGAGAUAUGGAAUGGGAAAGUUCCUAAUUUAGACCACAACAAGAUUUGGUGUUGCGAGUCCUUCGUGAGGCGCAAGACUCAUGACAAGCUCAAACCUCAAAGUGAGCGAUGUAUUUUCUUCGGCUACCCACAUAAAUCUUUUGGUUACCUCUUCUACAGACCCAGUGAUAAUGUGGUAUUUGUGGCAAGGAGAGGAGCCUUUCGCGAGAGAGAAUUUAUAAGCCAAGGAAAUAGUGGGAGGCAAUUGACCUUGAAGAGAUUCAAGAGUCAAGUGGUGAAGGAACCUCAAACCCUAGCAAUCAACCUGAGGAGGAAACUCUUGUUGAACCAACUGAUGAGUCUAUACCUCUAAGGCGUUCCACUAGAGUUAGGAAUCUAUCAGAGCAUUACUAUGGUUUCCAUAUUACUACAGAAGGUGAUACAUUUCUCAGUAAUAGUACACUGGUAAUUUUGGAUGAACCUAAUAGCUAUAGGGAAGCCAUGGGAGGCCUUGAGUCAGCCAAAUGGAAAGAGGCUAUGGAUAACGAGAUUCAGUCCAUGUAUGACAAUCAAGUUUGGAACUUGGUUGACAAUGUACCGGGUCGUAAGACAUUCAGGUGCAAAUAAAUGUUCAAGAAGAAGACCGACAUGGAUGGGAAAGUGCACACUUAUAAGGUGUGACUGGUUGCAAAGGGCUUCACUCAAACUCAGGGAGUUAAUUAUGAUGAAACCUUCUGACCAGUAGUGAAGAUUAAAUAUAUUAGGGUUAUGCUAGCGAUUUUUGCAUUUCAUGAUUAUGAAAUAUGUUAAAUGGAUGUCAAAAUCGCUUUCCUUAAUGGAAAGUUGGCUGAGGAUGUUUACAUGAGUCAGCCAUAGGGUUUUAUCAAUGCAAAGUACCCUGAUAGAGUGUGCAAGCUUGACAAAUCCAUUUGUGGAUUGAAACAAAAAUCUUGCAGCUGGAAUAUUUUUUUGAUGAGAAAGUCAAAGAGUUUGGUUUUUCGAGAAGCAAAGAUGAGUCACGUAUAUAUGUCAGAGCUAGUGGGAGUAUAGUUAGCUUUUUGGUACUGUAUGUGGAUGACAUACUACUCAUAAAAAAUGACAUCCCAACUUUGCAGGAGACUAAGUCCUGGAUUGGGAAGUGUUUUGCUAUGAAGGAACUUAGAGAGGCUUCAUAUAUCCUAGGGAUAAGGAUAUUGAGAGAAAGGAGUAAAAGACUAAUUGGACUUAUUCAGAGCACCUACUUGGACAAGGUGUUGAAGAGGUUCAACAUGCAGAAUUCCAAGAAAGGUGAUUUACCGAUCUAAAGCAAUGCCAAACUGAGCAAGGCUCAGAGUCCGAGUACAGAGGCUGAGAUAGCUGAGAUGAGUCUAUUACCAUAUGCUUUCACUGUUGGCUUGGUCAUGUAUGCUAUGACUUGUACCCGCCCUGAUGUGGCCUUUGCUUUGAGCAUGGCCAGCAGAUAUCAGGGGAACCCUGGCAAGGCUCACUGGACUGCGGUAAAGAACAUUCUCAAGUACCUGCGAAGGACUAAGGAUUGGACUCUUACCCUUGGUGGGAGUGAUGACUUGAGAGUAGUAGGGUAUAGUGAUGCUAGCUUUCAGACUAAUAGGGAUAAUUUCCGCUCUCAUUCGGGCUGGGUCUUUACCAUGAAUGGAGGAGCGAUUACUUGGAAAAGUUCCAAGCAGGAGACAGUAGCUGACUCGACAUGUGAAUCAGAGUACAUAGCAGCGAGUGAAGCGGCAAAGGAGGCGAUAUGGCUGAGGAACUUCAUCGGAGACCUUGGAGUUGUACUAGCUAUAAAGGAGCCUAUAGAGAUUUUCUGUGACAUCAAUAGUGUGGUUUCCUUAGCCAAGGAACUGAGAGAUCAUGGCAGAUCCAGACACAUUGACGGAAAAUAUCCCUUCAUGAGACACAAGAUAGAAGAAGGACUCCUCAUGGCAAAAAUGGUAUCGUCAGAAGAGAACCCAGCAGAUCCCUUCACGAAGGGACUGAAUAGGGUUAGGGAUUUGCAGCAUGCGACGAGCAUUGGACUGAAGGACGAUAUUAGUUUUACAGAUUGGAUAGCUAUUUCUGAAACGUGUAAAUUGUAAUUGACAUUUGAUGAUGAAAUACAAGUUGUUGUUUAUUUAUACGUAAGGUGUUUCUAUCUUGUGUCAAUCGUUUACUAUUGUUUCAAAUUUGCAUGUUUUGACUUCCAGAAUAAUUAUUUAAUUCAAACUCUCCACAGUCAGUCAUACUUUGGAAGUAGGUAUGAAUCAAGACUGUCAUGAAUUAGGCUUGUAGAUGUCUAAGCUGUUAGACAUAGCAAAAGUUGCUAUGACAUUCAUGAGUGCUCAUAAGUUCUGAGUAUUGGAUUCAACCUACACUCACUUGUAACAUUUUAUGGAAUUUAUCUCGAGUGAUCAUGAGACGGUAAUAUCAUAUAAGUCUUCAAACCUAGAUAUAUGAGUUGUUGGCCAUGAGUUGGUUGUGCAUUGAUUGAACGAAAACGCAUCAGUAACUUGAUGUUAUAAAACAUGCAUUUGUGUAUGAUUCAACAAGUAGUUAGUAUAAGCAUAUGAGUCAAAGUUUAUAUGUUCCUUUUAGUCCUUGGAGGAUUAAAAGCAAUAUCCGGUCCCCUCGAUGAUUUUGUUUUGACCUAUGUGUCGGGCCCGGUCAAAACAAAAUUGAUGUGUUCAGUUUAGUUCUAUGUCAAACAAAUCGAAAAUUGGGAAACAAACUGCUAGACAAUAAGUAUGACUUUGUUCCAUGUAUUUGUUUGGCUGAUAUCUAGAACAAAGGAUUAUAUGAUCACUUAUCUAUAAUGGCAUUUCAUAGUUCAACAGAGUUUUAAGAGCUACAAUUGCUGGUCAGUUCCUGAAGUCAAACUUGCAACUACAGUUAUCAGACUUAUCCAAGUGGGAGACUGUUGGAUAAGGUGUCUAAGUCCAUAACUAUAUUAGGUAUGUACUUGACCCGACCUGACAUGGUCCAUUUGGGUUGCACUUCACCGAAACAAUUUGUAUGGAUAAUCUUUUGAGAAUAGUAUAUUUAUGAUUUAUUAAUAUAUUAUAAGUUAUAAUAUAUUAAUAUGAAAUCAUAUUAUUUAAUUAGUAUUGAUCANNNNNNNNNNNNNNNACUAAUUAAAUAUGGGCUCUCAUAUAUAUAUAUAUAUAUAUAUAUAUAUAUAGAAUGGACCAAAGUUCAUUUAGGAUGGGCUAAGCUCGCAUGGAUAGUCCAUGGAGUUUUUAACCCAUGGAUACUAUGGAAAUGAAAGGUCAUGGGUAUUAGGGUUUACAUGGAUGUAACCCUAAUCCACCAUACUAUAUAAAGAGGUCUUUGGCACAUGAAAUGGCACUAGUGUGUGAGUGAACAAGAGUGGGCCGAUUUCUAGUGUGCAUACUAUUCUCUCAAAGUCUUCCAAGGUGUUCUGGUGAUUUGUGAUUCCACUUGAGGCAUCCACAUUAUUGGUGCUAGGCUCUUGAAGUUCCAAGCAAUCAACCACCAGAAAAGCUAUGUUCUUCCACUAGAUUUUAUGUUACAAGUACCCCAUAACAUGCUAGUUAGGUUGAGAAACUUGAAAAAAAUCAAAUUUGCAUGUAUAAUAGAGUAAACAUAGAUCCAAGGUUUCUAGGGUUGCAUGUACACCAUAGGAGUGUUAGAAUGCUCAAAAACCUUCAUUAUGAUGCCUGAUAGCCUAGGGUUUUCCUUAUAUGAGAUUGACAUCAUUACUGUAGUGGCUUAGUGUAUGCAUCAUGGCUAUACAUAAUAAAUAUUUUAUAGUCUGAGAAUGUUUGAUUUGGCCUUAUUUCUUGUUCUUGUUUGAUGAAGGGCUUAGGGUAGGAUUAGGUAUUCGAAAGCCUAUAGCAUAAUGGCUUAGUGUAUGAAUCAUGACUACACCAUGGGAGUGUUAGAAUGCUCAAAAACCUUACAGCACCCGAGGGUAUCAGCCUGGGUGGGUCAGUGUUGACAAAGGAUCGUGUUACGGAGAUCAUCCGCCAUGAGGUGGUCCAGAUAGUCCAGGGUAAGAUUACGGUGAUGUUUGGGUUCUAUUAAGACCGCCAUGAUAGAGUAUUUUGACGACAGAUAUGCAACUCUUGUUGAGAUGGCUUCCGCAGCAGCUACCACGGCUGUAACAGCGGGAGGGGGGGGGGCCCGNNNNNNNNNNNNNNNGGGGGAGGAGCCAGUCGGGGUUUUCAGUACCGGGACUUCGAUAACACGAAGCCCCCAACUUUCAACAGGACUCAGGACCCAAUCAUAGCCAUGAGGUGGCUGUCUGACGUGGAGGAAUGUUUCUUCACGUGCUCGUGUCCUGCUGACCAGAAGGUCAGAUGUGCCUUGAACUUGCUGAGGUCUGGGGCAAAGGACUGGUGGAGGUUGAUGAAUGGAUUGUAUAUUGAUGAUCAGAGAGUUUUUGUUACUUGGGAGCAGUUCAGGGAUAUGUUUCGCGCUCGCUUCAUUCCACGGGUCGAGCGCAAGUGGCUGUCACAAGAGUUUUUGGACCUGCGAUAAGCUACGGAGACGGUGACAGAGAUCACUCGUAUGUUCACUGAGAGGGUGAUAUUUUUCCCAUAGUUCGCUUCUGAGCAGGACCAGACGAUACGUUAUCUGAGCAUGCUCAAGACCGAGUUUUCUUCAGUUUGUUGCUACCCAACGAUGUGAUACACUGUUGGAGUUACAGGAUGCCGCCAGGCGGCGUGAGUUGGAUAUUGAGCUACAGUUACGGGAGUAGAGAUAGGCCCCGAUACAGUUGCAACCGGUGCCAAAACGUUCUAAGACCACUGAUACUAGGCUUGGUGGAUAGCUAAGCCGCACUUAUGGGAAGUGCGAAAAGGCUCAUUCUGGGGUUUGCUGAUCGGGGAGUGGUGCCACAAAUGUGGCAGGCAAGGUCAUCAUGUCAGGGAUUUCAGGCAACAGACUCCAGCUUUUGGAGUCAGACUUUGUUACCAUUAUGAGUAAGUGGGCCAUAUGAAGGACCAGUGUCCUCUACUAGACGCCAAGCCGACUCAGGCUCCAACUCCGGCUACUCUGAGGAUUACAGACGGGAGUCAGGUUAGAGCACCGCCACCGAGGGCUCAGGGACGUGCCUUCCAGCUUACAACAGAGGAGGCCAUGGUAGCACCAGAUGUGGUUGCUGGUAUGUUUCUAUCCCUUAUCUUGCUAAUUAUAUUUGUUGUAUGCUUACAUGUUUGUGCAUGUGGUUAGCUACGUUUAUAGUGAACUCCUUACCUGCGUUGCUAUUAUUCGACUCGGGGGCGAGUCGGUCUUUUUUUUCUCAGUCUUUCAUUAGGGAGUUCAUGUUUCUAGUAGGAGAAUUACAGUGUCCGUUGCGAGUCUCCAUCGCCAACGAACACGGGAUUUCCGCUUCUUCGGUUUAUCGAGGUUAUGUGUUGGAGAUAUUUGGGGUAUCCUUUCCGAUAGAUUUGAUUCUGAUUCCCAUGGGGGAUGUGUAUGUGAUUGUGGGUAUGGAUUGGAUUAGUCGCUUCGGUGCCAUGAUCGACUGUGAGGGACAACGGGUGGUAGUUCGAACCCCAAGUGGGGGAGAACUGAUCGUCUAUGGAGAGGGAACCAAAUUGGGAUCAGGGUUUUAGUCAGCUGCCAGGGCUCAACAGUACAUUCAGCAUGGGUGUGCGAGUUACCUUGCGUAUGUGGUUAAUACGCAGGACAAGGAUCUGGUUUCAGUAUCAGAGGUUGAAGUGGUUAGGGAUUUUGCUGACGUGUUUCCGGAGGAGUUGCUCGGAGUGCCUCCAGAGAGGCAGGUCGAGUUAAGGAUCGAUCUAGUGCCAGGUGCGGCCCCUAUCUCCAAGGCGUCGUACCGAUUGGCACCACCAGAGAUACAAGAGUUGUCAUCACAGCUGCAGGAAUGAUGGUUUGUACCAGAUGUGCAUAGACUACUGGGAGUUGAGCAAGUUAACGGUGAAGAACCUUUACCCACUCCCAAGGAUAGAUGACCUAUUUAAUCAGUUACAGGGAGCAUCUUGGUUCUCCAAGAUAGAUUUAAGGUCUGGGUAUCACCAGUUCAGGGUUAGGGAGGAGGACGUGGAGAAGACCGCGUUUCGGACUCGUUAUGGACAUUACGAGUUUGUAGUGAUGCCAUUUGGGCUCACCAAUGCGCUGACGAUAUUCAUGGACCUGAUGAAUCGGGUCUUCUGACCGAUGCUCAAUCGCUCAGUUAUCGUAUUUAUAGAUGAUAUCUUUGUGUACUCCAGAUCUGAGAGUAGCAUGAGGAGCAUCUUCAGGAGUUAUUGGGGGUUUUGAGACGAGAGCGGUUGUAUGCCAAGUUAUCGAAGUGCGAGUUUUGGUUACGGUAGGUUCAGUUCCUUGGACACCUCGUUAACCAGGAGGGGAUUUUGGUUGAUUCGGCCAAAAUCAAGGCGGUUAUGCAGUGGGAGGUUCCGAAAUCUCCCUCGGAUAUCAAGAGCUUCUUGGGUUUAGAUGGGUACUACCGGAGAUUCAUACAGGAUUUCUUCAAGAUUGCAGUACCCCUCACUCAUCUGACGAGGAAGGGGGUGGAUUUAUGGUGGGGCCUUAAGCAGCAGAAGGCCUUCGAGACUCUCCGACAACGACUAUGGACUUAGUGCCUGUUGUAUAAACCCUGGCGAUGAUGGAUUUCGUGCCUAUUCCUUAGGAUAAUCCUUAGAAAUAAAUGAACGAGGGAUAGUUAAUUCUUAGGGUAGAUCUUUAAGAGUAAAGAAGAUAAUGGGGAUGGGUAAUUGGGUUGAUUGUUUGAUGUUAAAACAUAAUAAUUAUAUUAUUGUGGGUUGAAAACCCUAUGUACUCACCAGGUUUUCCCAACCUGACUCAGUCAAGUUUAUUUGCAUCAUAGGUGUCGAUAUGAAGCUACUUUACACUGAGAGAUUUAAAAGAGAUACAGAUCACUAGUGUAAAUGAAUGUAAGUUUUGUUGAUGCUUAUGUUUCUGUAUUUACGAUGACAUCCUAAUGUUUUGAAAAUGAAUAAAAAUACAUUUAUUCAAAAAAUGCUUCGAUAACAUAUUUAUCAUGUUUUCCUGGGAACAAAUUACGCAACUUUUUUAUUAAAAGGGUACUUUGAUUUUUAUAAAGCAUAAACAUAAUCGGUCUUUUCUAGCCUUGAAAAUAGGGAUGUCACAUCUUGAGCAAAGAAGAAGGGUCGAGAAGCAUCAAUUGAAGAAUCAAAGUCAAGGGUAGUUAGUUUUCACUAACUAACAAGGUGAGUUUUAAUUCACUCUAUCACAUUAUGUAUGAAUUCUUAUAUGUUUAUGUUAAUAUGUAUAUAUGUUUAUACGCUUGUAGUAUUUUGUUAAAUACCCAAUACUCAUUAGAUGAAGAUAAAUGCAUUGUUAUAGGAAUUAUAACCUUAUAAAUGAUUAUGUAAUUAUGAGUACAUGUUAGAGGUAUUGUGUAAAUACCGAGAUAUGUUAGAUGUAGAUAGAAUGUGAAUACCUCCAAGAUAUUAGAUAAAAAUAGAUUAUGAUUAUAUGUGUAUAAUCAUGAAAAGAAGUAUGUAUGUAUGUUUAGAGUAUGUAUGUGUGAUGGAAGAUAAAGUACGAAUGUGUGGUUGAGAAUAUAGUAUGUAUGUGUGGUUAAGAAUAGAGUAUGUAGAUGUGAUUGAGAUAGAGUAUGUAAAGGUGGUUAGAUAUCUAUGGUAUUGUGUCGGAUUACCAUCAUAGAUGAGAUGGAGAUAGAAUAAUGAUAUAUGGAUAGAUGUCAAGGGUAUUGUGUGAAAUACCUAUGAGUUAGUAGAUAAAGAUUUAGAUUAAGUACUUAAAUAUGUUAAGUACGAGAGUUGUAGUAGAGAUUUGUUAAAGAGAUGAUGCGAUAGAUUGAGAUAGGACGUAUGAUGUGUAAGACUAUGGCGAGAUCAUAACAUUGACAUGAAUGAUUAUAAGAAGGCAAAAAGAUGAUUCCUUCGGGAAUGAGAUAGAUGAUUCCUUCGAGAAUGUAGAUAGAUCAUUCUUGCAAGAAUAAAUGACAUAUGAUUCGAUAAGUUUGAAAAAGGUUCCAUGAGUGAAACAAGAUAAGAAGUUUCUUUAGAGAAAGUUGAUGUAAUGCGUGAGGGAUUCAAUAACAGAGUAGCUGUUAAUGGAUCUGUGUGAGAUCAAAGUGAGGGGACUUAGCCUGAAUGGUUGUACUUCAGUAAAUUAGAAUUGUGUUGUCCCCUAUAUGAUAGGUGAAGCUAUCAUAGAUUAUUAGACCGACUAGGUCUAAAAUAGAUUGGAGUGAUAGAAGGCAAGAAAGCAAGAAGAGAUGGAAGUAAAUGUGAGAUGAGAUGAAGAGAUAGGAGAAAGUAUGCCCUGGAUUGAGAAGAGAAUGAGAUGUAAUAGAGAAGGGAAUGAGAAGAGAUAUAGAUAAAAUAGAACAAUAGGAAAGAGACGAUGUGAGAAUAAGGAAUAAGAGGAGCCGGGAAGAGGCUGAGAUAGAGUUUGAGACGAGUGUGAGAAGAGAUGAGAAGACAUGAGUUGAUAUAAAGUAUGAGUAAUGAAAGAAAGAACAAGAGUAAUGGAGUAUGUUCACAUGAAAUUGGAAUAAGUUAUAAAGACUAUGGUGUGGUGGUCUGAUGUUGUAGAUUUCUUUCAUGUAUUGCAGGUGUAGAUAUGUAUUGCAGGUGUAGAUAGUAGUUGUUGUAGAAUAGGAAGUAAGACCACAAGAACUUUAACUAUAAGUAGUUUACUUUUGAUUUUUCCUUAUUGCUUUAAAAUUUUGUUUAUGAUUUUAUUGUAACUCGAAUAUAGUUUGGGAUGUAACAUUUUAGAGUUAUAGAAUUCCGCAAUUUGUAGAAAACUCUGAUAAUCUGUAGAUAAUUAGAUGAGAAAAUUUUGGGUCGUUAUAGAUACUGUCUUGUACUACAAUUAGUAGUAAUCCUUUAUUUAAAAACUAAAGGAAAAAUUAUGUCUUUUUUUUAACAUUCUUUUUUUGUCGGAUGUGUUGUACGAAAGCGAUCUUCUAUCAUAUGGUAGGGGUUGCCGACCAUCCUACCUCCCCCUUAUCUCAUCUUUAUGAGAUUAGGUUAAUGUUGUUACAAAAAUCAAAUUGAACAAAAAAAAUCGAUUUUCUAAAAACCAAAAACCAAAGUGUUGGUUUUCAAAAUGGUUUUCAUUUUGGUUUUGAAUUUUCUAUUUUUUGUACGGUUUAGUUUUUUGCAAACCCUUAUUAACCACCAAAAUUCAUGUUUUCGUCAAUCACGAUACAACCGACAUACCUCAUGAAAUGGAAUUAUCAUGGUUGAAAUAAUAUAUAUAAAAUGUUUUUCUUAUUUGAAAGAUAACCUAAAGCACAUUUGAAAGAUUUAUGUUCAAAUAGGCUACAUAAAGUAUUCACAAAAAUGAUAAUCCUCUAAUGAUUUUGAUAAGAAAGCAUUAUGCAUUUAUGGUUUCUCUCUCUCUCUCUCUCUCUCUCUCUCUAUAUAUAUAUANNNNNNNNNNNNNNNNNNNNNNNNNNNNNNNNNNNNNNNNNNNNNNNNNNNNNNNNNNNNNNNNNNNNNNNNNNNNNNNNNNNNNNNNNNNNNNNNNNNNNNNNNNNNNNNNNNNNNNNNUAUUUUCAAAUAUAUAUAUAUAUAUAUAUAUAGAGAGAGAGAGAGAGAGAGAGAGAGAGAGGUGGGUUCAAUUGACAAAAUAAAAAAGGUUGAGAAUGGGGGAAUCAUUCUCAGCCACUCAUUUAAUCUAAACAUAAAAAGACACUGUGACAAACGUGUAAAUAUGUUAAUAACAUUCAAUCUCAAAUACGUAGCUAUAGAUAAUUCGAUAACAGUUCGUUCAUCAUCAAAACUUUUCCUCCAACCUUCAAUAAUCAUCCAGAUUUCUUCAACUAAACCAGAAUUUCUUCACUGUUCAUGAAAUUGGAAUCGGAGUUCUGGACUCGCAGUCACACUCGACAUUGAAGGACUCAGAAUCGGUACUCACAGGUUCUCAAUCGGAUUUUCGAAAAUCAAAAUCAAAAUGAGAAAUUGAUCAAACAUAGGAUGUCGCAUCUGAAGUCGAAAUUGGAAGUAUAUGAUGAUUUGGAAUUGAUAAAUUGAUGUUUUUAACAUUUUUAAAAUAGUUAACUUGUAUGCACUCCAACUGUUUGAUGAAAUGCAUAAACUAAAUUACCACGUUAUAUUCACAUAUGAAUAUGUUUUCUCACCUGAAUAAGUAUAUGAUUAUUAAAAACACAAAACAAAUAUGCAAGUCUGUAUGUUAUUCAUAUGUGAAUAACAUAUAAAAAUUAUAUAUAUUUGUCAAAAUACCUUCAAAUAUUCAUAACUAAAUAUAUUCACAAGUGAAUAUACCUUGUAAUAUUUAUAUGUGAAUAUACUGUGUAAUAUUCAUAAGUGAAUAUAUCAUCUAAUAUCACAAAUGAAUAUACUAUGUAAUAUUCACAUAUGAAAUAUCAUUUAAUACUCAUAAGUGAAUAUACCAUCUAAUAUUCACAAGUAAUAUACUAUGUUAAUAUUCACAAGUGAAUGCAUCGUCCAAUAUUAAAAUAUGAAUAUACCAUGUUUAUUAUAUGUUAUAUUCAUAUAAGAAUGAUACUUAAAUUGUAAAAAAAAAAAAUCAUACUUUUUAUUCAUAAGUGAAUAACAAAUAUACUAUAAUAAAACCUGAUGCAUUUUUAUUCACUUAUGAAUAACGAUAACUAAAAAUAUAAAAAAAAAUAAAUUUUUUAUUUUAUCUUAAAACUAUAUCAAUAUGGAUGUCUAUUUGUAGAGAAUAAAAAAUCAUGAAUUUUGGUAUAUUUAAAAUCAUUUUUUGAUAAAAAUAGCUUCUAAAAAAAAAAAACCGAAAAAAACUAUAUUUUUGUAUAUAUAUUAAGGUAACGAUUAGCAUAGUUUAAGGAAAUAUGUUUUGUUGGAAAACACAUGUGCAUUCCUUUCUCAUUUCCGCUGGUACGUUGGAGGCUUUUGCGGCAAAAAUAAAUGAUUGGCUGAGAAUGAUUCCUCCAUUCUCAACUUUUUUUUCUAAAUUGAACCCUCCCUCCCCUAUAUAUAUGUAUAUAUAUAUAUAUNNNNNNNNNNNNNNNNNNNNNNNNNNNNNNNNNNNNNNNNNNNNNNNNNNNNNNNNNNNNNNNNNNNNNNNNNNNNNNNNNNNNNNNNNNNNNNNNNNNNNNNNNNNNNNNNNNNNNNNNNNNNNNNNNNNNNNNNNNNNNNNNNNNNNNNNNNNNNNNNNNNNNNNNNNNNNNNNNNNNNNNNNNNNNNNNNNNNNNNNNNNNNNNNNNNNNNNNNNNNNNNNNNNNNNNNNNNNNNNNNNNNNNNNNNNNNNNNNNNNNNNNNNNNNNNNNNNNNNNNNNNNNNNNNNNNNNNNNNNNNNNNNNNNNNNNNNNNNNNNNNNNNNNNNNNNNNNNNNNNNNNNNNNNNNNNNNNNNNNNNNNNNNNNNNNNNNNNNNNNNNNNNNNNNNNNNNNNNNNNNNNNNNNNNNNNNNNNNNNNNNNNNNNNNNNNNNNNNNNNNNNNNNNNNNNNNNNNNNNNNNNNNNNNNNNNNNNNNNNNNNNNNNNNNNNNNNNNNNNNNNNNNNNNNNNNNNNNNNNNNNNNNNNNNNNNNNNNNNNNNNNNNNNNNNNNNNNNNNNNNNNNNNNNNNNNNNNNNNNNNNNNNNNNNNNNNNNNNNNNUAUAUAUAUAUAUAUAUAUAUAUAUAUAUAUAUAUGAAGCCUAGGAAUACUAAACUGCCCAUUUUUUUGGCAGAAAUGGUCCCUGCACUUUGCUCCUCAUUCCUUACCUAUUUUGACAUUUUUGGUCCUUGCAAUCAAUAUUUUUACACUUUUUAUGAACCUUUUAAUAUUUAAACUUUGGCCACAAAACUUUAACAGUUUGACAACUUUGAUCUCUUUUCUAAAAGUUUGCUAAUUCAUACCCCUUUAAUUCUUUAACCUUUGAAACUUCUGAUCCCUGCAGUCAAAACUUUUACAUUUUUUCAUAAAAACAUGAAAAAAAACGUCCGAGGCAAAGUCCGGGCUUUUCAUCAUUGCACUUUCUACGUCUGUCAUAUUUAUCGAUUCGGAAACAAUAUUGAAAGCUUUUAGCCCCCGUGUAGAGGGGGUAACUUUUCUAGUUAAUAAUCAAAGUAAUAACUAGAAAAGAUUCCCCGGCGUUGCCGGGGUCGGAAAGUAUUGCUUUGUAAAGUAAAGUAGCAUGUUGAAUUGCAUUGAGAUAAUCUAGUAAAUGAAGAUAAAUAAUGUCAUCUAAUUACAUAAGUAAAGAAAUCUAAAUCAUUAUUUCUUGCAAUAAAAGAGGAAAAUAAAGAAAUGGUCUCACAAAUUGAACUUUAUUGCCAUGUAUGGCAGCGGCCGGAAAACCAAUCUGGAAAAUAUAGACCGUUGUUUUUUAUCCGUUAAUGUGAGGGUAAUUUGGUCUUUUAAGGUAUUAGGGACUGAAUUUGUGACGACGAGUAAACCAUAUGGACCAUUUAUGUAAUUUUGGCGGUGGUGGUGGUGGUGGUGAUGGCAACUGGUGGGUGGUUUUAUGGUAUUGGGUGAGUAUCUUUUAAUAAAUAAAAAAUUAAUUUAAAACCAAAAAAAGAAAUAAAAAUUAAUAAAAAAAAUAGGAUUAAGAGUAAAAGAGUGAUUUCGGUUUCUAUCGUUGUCAUCGAUGUGUUAAAUCUGGUAAACCAUAGGGACCAAUCGUGUAAUUUUGUCUAACAAUAAUAAUAAUAAUAAUAAUAAUAAUAAUAAUAAUAGCGAGGGAUCAUUUCUGCCAAAAGACUAAAUACUAAUAAUAUGUAACAAAAGGCGAGGGUUAUGAAAAAUUCAAANNNNNNNNNNNNNNNNNNNNNNNNNNNNNNNNNNNNNNNNNNNNNNNNNNNNNNNNNNNNNNNNNNNNNNNNNNNNNNNNNNNNNNNNNNNNNNNNNNNNNNNNNNNNNNNNNNNNNNNNNNNNNNNNNNNNNNNNNNNNNNNNNNNNNNNNNNNNNNNNNNNNNNNNNNNNNNNNNNNNNNNNNNNNNNNNNNNNNNNNNNNNNNNNNNNNNNNNNNNNNNNNNNNNNNNNNNNNNNNNNNNNNNNNNNNNNNNNNNNNNNNNNNNNNNNNNNNNNNNNNNNNNNNNNNNNNNNNNNNNNNNNNNNNNNNNNNNNNNNNNNNNNNNNNNNNNNNNNNNNNNNNNNNNNNNNNNNNNNNNNNNNNNNNNNNNNNNNNNNNNNNNNNNNNNNNNNNNNNNNNNNNNNNNNNNNNNNNNNNNNNNNNNNNNNNNNUGGCUAUUGUUAUUUAAUUUUUUAAAAUUUAUUUGUUUAAUAUUUUAUUUUCUAUCAUUAUUAUUAUUUAAAACACCAAACAUUAUUUUUUGAUUUUAUUGGUAACAGUAUAAUCAUUUAUAUAGAGUUAUUUUUAACUAUUGUUAUUGUAAGUUAUUUUAAGGUACUUAUUUGGAAACUUUUAACGAUUAUAAAAAUAUCUUUAAGAAAAAAUUUAGUUUAAUUGAUAUUACAAUUUAAUUUUUGCAAUUAUCACUACAAUUUAUCACUUUUAACUGUUUAUAAAAUAUUCUUCAGUUUUUUAAGUAGAACUAAAAUUUAUAUUUAAGUUGACAUUGUAAUGUUAUAUUUAAGUUAACAAUUUAAGUAUUUUGUCCAAACUGUUCAAAAGUUGUAGCUUUAAACUGAUAAUAAUUUAUAUAUAACAACAUAUUAAAUCUAAGAAAUUAAGUAUAAUAUGUUAAAAAUUAAAGACAUAACUUUAUAAGUAGAAGUAUAUUAUAUUAUUUCAAAAUUGAAAUUUAGUUUAUUUAUGAUUACACUUUAGAUUUGAUAUUUAUUUGACCUUAUUAACCAACUUAUAAUCAUUAUUGUAAAUACACUUCAAUUUAUCACUUUUAACUAUUUAGAUAAUAUUUUUUGGGUUGUUUAAGUUAAACUAAAAUUUAUAUUUUUGUUGACCCUGUAAUAUUAUAUUUAAAUUAAUAAUUUAAGUAUUUUAUACAAAUUUUUCCAAAAUUAUAUCUUUAAAAUGAUAAUGGUUUACAUCCAACAAUAUAUUAAAACUAAUAAAUAAUAUAUAGUAUUUUAAAAAUUAAAAAACAUAACUUUAUAAGUAGUAGUAAAUAUAUUAUUUUAAUAUUGAAAUUUAGUUAUUUUAAUAUUAUUAUUUGAAAGAAAUUGAAAAGUCAUGGGGGUUUCAAAUGAAUGUAGUGAAAGAAAAAAUGAUGGGAGUUUCAAAUGAAUGUGGUGAAAGAAAAAUGGUUCCUUUAUAAAUAUACUAGGCGAAUGCCUGCGCGUUGCGCAGAAACACCUAUAUAAUAAUUUGUAUAUACUAAAUUGAUAUAAUAUAUUGAUUAUUUUGAAUUAUAUGAUAAUAUAUACAUUUAUAAUAACUUCUUAAUCUCAAUCGUUUAAAUAACUUCUGACCGCGAGUUACACAUGAAUAAAAUUAAAUAUAAUAUACGAUUUGAUGUUAUUUAUAGUUCUUUAUAUUGUUAAUUAAUUUUUUUUAAUUUAUUUACUUAAUGUUUUAAUUUCUAUCAUUAUAAUUAUUUAAAACAUCAAACAUUGUUUUUUUAUUUUACAGCUAACAAUAUAAUUAUUUAUAUAGAGUUGUUUUUAACUAUUGUUAUUAUAAGUUAUUUUAAGCUAGUUAUUUGGAAACUUUUAACGAUUAUAAAAAUAUAUUUAAGAAAUAUUUUAGUUAAAUUGAAAUUACAAUUUAGUUUUUGCUUUUAUCACUACAAUUUAUCACUUUUAACUAUUUAUAAAAUAUUCUUUAGUUUUUUAAAUGGAACUGAAAUUUAUAUUUGAGUUGACAUUGUAAUAUGCAGAAACACUUAUAUAGUUGAUAUCUUUACAAAUAUAUAUUUUUUGAAAUAUAACACUAACGUUGUUGUUAAAUUUGAUAUAAAAAUUCGUAUAUUAAUUUGAUAUAAUAUAUUGACUAUUUUGAAAUAUAUGAUAAUAUAUAAAUCUAUUAUAACAUCAUAAUCUUAAUCGUUUGAAUAACUUCUACUCGCGAGUUACACAUCAAUAAAAUUAAAUAUUAUAUAUGGUUUAAUAUUAUUUAUAGUUGUUAUUUUUAACUAAUUUUUUAAAAUAUAUUUGCUUAAUGUUUUAAUUUCUAUCAUUAUAAUUAUUUAAAACAUCAAACAUUAUUUUUUGAUUUUAAAGGUAACAAUAUAAUCAUUUAUAUAGAGUUAUUUUUAACUAUUGUUAUUAUAAGUUAUUUUAAGCUACUUAUUUGAAAAUUUUUAACGAUUAUAUAAAUAUAUUUAGGAAAUAUUUUAGUUAAACUGAUAUUACAAUUUAGUUUUUUGCAUUUAUCACUAUAAUUUAUCACUUUUAACUAUUUACAAAAUAUUAUUUGGUUUUUUUAGUGGAACUGAAAUUUAUAUUUAAGUUGACACUGUAAUGUUAUAUUUAAAUUAACAAUUUAAGUAUUUUGUCCAAACUGUUCAAAAAUUGUAGCUUUAAACUGAUAAUGGUUUACAUGCAACAACAUUUUAAAUCUAAUAAAUUAAGUAUAAUAUGUUAAAAUUUAAAGACAUAACUUUAUAAAUAGAAGUAAAAAUAUUAUUUUAAAUUGAAAUUUAGUCUAUUUAUGAUUAUACUUUAGGUUUGAUAUUUAUUUAACCUUAUUAACCAACUUACAAUCAUUCUUAGAAAGACACUACAAUUUAUCACUUUUAACUAUUUAUAAAAUAAUCUUUGGGUUGUUUAAGUUAAAUAAAAUUUAUAUUUAAGUUGAGCCUAUAAUGUUAUAUUUUAAUUAAUAAUUUAAGUAUUUUAUACAAAUUGUUCAAAAAUUAUACCUUUAAAAUGAUAAUGGUUUACAUCCAACAAUAUAUUAAAACUAAUAAAUUAAGUAUAAUAUGUUAAAAGUUAAAAANNNNNNNNNNNNNNNNNNNNNNNNNNNNNNNNNNNNNNNNNNNNNNNNNNNNNNNNNNNNNNNNNNNNNNNNNNNNNNNNNNNNNNNNNNNNNNNNNNNNNNNNNNNNNNNNNNNNNNNNNNNNNNNNNNNNNNNNNNNNNNNNNNNNNNNNNNNNNNNNNNNNNNNNNNNNNNNNNNNNNNNNNNNNNNNNNNNNNNNNNNNNNNNNNNNNNNNNNNNNNNNNNNNNNNNNNNNNNNNNNNNNNNNNNNNNNNNNNNNNNNNNNNNNNNNNNNNNNNNNNNNNNNNNNNNNNNNNNNNNNNNNNNNNNNNNNNNNNNNNNNNNNNNNNNNNNNNNNNNNNNNNNNNNNNNNNNNNNNNNNNNNNNNNNNNNNNNNNNNNNNNNNNNNNNNNNNNNNNNNNNNNNNNNNNNNNNNNNNNNNNNNNNNNNNNNNNNNNNNNNNNNNNNNNNNNNNNNNNNNNNNNNNNNNNNNNNNNNNNNNNNNNNNNNNNNNNNNNNNNNNNNNNNNNNNNNNNNNNNNNNNNNNNNNNNNNNNNNNNNNNNNNNNNNNNNNNNNNNNNNNNNNNNNNNNNNNNNNNNNNNNNNNNNNNNNNNNNNNNNNNNNNNNNNNNNNNNNNNNNNNNNNNNNNNNNNNNNNNNNNNNNNNNNNNNNNNNNNNNNNNNNNNNNNNNNNNNNNNNUAUAUAUAUAUAUAUAUUUAAAGAAAUGAAUCUUAGGAAUAGUAAACUUGCCAUUUUUUGGCAACUUUGCUCCUCAUUCUUUGGUCAUUUUGACACUUUUGGUCAUUGCAAUCAAUAAUUUUAUACUUUUUAUGAACCUUUUAAUAUUUAAAUUUUGGUCACAAAAUUUUAAUGGUUUGACAACUUUGAUCCCUUUUCGAAAAAGUUGCUAAUUCCUAGCCCUUUAAUUCUUUAGCCAUUUUGACACUUCUGGUUCUUACAGUCCAAACUUUUACAUUUUUCACUUUUGUUCNNNNNNNNNNNNNNNNNNNNNNNNNNNNNNNNNNNNNNNNNNNNNNNNNNNNNNNNNNNNNNNNNNNNNNNNNNNNNNNNNNNNNNNNNNNNNNNNNNNNNNNNNNNNNNNNNNNNNNNNNNNNAUAGCAGGGAUAACCUUUCUAGUUAUUAUUAACUCUAAUUGUUAACAAAUUUUAUUAAAGAAUCGAAAAUCACAUGUCAAUCUAUUAAUUAUCUAUUUUAAAUUUUAAAUUUUAAAUCUAUUAGUUAUGUAUUUUAAAUUUUAAAUUUUAAAUUUAACACUCUAAUAAUUACAUUAAAUUGAUAACAUUAGAAUAAAAAUAAAUUAAAAUUAAUAUAUAUUAUAAGGUUAUAUAAUUUCAUGUGUUUAUAUAAAUCAACGGUUAUAAUUUUAUAUAACNNNNNNNNNNNNNNNNNNNNNNNNNNNNNNNNNNNNNNNNNNNNNNNNNNNNNNNNNNNNNNNNNNNNNNNNNNNNNUGUUCUCAUUUGAUCAUCUCCAUAUAUAUAUAUAUAUAUAUAUAUAUAUACACACACUAGUGGUGGACCCGCGCAAAGCGGCGGCGGCAAUUUAUUUCAUUUUUAAAAAAUAGUUUCUAGGCGGCGAUUGCUUUCCUUUUGGCAUGCGUCAAAGCGUUUCGUUUCUCUAGCCAUUGUUGUUUUGGCUUGAAGGUAUAAGUUUGUUGUUUGUUUAGGUUUAAAUGAAAGUAUUUAGUUGGCCUUUAUUUUCGUUUACGUGAAUAGUUUCGUGACAACAGUUAGAUUCCUUUCGACGUGUUUCAAAUAGUUUUCUUUCAAUCGCUGACUGUACAUUGCUAUUUUUUGUGAAGACUAUAUGUACAUUAUUUUCUUGGGUAAAACAACAUGUGCUGCUCUUUUUUGUCAAAAAAAUGUUUUUUAAACACGAUUAGAAUCUGAUCAACAAAUAGUGAUAACAAAAAGUUACACGACUCGCUAAAUCGGCAAUAUAAGUUAGAGUGAUUUAGAUUAAUUUAUUUCCACCUUUGACAACAUAAUGGUUUUUGACGUUUUUCUAACAAUUAAAGGAUCCAAGUUCACCAUUUUUUCCCAAUAGCAAAACCAAAGCUACAUGCCAUCUUUUAUUUUUCUUUAAUUGAAACUUUUCUUGGGUUUGUAAUACUAAACGUCAAACUUUUGUACAACUUUAAAAUUUUAACAAAUAUUGUUUCUUUUCUGUUGUCAAAUACAUAAUGCAUAAAAAAGAUAAUGUGAUCACAUCUUUUUUUUUUAGUUUUCUACGUUUCCAUAUUUCAUAGUAUACUAUAAUUUUAAUAUAUGUUUCUUUCCUUAAUUCACGUUAUCCUAUCAAAUUUGCUAAGGGUUGGGAAUUUGGGUUUCAAUUUACUACCCUUUUGGAUUUAAAAAAUCUAUAAAUUUCACAGCUGUACUUAAUGCCUUAUAACUUGUAUCUUGUCUUCUUAAAUAAAUGAAUAUUAUAACAAAACUUAAAAAUAAAGGAAUAAAAAUAUGAAAGUUAUAAAAGAAUAAAUAUAAUGAUAUUAAUGCAAACAAAUCAUGAAUUCCCAUGUUCAGAAUCUCAAUGUCUUUCUUACGCCAUAUUGUUUAAGCUACACCUGGAAAUAGAUUUGCUUAAAGUUUCUACUGUGGGCAUCCCAAGCUUCAACAGGGGAGAUCCAUCACUCUUCCAGACGGGCCUUUUGAUUAUUUGUAGAAAAAACAACACACAUCAAGUGUCUGAUAUUUGACAAAAUAAGGAUAUAGAGACUUCCACCAUCAGCCAUCCUCGGCUAAAAUAUCAUAUAAUCAUGACAAAGAAUGCAAGAAAAAAGAAAAAGACUUGCUACAAACUACAGGAAAUAGAAAUAUACCUUAUUCUUUUACCAAUGUAGACUUUCCUUUUAUUAAGUUCAUGAAAAGGAAAUAGACUUUCCUUGGUUUGUCAUAUGUAUAGAAUCUUACUCUCAUUUCAACCAUAAAUAAAAUAUAUUUUAAUUUUUUUUUGUAUAAAACCUUAAUACUUUGAAAGUACAUUGCUAUAAAUGGGUUGCAAGAAAUAGCAAUGUACUUUCAAAUACAAUCAUAUUUAGCCUGAAACGUUUCUAGAUGCCAGGUGGGACAAAACUGAUUAAAUAAAUGAAAAAAAAAUGUUGAUUUUUGCAUAUAGCAUCUUACUCCUAAAAUGUGAUCAGAUCUGUUAAACGGUAUAGAACAUAUUUUCAAAACAUAGAAAAUUACACCAGAGCUGUAGGAUCAACUUGACCAGCAUCUGAUAAAGCUACAAACCAAAAUUCUAAUAGAAGUCGCCAGCUUAAAAGCCAAAAAAUAUGAAUGUAAGUACACUGUCACUAUUCCAUUCAUCGCCUUAUGUUAGUUUCAUUCUAUUUUUUCUUAUUUCUUUUCUUUAUUUCUUUCCUUUGUCAACAUGUUUGCUUGAAAUCACCAGUUAUCCUCAAGUGUUUAUCUGCAAGUUAAUAAUUACAUAUCAAAAAAUCUAUAUCUGACGUUAAUAGGCAAAUAUUUUUGAUGUAAAACCUUGAACUAUGAUUUAAAGGCUUGGAACAAAUAAGGAUAAAGUGCAGACCUCUAUUUCUGAGCCUCUUUGGUUCUUUGUCAUCUAGAUGAUCAUACUAUUGAAAGGUCUAGUGAACCUUUGUCUCUUUUAUAGGGACACAAAAGUCAAAGUCAUUCAUUUAUGUGAACAAAAAUUAACUUCAAAACCAAGAUGAUUCUUAAUAGAACUCAGUAAGGAUUUUUACCUUGAACAAAGAUAAACCAUCGAACCAACAAAAUAUCUACCAUGUGCAAGUCCAUCAUGCUAUUAGAGAAUUCAAUUUUCCUGUGAAAAGUAAAAUCAAAAUCAAUAAUUUUUAUUCAAGUUACAUAUGUAUGCUCAAUUUAUGUUACAAAUACAGUUCUGUAAGAGCAAAUGAUUCCAUAAUACAGUGAAAAUAGUAGUAUUUUCCAAAGGUCAAAAGUCCAUCAUGAUCUUUUGGGAACCAAAAAAAGGAUUUUCAUUUUGACUUUAAUUUGGUUCGCUCAAGAUAUAUUUGUCAAUAAAAUGGAUCAGUGUAAGAUAAAGUAUGAGGCUAAAGAUGGUAUUAAAGAGUGCAAUAAAAUGUGAGAAUAAGGGUAAAUCAGUCGUAAACAAUCAAGUACUUGAUUCUUACUUGCGCAUCAAUAACCUGGGCAUAAAUGAUUCUCCAAAUUGGUCAAUAUGUUGAAAUAGAACCAUUCUAAUAGCUUGUUUAUUAGAGGCAAAACAUUCCAUUGAUGUUGGUGGGACCUGCAUUUAUAUCCCCAAAAGUUUCAGUAAUUUUAUAAACAAACUUUGUGCAUGUAUCUAAAGAAAACUCAAACAAAUCUUGUUUUGGUUAUUUUACAAAAAAAAUCCCUAAAAAAAGCAAUAAGUUGAAAAUUAAGUACUGUAAAGAACUAAACCAUCGAUUCCUACCAUUCCAACUAAUCAAAGAAUAUAUGCAAUUGAAACCUAACUCAAGAUACAAACAUAUAAACACAAAAUUAGGAGAAUCUUACCAUGUUCUUCUUACUGAUUUGUUCAAAACCUUCACAAACAGAUGCAAACAAAUAACAAAAAAAAAAAACAAAUGUCAGACACAACUUUUAAAAUUUGAAUUGUGAAACACAUAAAAGUUACCUUAAAGUAAUUUGAAGCACUGGCACCAGAGUAAAUGACUUUCCUAUUGAUAAAGGAACAUUUGGGAGAGAUAGAGGUAGUGCACCGGUGGUGGUUCAUUCUAGUAGUGGCUGUUGUAGAAUGAUAGAAGAAGUGCGAUGGAUAGAGAGUGUGAGCUUUUCAGGAAAAAAAAAAGCAUUAAGAACAGUGUCUAUGGUUUUCUCUGGUUGUGCAGUGAUGUUUCUUGUGUUUAAUGGUGAAAGUUCAGUGUUGGUCUGAAUACAGAAAUCAAACAAAAACCAAUUAAUCAAUUUCCCAGAAAAUGUGUAUUUGAUGGUGGGAAAGGACGUACCAUAGAUUAAAGAAUAAUAAGAAGAAAGGAUCUUACAUCGAGUUUGAUGGAGCUGCACCUUCCUAGAAUCUUCACCCCAGUCAAAUAAGAAGAGGAAGAAGAAAAAAAAACAUUAUCCCUUCGAUUUUCAAUACUCCACGUCUAUUCUAGCACCUUCUAGUAAUCUUCAUCCCUGAUUGAGAAACCAUAGGGUUUUUUUAGAGAGAAUAAUGAGCGUGGUGUGGUGGCGGCUGACAAUGGUUAGGGUCUUCCAGAGAGAACAAUGUGUUUAUGGAUAAGAGAUCGGUGCUGAAGGAAGAGAUCGGCAAAUGAAGAUCACGAUGAUGCAGAUGAGCCUUGAAGGCGGGAGAAAAGAACAUAUCUGUGAUUUUUUAGUGUGUGUUCAUAGAUCUAUGCUUUGUGGCGUUCUGAUGGUGACAACGGUAGAGAUCGGAACCCAAAUAGAAAAAUGAAGAGGGAAACAGUGAUGAAGCUGAAUGUUGUCGAGAAAUCUAGCAAAAAAGAUGGUGGGUUGUCAUCGUCGUUGAGAGAAGCCAUCGGGAUGAGGCUAGAAGAAGUGAGUGAGAGAAAAUGUGGAACAAGAUUUCAAAAAAAAUUGAAUAAUCCAUGAUUUUCAACACAUAGAAUGCCGCCUAAAGUUGCUCAAGUCCGCAUCUUACUCAGGAAGAGUAAACGAAGCUUUAAUUGAUUGUAUGUAAUGUCUAAAUACUUGUACAUGGUAAACACUCUAUUGUGAUUGGAUAUAAGCAUUUUGGAUUACAAGCAAAAUAAUCCUCACCGUCCAAUACAGAUUCAGUGGUCCAGAUUUUGUUUCCUUGAUUUUUAAGACAUUGUCUUAAAAUGUAAAGGGUCCACAAUUAGGCUAUCAGGAGUGGGAAGGAAAAGACGCGUGGGAGCUGACGUGUCAGCCCCCUUCACGCGUGAACACCGCCCCACCUUCUGGUGGGAGUUCCGUGGAGCUAAAGACGGGUGAAGACGUUUGAUUUGAUUGACUAUUCCUUUUUGACCGUUGCUUUAUUACCGUUUGUAAAAAAAAAAUUAAUUAAUUAAUUAAUUACUACCAACUCUCUAUAUAUAUCAACAUAUAUUUUACCUUUCAAACACACACCAAAUUUUGAACACAAACAAAUAUACUCUCAUUCAAAAAAUACACUUUCCUCCGUGGAUCCAAACCAAAAUAACCCACCCACCCCAAACACCCCAAAUACUCCAAAUGAUCCGUUAGCAAACAUUGGUUAUAUGCAAUUGUUAUCAUCCCCCGUUCAACAACAACCUUUAUUUACCAAUCUUUCAUACCACCUACACUACUACCAAAACCA
This 88882-nucleotide long non-coding RNA is filed under the name Lactuca sativa (garden lettuce). RNAcentral describes it as "long non-coding RNA (LSAT_LNC009683)". The record is from RNAcentral. Lineage: Eukaryota; Viridiplantae; Streptophyta; Magnoliopsida; Asterales; Asteraceae.